AAACGAUAUACUCAAAUUCGUAAGAUGUUCUCUAAUUUGACAAUAAAUGGUAAGUAUCAUAUGAGUUAAAGUGAUUGAAUUCAAUCAGUUCUGAUAUUGAGCUCAAUCAAGUGAGUUCAUCAUUUGAGAUUGUUAUUGGUAGGGAAUAUUAAUGAAAUGCUCUGUUGAAUGUUUUUUUAUUAUUUAUUCGGUAAGAUUUUUUUUUAGCUUAUGAACUUACUAAGCAUUCAUAAACUUACUUUUGUGUGUUAAAUGUUCAUUGUAGAUUAACAAGAGUUCAGAGGAUCGGAUCAACACAUCAGGCCACAGUAUCCAAAUUUCACUAGUAGAUUUUGUAAAACAACUUAUGGUUUAUAUGGCAUGUAUAGGUUGGAAUGAAAAGAAAGUAAAUUGAUAAUAUGGUUGUGAAUGACUCAUAUACAUAUAUGUUGGUUUAUCUGCAUGUAUUUAGAUAGUAGUCAAUGAAUGAAAUUACAUGGUAAGUUAUGAAAAUAAGUAGUGUGAUGACAUAUUAGGUUUAAAACUUGAUAUUUGACUUGAAUUGGUUGCUUGGUUGAGUUAUAUUAGUGUAAAGAAAUGUGUAUGUAGGUUGGUUUUGGAAAGGGUGAGAAAAGUGGCCUUAAAAUGGCCUAUUUUCGUCCACACAGGUAGACACAUGGGCUUGUUUUCUUAACCGUAUGUGAUAGAUGGCCUGGCACAUGGGUUUGUGGUCUGGCCAUGUGUCCCCACAUCUUAAAUUUGAGAAACAGAAUGCUUGGAAUUGAGCACACGAGUGGAGACACAAGCGUGUGCCUUAGCCGUAUGUGCCACACGGCCUAGAACACGAGUGUGUGUCUUGGCUGUAACAGCCCAAUUUUGGGCUCAAUCAGAAUGAUGGUUUCGAGACCACCAAUCCAAAGUUUGGGAAAGUAUUUUAUUAUUAUUUUAGAGUUAUAGCAUGUUUAUAUUAGUGCAUGAAAAAAAAUUGGUGAAGUAAUUUUAGCGUUUGUGAGCUUAAUCGCAAAAAAGGACUAAAUCCCAUAAAGUUUAAAAGUCUUAAAUUGAUAGCUAAGGGUGUUAAAUUGCCAUGAAACUUAAAUUGGGGGUAUUUAAAGGGCAAAUAGACCCUUGGAUUUUAGCUUGGCCGACCAUGAGACAAGAAAAUUUAUCUAGUCAAAGGGUUAGGUAAAAUGAUGACUUAUUGUUGUCUAGAAAUAAAUAAAAGAAAAAUGUUGUCAUCUCUUUUUACCAUUCCUUCUUCCACGAAAAAUAUCAGCCAUUAGAGGAGUUUUUGAAGCUUAAAAUUUCAGCCACUUAGUCUCUCUACAAGUAAGUGAUUUUGAGGGCUUUUCUUGAAUAUUUUUGUACUUUUGGGAUCCUUGUAUCUUGAGCUUUCUAUCAAAGGGACUAUUUUGCAAAAUGGUUGAAAGUCUAGGGUUUUUCCAUGAUAGUAGACAUGUUGUUUUCUGCAAUUUUAUGGAAUAAAAUGAAUCAUGGUUGUGAAAUAAACAACUUUUGUGAAGAGAUUUCUCAUGAAAACCCUAAAAAGGAUCAUUUUGCAUAAGUUGUAAAAUAGGUGAUAAAUGUGUGAAAUAUUGAGAAUUUUGGACUGCUUCUAGUAUAAAAAGUAAUCGGCUAGGCUUGGUUAGUGAGAAAAUAUGAUAAAAAUCGAUUUUCGGACCUAGGGGUAAAAUGGUCAUUUUGUGAAAAUCUAGGGGCAAAACAGUCAUUUUGUCCAAUCAUGAAUUUUUGAGUGUCUAGGGUAAUAUGAUGAUGAGAUGAAUGAAUUUCUAUCAUUUUAGAUCAAGAAUUACAAAAUCCGGGCCUAGACUGAGGAAAAGCAAAACUAGUGGACUGAGCCGAACUAGUCAUCUACACUUUGUAUCCGAGGUAAGUUGUAUGUAAAUAAUGCAACUACAUUGUUAUCAAUUGUGCAUGAAUUUUUAUAGCAUAAAUUGCUUACUUGUGGUAAUGAAAAUACAUAAUGAUAAUAGAGAUAAUAGAACUCCCGGAUGAACCUUAAGAACAAAUCGGAUAUUUAUGCCAUGACAUUUGGGUCAUUUGUGUGCCAGUGUAAGACAUGUCUGGGACAUGCAUCGGCACAUUAUGAGAGCUAGUGUAAGACCAUGUCUGGGACAUGGCAUCGGCAUUGAGGCGAGAGCUAGUGUAAGACAUGUCUGAGACAUGCAUCGGCCUCGUGAUGUAAGCCAGUGUAUGACAUGUCUUGGACAUGUCAGUGUAAGACCAUAUCUGGGACAUGGCAUCGGCAUAGAGAUGUGGAAGCCAGUGUAAGACCAUGUCUAGGACAUGGCUCGGCCUCGAUUUCAACAGUCAGUGUAAGACCAUGUCUGGGACUUGGCAUCGACUUGAUGGAUAAGCCAGUGUAAGACCAUGUCUGGGUCAUGGCUUCAGCAUUACACCUUAUGUUUGAGGCUUAAUGAAUAUCUGAUAGCAUUCCAAAUGGUUCAGCGGCAAGAUUUACAGUUUAAGUUAAAUGAGGAAAGUAUAACCAUGUUGUGAAUGGCAUAGGUGCCUAUUUGAAAUGUUUGCGAUGUGAGAUCAAUAUAUAUUAUGUGCAUUGUAUUGGAUAGUGAUGAGUAAGUUUUGCUUAUGUCCACUUUAGUACUAAGAGUAUGAUUAUGAAUAGUAAAGUUGUUGUUAUAUUUAUUACGUGCAACUUACUAAGCUUUAUAGUGCCAUCUAAUUAGCUCGAGGAUCAUCGGACGUCGGAGGCAUCGAUCACAUUAUCAUUCCAAAAAACUUGGUAUGGUUAGAUAUUUUAUUUUGAUUAUGGCAUGUAUAGGACUCUUUGAUUUUGUUUAGUGUCACAUUGUUUUGGGGCCAAUUUUGUUGGCUUGCUUUAAUAUUUUAUUCAUUUUGUACAAGGCCAUGAAAAAUGGCUAAUAUUGAAAGUUAUUAUAUGAAUGCAAAGUAAGCUUUCAUGAAUGAGGAAUUGUUGGUAUGGUUGAAUACAUGAAUUGUAUACAGACUUUAACUAUGGUUGUUUGGUGGUGAAAUCAUAUUAAUUUAGACUUUGAUAUGUUGGUUGUUGUUAGGUUGUGUUUCAGAGUGGCAAAGGGCUUGGUAGAUAGCCCUAUAUUGUCCACAUGGGUAGACACACGGCCAACCCCAUGGGUGCGUUGCCCAGCCGUGUGUCCCUUGCAUGUAAAACUUGCAAGUCAGAAUGAAAGGUAGUAAACACACGGGCAAAGACACGGCCGUGUGUCUCAGCCGUGUGGAGGACAUGGCAUCUAGCCACAGGCGUGUGCCUUGGCCGUGUACCCCUUAUUAGAUGCUGACGUCAGAAACAGAAUAUCGAGGUUCUUAGACACGGGCUAGGACACGGGCAUGUCAUGGCCGUGUGAGGGACAUGAGCUUGUGUCAGGCCGUGUGAAAACUUCUGUAGGUUCGGAUUUAGAAUUUAAUUUACAUGGGCAUGGGACAUAGGUGUGUCCCUAGAUGCUUAGGCCGUGAGUGUCACACGGGCUAUCAACACGACUAUGUUAUAAUGGCCACACGAGCGUGUUGCCCUUCCAUACGGGUGUGUGCCCUAUUUUAAGAGUUGUUUUUAUUUAGUGGGUUUAAGGAUCCGAGUUGGUUUCAAAUAGUUUCUAAUGGAAGUUUGAGGCCUCGUAGGCCCACAUUAAGGAGUUUAAAUAAAAAAUUUGAAAGACCUUUAAAUUUGAUUAAACCUUGGUGACUCAGAAACAAUUGUAUGCAUGUGAUUAAGUAUGUAAUGCCUCAUGCCCAGUCCCGGCCUCGGACUCAGGUAAGGGGUGUUACAUUGGCCAUGUGAAAACUACACCUUAAUGUUUUGCAAGUCAGAGAGUUACAAGGGUUGGAGACACUGUUGUGUGAUCUGUGUCAUUUGGCCGUGUGAACCACAUGGCCUACCCACACGGGCGUGUAACCCCUGUACAUGAGAAAAAUUUUGAAAUUUCGUGAAAAAUUUCUUGACUUCUCAGAUUAUUCCCGACUUGCUUCUGAUACUUAAUUUAGGUCUCGAGGGUUCAUUUGAGGGAUAAUAUGAUUGAUUAUGUAUGAUUUCGAAUAUGAAUAGUAAAUGUUAUGAAUUAACUGUAAAUGUUUUGAAAAACUCCGAUAAUGCUCCGUAACACUGUUCUGACGACGAAUACGGGUUAUGGAAGAGCUUGAAACUUGGGCAAACUCACUAACCUGUAUACAAGAAUUUACUAAUUUCAUCGGGAUACAUCUUAGAGUAUAACAUAGUCCAAUCCACCAACAAUCAAUAUUAACAAUCUUAAUGUAAUAUACAAACAAAAAUGAAUAGACUCAUAAUGUAUGAACUUAGCUGUUAAAAUGGUAAUGAUUCAACUAUCAGGUACUAGUUGGUAAUUUUUCGUUUUCCUCAUACGUCCUUCGAUCGUUGAAAUUCUUGAUCUAAAGUAUAAUUUGAUUUAACUAACCAAUCCAAGCAACAUAAAAUAACAUAAAAGAAUCAUGUUCCACCUCAAUUUCAUCUAUACCAAAAUUUCUCAACUUUUACAUUUUCUACAAUUUAGUCCCUAAAAUUGAAACUACUAUAAUUCUCACACUUGAGUUUAGAUUCCAAAAUCAAACUCAAUUUAGUCCUCCAACAAUCCACUAAAACACAAAAAUUUAUAAUUUUCUUACACAAUUUGGACUUAUUGCAUUUAGUCCUUAAGUUCAAAACUAACAACUUUUACAUUAUAAAUUAGUCCAUUAACAUCUUUAAGCUUCAAAACUAACCAAAUAGCCACAAAAGCUUCAAGGAAAUAUCAAUGGAAACUUUAACAACCUUAAAAAGUUUCAUGAAAUAGUCUCUGGGUUAGCGAAAUCAAGUUCCUGAUAUUCUAAAAACAUAAAAAUUACAAGAAAUGGAUUGAAAAACUCACCAAAUUGGAGACUUAAAGCUCAAACCCUAGUAACCGAUUCUUUUUCUUGCUAAAAUGGUGCUUUCGAAUGGAGAAGGAGAUGAAAAAAACAUUUUCUCUUUCUUUGCAUAAGCUUAUCAUAUUUUCUAUUUGUUUAAUGGUUUUAAUUUAAACAUAAAAAAAUUAUAUUCUUAAGCUUAAUUAGCUUUUUACCGUUCUCCAACUUUCAAGGUGGUUUAAUUUCCACUUUCAACCUUGUUUUUAAACUAAUGAACCUUUACAACACAUAAAUCAAUAGUGGUAGAUUUUUGUAUUCCUUACAAUUUAGUCUUAUUUCCUUAUUAACCAACCAAACAUAAAAAUUACCUGGCCAACACUUAAUGCGACACUUAUAUAACUUAAUAAAUAUAAAAUAUAUAAAAUUUACUAAUUCACAUGUUAGAAUUGUGGUCUCGAAACCACUGAAAAAUGGGUUGUUACACUUUACUACUUUCGGCAGUUUUCGACUAUCAAAGCAGUUUCAGUUGAAGCUUCAUCCUCUUUGGAUCUUUAGCAUAGAAGAUCGGGUCACCCUUUUGAGAAAGUAGAAAAGUUACUUCCUUAUGUUAGUAACUCUAGAGAUUAUCUGAAUAAAGCAUGUGAAAUUUGUCAUCGUGCUAAGCAGACUAGAAAUAGCUUUCCAAUUAGUGAAAAGAAAACGACUCGUAUUUUUGAGUUAGUUCAUUAUGAUUUAUGAGAUUUUUAUGACAUUCCUUUAUCUUGUGGAUCUUGUUAUUUUUUUACAUUGGUUGAUGAUUUCUCUCGUGUUGUUUAGGUAUAUCUAUUAGUUAAUAAAAAGAAGGUUUUCAAAGAUUUCGUAUCAUUUAUUGCUAUGGUUGACUGUCAAUUUUCUCAACAAAUAAAGUGUGUUAGAAGUGAUAAUGGGAUGAAAUUUAAUUCUCUCCAGGAUUAUUUUCUUACAAAUGACAUUAUUUUUCAAACAUCUUAUGUUGGUGGUACUCAUCAACAAAAUGGGAAAGUAGAGAGAAAACAUCAACAUAUUUUAAAUGUAGCUUGGGCUUUGCGUAUCUAGAGAAAUCAGCCUAUACCUUUUUAAGGGGAGUGUCUGUUGGCUACUUCUCAUCUCAUUAAUCAAACUCAUUCACUUCGUGUGUUUGGUUGCUUAUGUUUUGCUCAUAAUCAACGUUCUAAGAAUGAUAAGUUUGCUCAUCAAAAGUGUGUUUUUGUUGGGUACCAUUUUGGAACAAAAAGGGUUGGUAUUUAUAUUAUAUGGAUUCUAAUAAGAUAUUUAUGUCCCACGAUGUGACUUUUUUUAGGAUAUUUUUUCGUAUUUUGAUGGGAAUGUUGUAACCAUUGAGCCUGACAAUGUUGCCCUACCAUAUGGGAGUGCAAAAAUAAUUUUUUAUAUAUAUUUUGAUAAGUCAGAGGUGUUGCGAGCCACGACAGUUCCUCCUCUUGCUACUUCACAACCUGUGAGUUCGUCACUUAUGAGUUCUCUGACACCUGUGGUAUCUUCUUCUUCCUAUAAUAACAAAGUGGUACAGGGGGCUUUCGGUAAUGAUGCACCUGAAUUGGGAUAAGGGCAUAGAGAGAAAUUUCCCUCUAUAAAUCUUUAAGAUUUUUUCACUCAUACCGUCAUAAAGAAAUGUCCAUCUCCCGUCUCUCCUAUUUUAGAGCCUUUCUCAAGUACUCCAUUUCCUAUAGUGCAUUCUGUUAAUUGUGACAAAUUUACUGUGAAACCUAAAAUUUUCUUGCAACUAUUAUUGUAGGGGUCAAGCCACAGUUUUUUAAAGAGGCUAUGAAGGAUGUAGGAUGGCGUGAUUCUAUGCAAAAGGAGAUUUAUACUCUGGAGGAUAAUGACAUUUAGUCUAUGGAAAACACUUCCUCCUGGAAAGAAAGCACUAGGUAGUAAGUGGGUGUAUAAGAUUAAAUAUAACUUUGAUGGAAGUAUUGAGAAACUUAAAGCUUAUCUUGUUGUUUUUGUUAAUCACUAGGUAGAAGGUAUUGACUAUAAUGAAACUUUAGCACUUGUGGCGAAAAUGGCGACUGUUUGUGUUUUCUUAGCUAUUGUAGCUUCAAAAAAUAGGGAGUUACAUAAGAUGGAUGUCCAUAAUACCUUCCUACACGGUGAUCUUGAUAAAGAGGUUUACAUGCAGCUUUCUCCAAGUUUUACUCUUGAUAAUCCUGAAUGGUUUGUCAUUUGCGCAAGUCUUUGUAUGGGUUGAAACAGGCUCCUCAGUGUUGGUUUACGAAGCUUGUUACUGCACUGAAAGGGUAUGGAUUUCUUUAAUCAUAUUUUGAUUAUUCUCUCUUUACAUACACUAAGGGAUCUGUACACAUUGAUAUGCUAGUUUAUGUUGAUGAUUUGCUUAUUUCUAAGAACGAUUCUGCUGCUUUGAAAACUUUUAAAGGGUAUCUUAGUUCUUGCUUCCGUAUGAAGGAUCUUGGUGUUUUGAAAUUUUUUAGGGAUAGAGGUAGCUCAUAGCUCUUUGGUAUUAUUUCUUUGUCAAAGGAAAUAUGCACUAGUUAUUGUUUCGGAGGUGGGUCUUUUCCCAUAGAAUCGCCAAUAGAGCAAAAUCAUAAACUAGUGCAUGCUACAGGGAUGGGUUUGUUUGGUCCUAAGUCAUACAGAUGGUUAAUGGGUUGUUUAAUUUAUAAGGCAGUGAUCAGACCAGGUUUGGCAUACUCGGUUCAUGUCUAUCCCAGUUUAUGCAUGAGCCAAAGUAGAAGCAUUGGGACGCGACUCUGCGAGUUGUUUGGUACUUGAAAAGCUCUCUUGGCCAGGGAAUUCUUUUGAAAUCUGAUAGUGAUUUUUCCUUGAAAGGGUGGUGUGAUUUGGACUGGGCUGCUUUUCCGUUAACUCGACGUUCACUUAUUGGUUGGCUUGUCUUUUUAGGACAAUCUCCUAUUUCUUGGAAAACUAAGAAACAACAUACUAUUUCCCGUUCUUCUACUGAGGCUAAGUAUAGGUCUAUGGCUUUCGUUACUUGUGAGCUCAAAUGGUUAAAGGCCUUGCUAUUGAACUUAGGUGUUCAUCAUUCUAAAGAAAUUCCUUUAUUUUUUGAUAGUCAAUCUGCAUUGUAUAUUGCACAGAAUCCCGUUUUUCAUGAGCGUACUAAACAUAUUGAAGUGGAUUGUCACUUUGUUAGGGAUGCAAUCCAAGAUGGGUUGAUUGCACCUUCUUAUGUUCCAACCUCCAUUCAGUUGGCUGACAUUUUUACAAAGGCACUUGGUAAACCGCAAUUGGAAUAUCUUCUCAACAAGUUAGGCAUUUAUGACCUGCAUGCUCUAACUUGAGGGAGUGUUAGGAUAUUUUUAUAGGAUAUUAUAUUUUAGUAAUUUAAGCCCUAAUGGGAUAUUAUAAGAUAUUAUCUCUUAACAAUUUGAUUCCUAAUGGAUAUUAUAGGAUAUUAUUAUGGGAUAUUAUCUUUUAGCAAUUUUAUAGCUAUGCAACUAAUACUAUAAAUAUAUAUAUACCCUUGAGGUCUAUCAAUAAAAUUCAAGACAUUACUCUAUUCUUGUCACCAUGGAAUCAUUUAUCAAUAUAACUACUAUCAUCGUCUUACUUCCCACAUAUCAGCAGCUUUGGAGAAAUCACGAUUGGUCCUGUAGAUCUGAACCAUCGGAGACCUUAGCUUCCAUUUCCUCCGACCUAUUCAACUUAUUCACAUUAGGUUUAUUCUAUCCAUUUUGGCCUCUUCUUCGACCCUUGGCGAUGCCUCAUAUGAGGCUUACUUCAAUAAAAUAUUAGUUUUACCACUAAAUCAAAACUUUACUUUAAUAUAAUAUUUAUAGUUUAAUUAUAUUAUUCAUACUUUAUUAUCUUCAAUUGUAUAUCAUUACUUACUAUUAUUUAAGUGGAAUUAGUGUUACAAGUCAACCAAACACCAAUUCAUUAUGAAAAUGUCCUUUCAUAAUUAAAAUAAGUUAUAUUAUUUAAGGAUAUUUAAUAUAUUUUUUUAAAAAAAGAGUAAAAAUUUUGCAUGAGAUUAAGUUUAAACCAGUGCUCCUUACAUCAAUAAAACAUUAAUUUUACCAUUGAACUAGUUGGCCAUAUUUGAGCAUCCAGUGCACUACAUAUUCCCAAGUUGCUUGGAUAACUAUAAAGCUAGGUCCCUGUACUGUGUCUCAAUAGCCAGGUCUCUAUACUAUCUCUCAACACCCCGCCACAUGAAGCAACACCAUCUAACAACCGACUAGCACAAUCCGUAUUAAGUUUGCGCCACUCCAUGGGCGGAGCUUCCCAACCAACCAUCCUAAAUUGUCUCGCAACAGAAUGACUCGACCCCAUCUGUCGAGUAGAAAAGGCUUUCAUUAUAUCUUCUACAAGUCCUGAGUUACUUGCACUUAUGAUCUCAGUUUUAAUAAAGCUUUGACUAAAAUUGCAGUCGUUCCUCCUAUUCUAUAGCUUCCAGUAAAGGGCCCCAAACCAUACAUCCCAAAUUUUUUCUGUAAUACUAAAAAAAUUUCUGGUUUAAACAAAUUUAUAAGGAUCUAGCUUCUUCUUUCCAUAGGCAAAAAAUCCUCAAACUUGGAACUGUCAACAAAGUUGGUCCAUGUAGUAAUAGCAAUGAGACAUGAUUCACGUCUUUGACACAAGCCCUACACAUAGCCAAGUAUAGAACAUCUGUCAAAUGUUGCUUUAUGCAUUCAUCAUUGGUGAGCAAUUUACCAACGCAAGCCAACCAUAGAAAAGUCUUGAUUCGUUGUGUCCAUAUCGAUUUCCAUAUUUUUCUCCAAACAUAUAGUUGUGUUCGAAAUAUAUGGUUUUUACACGCAGACCUGUGAUAGGAUUUAUAAUAUAUAUAUAACUGCUUGAAUUUGGUAACUUAUACCAACUUGGUAUUUAAUGUUUUUUUACCUAAUCGGUACUUAAACUUAGAAAUUGUAAGCCAACUUUUCACUUUUUUAGGUGCCUAACUAACACAAUUAAAAUACGUUGAUGUGUCAUUAACAUGGCAUUGGCAACCAAUAGCAUGGUGAUAAUGUAACACCCUUUACCCAUGUCCAAUGCCGGAACAGGGUACGAGGCAUUACGGGACUUAAACAUACACAUUCAUGCAAAAACCAGAGCAUAAAAUCUCUUUUAAUUGAAAAUCUUUCAAACGCAUGCAUGUCAUCCCUUAUUUGGGUCUACGAAGCUCAAAACAUUCACCGAAAUCGAUUCGGGACUAAAUCGAGAACUUUAAGAAGUUUCAGGAAAACUUAGAAAAUUUUCCCAUGAAACAGGGUCACACGCCCCUGUGGGCAUAGGGACACGCCCGUGUGGACAUAAGGACACGCCCGUGUGGACAUAAGGACACACCCAUGUGCCUUUGGCAAACCCGUGUCCUCAAGCCGUGUAACUCUCUGUUAAUGACGUCAGCAUGCACAUCGAACCACACGGCCGGGCCACACGCCCGUGUCUUUCACACGGUUGUGACACACGGCAGUGUCUCAGCCCAUGUGGCCAACACUUAGGCUAUUUUCCAAGCCUUCAUGUUACCCAUAAUCUUUUACAACCUUAUGCACAUCAAAAUAGCAAAACAUGGCAUCAUUUUAGUGAUUAAACACCCUUUAUUAAGCCAUAUCCUUAACAUUAACAUGUCCUCUCUUAUCAUUAUACUUUGGUUACCAACUUAUUCAUCAAGCACUCAUGUUCAAUCAUUAUCACGUUGUUUUUAAAUGUGCAAUUACUAUAUGGCUAUGACCACCUCAGUUGGUCAUGGAGUAUACAUCCAACGCACAUGUCAUAUUACUAACCAUGCAUGGCAAACAAACAUAAUCACAUUAUAAACAUUAGACAUGACAUGAAUAGCUAGGUUUACAAUCCAUAAUCAAUAUGAUCCACAUCUCAUGGCCAUAUGCAUAUAACUCAAUAUAAGCCAACAUAUUUGGCCAAAGAAAAAUAAUGCAUGUCAAUCAACUAAAUCCCUGUACAUGUGACUUAUUUGAAAAUUUCUAAUAUAUACUUCAUUUUUUUUCAAAGGUAGCGACUUGAUAGUGUGAUGCUGCCUCCGACGAUCUCUAACCCCGAGCUAUCCUAAAAAAACUAAAGGAAAGGAAAGGAAGGAAGUAAGAUUUAUAGCUUAGUAAGACCGUAUGAAAAUAAUAAGCAACUUAUCAACUUGCUUCUCAUGGUAAUACAACUCUAUUUGCAUUUUUACUCAUGUUCCAGUCAAGCUAUUUUCUCGAGUCAUAGUCACUAAAUUAUUUAUAUCUGGAGCUACAGUACUCCAAAUUAAGAUUCGCUAAUUUUCCCUGAAACUAUACUCAUAUAUCUUCUUACCAUAAAAUUUUAAGAAUUUUUGGUUUAGCCAAUUAGGACAGUUUAUUCCUUAAAUUUACCCUUUUUCACCGUCUAACAGUUUUUACCCUUCUUCACUAAAAAUUAAUUAUCUCAUAAUACGGGAUCCAGAUGAUGUUCUUGUCUAUUUCUAUUGAAAAUAAACUCAUUAAUAAUUCUAAGCAUAUAAACUAUAACUGACAAAUAUUUUUUUACAAUUUUCAAUGAUUUUCUCAAAUCAGAACAUGGGAUUUCAAAGUCAUUCUGACUUUGUCUCACAACAAUUUAAAUAUUUCAUAAUAUGAAACUCUUUUACUUACACCAUUUCUUCUAUAUGAAAUUCGACUCAUUAGGCUUUAAUUUCAUAUUUUAUUCAGUCUCUAACUCAAUUUCUACAAUUUUUGGUGUAUUUUCAAAUUCGGACUACUGCUGUUGUCCCAAACUGUUUUAUUACUACAUUUCACUCUUUCAUGAUCAUUUUUAAAUGGGCAUUUAUGCCCAUCCAUUUCUCUUUUCAUGUUCAUUAGGCUACAAAGUAACGAAAUAUACAUUUCACGUCUCAAUUUAAUGUGGCCUCAAAGCCUCACACGAAUUCAUCAAUCACAUUUCAAUCAUCAUGGUAAGAAUACAUAUUUGUACAUCAUAAACAUAAAACCAUAAUCACAAGGUCAUCACAAUUUCAAUUUCACAGGCAUAACUUACUUAUUUGUAUCCUUACCAAAGGUGCAUCGUAUCAUGUUCGUAAUAGCAUUUGAGCUUCAAAUACAUACCUGUACCUUUUCAACAUGUUCAUAUAUUUACCUUCUCGCUUUCAUCACAAGCUUUGAACUAUCCACUGAACCACUUGGAAUACCAAAGGAUAAUAGGGAAAUAUUACACAUAUUGAUGCCGAUGUCAUAUCCGAGAUAUGGUCUUACACUGGCUCUCAUAUAUCAAGGCCGAUGCCAUGUCCCAGACAUGGUCUUACACUGGCUUUCAUCUGUUGGUGCCGAUGCCAUGUUCCAGACAUGGUCUUACACUGACACAUAUCAAGCCGAUGCCUUGUCCCAGACAUGGUCUUACAUUAGCUUUCAUAUCUCAGGCCGAUGCAUGUCCUAGACAUGUCUUACAGUAGCUCUCAUAACAGUAGUGUCUUGAUGCUCGUAUCCUAGGUAUUUCCAAAGGUCCAACCGGGAUUUCUCAAGGGUCACAUCGUAGCCAAGCUUGUUUGAAGAAUUGAUCAUACAAUUCACAAGAUUCGUCACCAUAUGAACUUUCAUUUCAUUUCAUCAUCCUAUAAUUUACUCAUCUCAACAAGAUAUCAUAUUUCAUCACAUUUCUAAUAUUUCAUAAAUACACAAAGUGAAAUCAACAUAUUAAGUUUUCGAUUAUUUCAUAAGGUAUAAUAUUUUCUCAUACACCCUAACACUAACACAUAAUUCAACACAAUAAUAACAAAUAGAUUUUCAAGUAUAACAAUAAUAACAGUAAUAACAUGCUUAUUAAAUCACACGGACUUACCUUGAAUACGAAAACGACAAUUUUACCAUUAGUCCAUAACCUUGUAUUUUCCCAAUUUAAGCUCGAAUCUCAAUUUCCUUGAUCUAUCAUGAUGAAAUUCACUAAUUUAAUUAAUGUACUAAACAUUUCAGACCUAAAACAUAUUUUGACAAAAUUUACAUUUUUGCCCCUAAACUUUUACAUAAUUACAAGUUUACCCCAAGGCUCGGAAAUUGAAAUUUAUUAGAUUUCUAUAAGAUUUAAGACGUGCUAAACAUUUUUUGUUCUAUGGAAACCUCAAAUUCUCACUAUUUCAUGUUUUUAUAAACAUUAACAACUUUUACUAAUUAAAUCGUUCUCCUAACCUCAAGCAUCCUUAUUCUACCAUUAAACAUCAAAAUGCACAAUUAUCUAGCAUGGGUCAUUUUUUAAACUUCAUUUUUCAUGCAAAUAAAUGGUAGAAAUAGGAAGGUUAAGCUUUUAGGAUCUCAAAAAUACGAAGAACAUUAGAAACGUGGCUCAAAUGCACAUACAAUUGAGCUUUGAAAAGCUUGAAACCCUAGCAAUGGAGUCAUAUAAAUUUUGGCAACCAUAUGAAGAAGAUGAGAAGAUUUUUAUUGGGCUUUUAUUUUGUCUUUUAUGCCUUAAAACACCCAAAUGACCAAAAUGCCCUUUUUACUAACCCUUCAAUUUUUGCCCUUCCAUGUCUAGUUUUGUCCAUACCAAAAUAUGAUGGUCUAUUUUCCAUUUAAGGGCCUCUAGUUUAAACCCUCAUUUCAAACAAGUACUUAUAUUCUAGAACUCAUAUUUUACAAUUAAUGCUAUUUAAUCCCAAUAACAAAAUUGGGCACUUUAUCAAUAAAAUUUACUUAACAAAAUUUGCACACAAUCACUCAAACAUAUCAUGAACUCUAAAAUAGUCAUAAAAUAAAUAUUUCUACUUCGGAUUUGUGGUCUCAUAACCACUAUUCUAACUAUACCCUAUUUCAGGUUGUUACAGAUAAGUGGCAAAAUGAUUUUUUUUUUAAUUUUUUUUGCCACGAGUCAAAAUGUGAGACUGUCAUAUGAACCAUGCUAUUAAUCGUAAAGGUCACACCAGCAUAUUUAACAACAUUAAUUAGGUACCUAAAAAAAGUACCAAGUUAGCUUACGAUCUCCAAGUUUAGAUACCAAUUAGGCCUAAAAAAAGUUUCGGUAUCAAGUAGAUACAAGUUUCUAACUUUAUGUAACAACCUGCUGGGCGAAGUCUCCGUUUUUGGUUACUGUUUAGUGUAUAGAUGGUAAAUUAAGGAUAGAUUUGAGUAAGUAAAGUAUUUGUACUGGCUAAGAUAGAAUUCUAUGUAAUACGCUGUUUGGUAAAAUCCUGAUUUGGCAAGCUCUAAGUUUUGGCAGACUCUUUUGUUAAGUAUCUACCCAACCCAGAUGCUUUGGGCAAACUCAUUAAGUUCACAAUUGUUUAGAUUUGUUUAUUGUUCUAGUAUGGUAAUUUAGUUUGCCAAGUUGAGGUCUAGUUAAAACAGAACUAGAGUACUACAGAUGAUAAGAACUUCUUCAAAGUGAAGGUUUGCAGUAUUUAGCUAAUUUAUACGUUAGUACCAGCUCACAUCUCAAGAAACUGACGAAGGUCCAAGUGAUAAAGGCAAAGGAACUGCUUUGUAGAUUGUGCUAAAAUUUCCAUGUGUUUUAAAUUUCUUGUUUAUAUAAUUCGUGUAAGGUAAGUAAUCCACCUCUAUAAUAGAUGAAAGGUGUAUUUGUGGAUAUUGAUUAUCCAAAAUCAUCAGUCUAAGUUUAGUAUGUCUGUGAUAUAAAGUAACCAUCAUUAUUCUUGCUACCAUUUACUUAUGAUAUGUAUGGUAUGAUCUGAUUAUUCGGUGAUAGAGAAGAGGAGAUAUGUUUGGGUAGCCUCCGAUAGGGCAACUAUAUUACAAACUAGAUUAGUGAUAAACCUCAAAAGUAACAUAUUUUAACCCUAUGCUUGGCAUAUUUUGGAUGAUUUAUCAUAAGAUUUAGUGAAUUUGAUGCUCCUAAUCCUUUAAUUUUAUAUUUUAUAUCCAGAUGAGCAUAGGAAAGCAAAAAGUACAAAGAAAAAGGCAAAAAAGGGACAAAAUAGGUUUAUUUUAGUGCUACACAUGGCCCCGACACUUCCACAUGGGUAAUCCACACGCCCGUGUGAGACACACGAGUAGACCACACGCCCGUGUCUCAUGGCCGUGUCAACUUAAGACCAUAUUAGAAUUGUGCACGGGCUGAGCACUAUCACACGGGUGUAUCACAUGGUUGUGUCCCUGUCGAGACCUAUUUUAAUUCUACUCAAAAAAGGCUAAAUUUGGGCUAUUUUGGGCAUUCCAAAGUCUAGUUAAACACACGAGGAGAGGAUCUAAGGGGACACACAGAGUAGAAGGAAGAAAAUACUCGAAGACAGCCAUUGGAAUCCACUUGGAAGCAGGAUUUACUUCAAGACUAAAAAUCUCCAUUCAGUUUCUACUGAAGUUUUUGGGUUUCUUUAUGUUUUGUUGUUUUCCCAAUUUUGAGAUGUUUUCCCCUAUCGUUAUGAACUAAAUUCCCUAAAUACCUAGGGAAGAUGAAACCGAAGAAGAAUAUUAUUAUCUUUUGAAUUAUAUGAUAAAUACUUGUUCUUAUUCUUAAUUAUGAGUUUUAAUCCUUACUUUAAUAUUUCAAGAUAUUAAUUCAGGUUUUGAUGUGCUUAUUUAGUGGUGCAAAAAUCCCUGUUUAAGAGUAGAUCUUCCAUAAUUAAGUGGAGUUGAUUGCAAUCCUAGAGAUAGGACGACAUAAAUCUAUCGGAUUAGAGUCAAAUCUAAUAAGGGAAUCCAUAGAUUGAGUUAAUGCGACAAUAGGGGUUUUAAUUAGAAAGAGAUUUCAAUUAAUCAACCUAGAGUCAGUUGUUUUUAGUCUCGAGAGAGAUAUUAACAUAAGCUAGGAAUUUUUACGAAUUAAGUUGAGUGAAUAAAUCGUCUAAUUCAGAAGUAAUAAGUGAAGUCUAGGUGGAUUCUUCCUUGGGUAUUGUCUUCUCCAUCGGUUUUCCAAAAGUAUUUUCCAACUUUUAUCUCUUUCAUGUUCUUAGUUAGUUAGAUUGUUAAUCUUGGUUUAAAAAAUAUCCCUUUAAUUCUUAGGCUAGAUAAUAAAAAGAUAGUAAUUACUAGUACUUUUAGUCCUUGUGGAUUCGAUAUUUCCGGUCUCACCAUAACUAUACUACUGUUUGAUAGGUGCGCUUGCCUUACUCGAAUUUUUAGUCAGUUUAGCGACCAUCAAGUUUUUGGAGCCGUUGCCGGGGACUAAGAUAUUAGGAACGCAUGAAUUUUAUUACUUUAGCCAUUUUUUUAUUUUUUUAUUUUCAUUGCAAAUUAUUUUCUGUUUUAAUUUAAUUUUUACUUCUCUUCUAAUCUCCUUGUUAUUUGCUUCUGGCAGGAAUCUCUAGUUUAUGACUAGAAGGAACCCGUCAGGACCUUUGCUAUUUAACAGUGAGAUAGAAAGUACAACUCGUAGAAAUCGAAGAGAAAUAAGGUGAAGCCUAUAGUAUAUAGAAGAAGAGCAAGAGGAUGUGACCAAUAUACCUGAAGAGAUGGCGGACAUUCCGAAUUAUUUGCUACCUCCUGUAGUUGCUACAAAUCUAGUAAAUUAGAAUCCUGCUCCUCGUACUAUGUAUGAUUAUGCUAAGCCUACUUUAACAGGAAUUGAAUCGAGUAUUGUUAGACCUGCUGUUUCUGCAAAUAAUUUUGAACUAAAUCCUAACACGAUUCAAAUGAUGCAACAGUUUGUUCAGUUUGAUGGUUUGCAAGACGAGGAUCCAAACACUCAUUUAGCAAAUUUUCUGGAAUUCUGCGACACCUUUAAGAUCAAUGGCGUUUUUGACGAUGCCAUUCGCCUUCAGUUGUUUCCCUUUUCAUUACGGAAUAAGGCUAAAUAGUGGUUGAAGUCGUUACCACGAGGGUCAAUCACUACUUGGGAACAAAUGACUGAAAAAAUUUUGCUUAAAUAUUUUUCGUCAGCUAAAACGGCUAAGUUGAGGAAUGAUAUCUCUUAUUUUGUACAAAUGGAUUUAGAAACACUUUAUGAUGCAUGGGAGAGAUAAAAAGAUUUAUUGAGAAGAUGCCCUCACAUGGGUUACCUUUAUGGUUACAGGUUCAGACCUUCUACAAUUGUGUGAACCCCUUAACAAGGCAACUGAUUGAUGCAGCCACCGGUGGAACCUUGAAUAACAAAACACCUGAAGAGGCUUAUGAAUUUAUUGAAGAGAUGUCACUAAACAACUAUCAGUGGUAAGUCAUGAGAACGAAGCCAACAAAAGCAACUGGUGUUUUCAACUUCGACGCAGUCACUAUGCUAUCUAACCAGGUAAAACUAUUGAAUAAAAAAAUUUGAUGGUUUGUAUGGUUCUACUUAGGUACAUCCAGUGAUGAGGUGUGAUUCAAAUGAAGGAGGGAUGCACAACAUAGACUAUCCAUCCUUCAACCCCAGCACCGAAGGAGAACAAGUCCACUAUAUGGGUAACAAUUCUAGACCUCAGAAUAACCCUUAUAGUAACACUUACAAUGCAGGUUGGAGGAACCAUCCCAAUUUUUCGUGGGGUGGUCAAGGGAAUCAAAGGCAACAACACCCUCCAGGUUUUCAACAACCACCUUACCAACAUGAGAAAAAGUUGAAUCUUGAGGAGAUGCUUGCAAAAUUUAUCUCAAUGUCAGAAACUCAUUUUUUUCAGAAUAUUGAGAUAGCACUUAAAAAUCAGAAAGCGUCGAUUCAAGGGCUCGAAACUCAAAUAGGUCAGCUUCCUGAGUUGAUCUCUAAAAGACUGCAACAUGGCUUGCCCAGUAAUACAGUAACUAACCCAAGGGAGCAACUCCAUGCCAUCACUGUGCACGACAAAAAAGGGUUAGCUGAACCUAAAUCUGAAAUAAGGCAAGAAGUUGUGGUAAGCAAUGGUUAGGUUGAGGUGAGUCAUGGUACACAAAAGCCGGUAAGCAAAGAAUAUAGACCUCGUGUGCCAUACCCCAAUGCCACAAGGAAAGACCAUAAAGACAAACAAUUCGGUAAAUUCCUUAAACUCCUUAAAAAAUUAGACAAACAAUUCGGUAAAUUCCUUAAACUCAUUAAAAAAUUACAUAUUAACUUACCAUUUAUUGAAGCUCUUUUGCAUGCCAAAUGCAGUUAAAUUUUUAAAGGAGCUUUUAGCAAACAAAUAGAAUUUAGAUGAGUCAUCGCAUGUGGAGUUAAAUGCAGUUUGUUUAGCUAUUUUGCAAAAGAAGCUACCCAACAAACUGAAAGAUCCAAGGAGUUUUACCGUUUCUUGUUUAAUCGGUAGUUUAAAUGUUGAUAAUGCUUUAGCCGACUUAGGGGCAAGUAUAAAUGUCAUGCCCUAUAAAAUGUUUAAACAACUAGGUCUUGGGAAACCUAAACAAACUAGGAUGAGUGUACAACUGGCAGAUAAAACUAUUAGAUUUCCUACGGGUAUUAUUGAGGAUGUACUCGUUAAGAUUGAUAAAUUUAUAUUCCCAGUCGACUUUGUUGUUUUAGACAUGGAUGAGGAUAGUGACUUACCUUUAAUUCAAGGUCAGCCAUUUUUAGCAACUUCUAGAACUAUCAUAGAUGUUGGUACAGGUUAAUAACGCUUUGUCUAGGUGAUGAAACCAUCACUCUUCAAGCUCGAGAUUCGGUCAAGACAUCGAGUGAUGAAGGUAAUUGUCUAAAUCCUGAUAAUAUGCCUACUCAUGUGGUUCAACCCUCUUUGUAGGAAAUUUUUUUGAGUAAUACAAAUGAGCCACAUUCUAGUUCAUUCGACAACAUUAGAACAGUUCAUGAAGAAUGAAGGCUUCAGAUAGAAGAACUAGAUGAAUGGCGGACACAUGUCAAGGAGGAACCAAAAAUACACAAGGCCGAAUCAAAACAAAACCAUGACGAGCAUAAAGACGAGACAAACCAAUUCAAGGUAGGGACCAAGUCUAGUUAGAUAAAAAAGACCCUCGAAUUAUCAAUACAAAGCUCAAUGCAAACGGAGCGACUCCUUUUACGGUACUCAAAGUCUUUCUAUACGGUACAAUUGAGGUAAAUCAUUCAUAUUUUGGCACUUUUAAGGUAAACAACACUCUACUUAAACCUUAUUUAAAUAAAGGAAUUGACAAUAAGAAAGAGGAGUCUUGACUCUGCGAUCCACUGUGACCAUGUGAAUACGAGGUGAAGUCGAGCUUAGACUCUAAAUAAGCACUUCUCGGGAGGCAAUCCGAGCACUAACACCACUAACUAGUUUAUUUUUAUCUAUUUUUCAAUGUUAAAUGCAGGUUUUUUGACCCACACGGCUUGGAAACAUGGGUGUGUCCCAAGCCGUGUGCUCUAACAGGGAUUAAACAGUGUAUUACAUGGCCUGGCGACAUGGCCGUAUGGACACACAGGCGUGUCCUUGGCCGUAUUGACCCUGGGACUUAAUUUUCCCAAAUAUCGACAGAGACAUGGCCUAACAGAGAUCACACGGCCGUACGAUAUGGUCGUAUGAACCACACGGCCUAGACACACGAGCGUGUCCUAGGCCGUGUGACAACUGGUGCUAAAUUUUUAAAUUUCAAAUAAGUCAGAGAGCUCCACGGGCAAGGCACACGGUCGUGACACACGGGCAUGUGAGAGACCACACGGGCGUGGGAGAAGUGAACGAAGAAGCACACGGUCGUGCGAUAAUGCCGUGUGAACAACACGGCUUGGACACAAGGGCGUGUCCAAGGUCGUGUGAUGAGUGGCCUGUUAUCUCCCUCGACAAACACAGGCUGGGUUUCGCGCCACACGGGCGUGUGAUACGGCCGUGUGGCCCAACACAGACCAUUACAUGACCAUGUCCAUUUUAAAACCCCCCUAAACCCUAACAUUUUCUUUUUUCUUCUCCCCCAACCCUAGCCACCUCAAUAUUCCACCCCCACCGUCCAGCCACCCCCUAGUUCCCUCUCUCCCUUUUUUUUUUCCUUCCCCUUUCUCUUUCUUUUCUUUCUUUUCUUCCCCCACCCCUUUUUUCCCUUUCUUUCCCUUUCCUUCCCUCUUCUCCCUCUACCCCGACCCCUCUACGCCCCUUAACCUCCUUCACUUUUCUCCACCAAUGACCCCCACGCCAUCUGUCCCUCUGACCACUGGCAUCCGGUUCUCCUCUCAUUUCCCUUUAUUUCCAUCUAUGAACUUAUCCCCUAUUUUUAUUAUUUAUUUAUUUUCCCCUAUUAUUAUUGUGUUCUUAUUAUUUAUUUAAUCAUUCUUAUGAGUUUAUUUACUUACUGAUUUUGAUUGUUAAUUUCUAUUAUUUUCAUUCUUCAUAUCUGGCCAUGUGUUCACUUUCUUUCAUAUUUUCUCUAUUUUUAUAUGAUGAUAUUUUCGUCUAUUUUUGUAGUUAGAUAGCUACUGUUCUUAUAAUUAUUUUUGAUUGGCUGAAUUCUAUUAUUGGAGUCUUGCUGUUAGUUUUAAGUUGAUUUUUCUUGUACACAUGUUUCUUUCGAGUCCUAUUAUUAGUACUCCUUAGGUUUUAGCAUAUUGGUUCUUAGUUUGCUUAUUGUCUUCAUUCAAUUAUUAUUAUUAUUAUUAUUAUUAUUAUUAUUAUUAUUAUUACUAUUUUCUAUUUAUCCUUUUAGUUUAUUUCUUUAUUAUUUUUGUUCGCUCUUUUUCAGGUACAUUAUGACAAACACUCGAGGUAAAUCCAAGGUCGUCGUCUCCGCUUCAAAAAAGCGGAAGGGUCUUAGCGCAACAUCUUCGAGCGCCUCUACGAGGUUCGGCAUCCUCACCUUCGAUUCUCUGUGGACCCCCCUAAGGACUUAUUCCAGCUCCUGCGAGUGCGACCACUAGGUUUGGGCCGAUGCAUUGACUGGGUCGUGUUGGAGUAGGUCGGAUUAGCUGAUGAGGUCCGCACUUUUAUUGCCACAGCACCAUGGAACCGUUUCUUUGAUAUCAUCGAGCCCACAUAUAUGGAGCUUACUUUGGAGUUUUGCUCAAUGUUUUACCUUCAGCGCAUGAUGUCAUUGCAUGACAAGCACGGUACCAUUACAUUCCGACUUGGUGGCUUGGUGCGACAUAUGAGCAUCCCUAACUUUGGCGCAGCUUUGGGCAUCUACACCUAUGAGUUUAUGGGUGCUGAAAACUUUCCUCAUCUCCACCGUCACAUCCAUUACUCACCUUCAUACUGUUAGACCGAUCUCAUAGCUAGUCAGAUCCCUUAUGACGCGAGUCGCUUGAAGGCGACAUAUCUUUCUCCGGCUCUACGAUACAUCUACGCCUUAUUAGCUCACACUUUGACUAGUAAGAAAGAGAGAGCACAUGAGUUGUAAGUACUACUGACGCGUACUAUCUUUAGAGCAUGGCGACUGGCCACAUAUUCUACUUAGAUUAUUUCAUCGCUCUCACCUUUCGACAUCAGACAGAUUGCCACAGGAAGGGUCCCAUCUGUCUAGGCCCUUACGUAACUCACAUUGCUGACACUUCGGUCUUCUCAAUACACCAAAGCAGUCCUUGACACUUACUCUCAUUGGUUAGAUGUCCCCUCAGGGCAUCUUGAGCAUGAUCCACAUGAGGAUGAUCAAGCGGUGACAUGGAAUGGACCUAUCUCAGUACAGACUAGUCUAGUCUGACAUUCAGUAUGACCUAGAGGACUUCACUGAUGAUGUUUCUCCUUAUCACGAGGACUCACCACAACUUCCACCAUCGAGUCACUGACAUGCUCCCUCUGCUGCUAGCUCCCUAGGAGUAUCCUCUGAGGAGUUCGCUAGUUUCCGUCAAUACUAUACUCAGAGAUUCGAUAGUAUUGAUGUGACUUUACAGCAGAUCUGUCAGUAUCUUCAUAUCACUCCUCCAGCACCACCGACUCAUGACACUGAUCAGUCUGAUGAUGAGGACCAUUGAGUCCAUUUAUCUUUAUGUUUAUUUUUAUUUUUAUUUUUAUUUUUAUUUUUAUUUUUAUUUUGUUUUCCUGUUGUGAACUUUAUUUUAAUUAUUAUGGUUUUUUCUUAACGAGUAACCCUUUAAUUUUCUUUAGCAUUGUGUUUAUUUUCUUAUUAGUUACUCAAAAUUUUGCACUACCCCUACAUUUAUCUACAACUCCACUUUUCACUAGUAUGGGAAAUUUGCUGGAAUGCCGGUGCCCCCAAGGCGCAGCGGAAAAAUAAAAUUUCGGUAAUCCAAACCACGGAUCCAUGUACGAGGAACGGAUCGGGAAAAAAAUUAUGAUAAUGGUUUCGAAAUUACCAAAACUUCAAUCUAAUAAGACAGCGACGCCUGAGCAAUGAGAAUUCAAAACCAUUAUCAAACCAAGUCACAACUUUUUCAGAUGCCGACCUCUACGUAAUCCACCCAAUUGACAAUGAACGGAAGAAGUCCCCAAAAUUGUUUUAGAGAUUUUCUUUACUUGACGACUGCUAGACCACUCAAGCUAGGUUUUGGGUUUUAUUUAUAUAUAACUCCCCUUUUUAAUUGGUAUAUUUAUAACGAAUCUUAAUUCACAAAAUUUUAAAAUAAAUAAAUAUGAUAAUGUUUUAACCGAAAAUUAUAAUUACAUUAAUUAUAACAAAGAUUUUGGUAAACUAUAUUUAUUUAAAUUUAUAUACGAACCAAAAUCAUAUAUUAAUAGAAUUAUGUUCUCAUUAUUUGUACAACAUCCUUGUACAUAUAAUAUGUUCGAUAUUUGAUUGCCCAAUUAAAUUAAUUCUAUAAUUAAUUUAAUUCAUGUGACAACCAAAAACAAUACCAACUAUGUUUUAUUCCGAUCAUCUCAACCAUAUGGUGUGACCCUGUAGGCUCUUGUAACGUUAACAGUAAUACUAGAACGAUUCUAAUGUUACAUACAAAUACAAUGAGUGGCAUCUAGCAAUGCAUCAUUGCUACCUAAGUUACAAGAAGUCAUGAUACGACAUAACCUUUUGUGAUUUACCUUUCAUGCAUUAAUCCUUAAGUCCUUUAUCUCUAGAAUGAACACAAGUCAUCGAAUAGUCACACUUGCAUAGUCCAUCUCAUGUUUCUUGAUAUCUUGAGUAGACUAUGAUAUACAAAUAAGUAUGACAUCUCAAAUCAACUUAUUUGAGCAUGGCCAUGCAUUUCUAGUCUCACUCAAUCAAGUGGCCUAAGAUAUUACUCCCAUUAUGUAACAGGGACUUAUUCUAUAUUGAUCAACCAUAUCCCUCUACAUAGAUUGUGGUAUAUCCAACAUCAGCCUUUAUAGAACAACUAGUUACGAUGUACAUUUGACUGUAUCAAAAUAUACAACUCACGAUGUUGGGAUAAUGAUGAUCUCAAGUCUGAGGAUCAUAUACAUAUUAAUCACUAUGAGUAAUGUUGUGACAAUUACAUAAUAAUGCAAGAAACAUAUUCAUAGCGGGUCAGUCCAAUAUGUUGUUCUCUAACACAUAUAUUCAUGCAUUGAUUUUGACACUCCAUAUCAAUGACAACUCUUUAUCAUCAAUCAACUACAUGUUAGUCUUAAUGCAUUAUUGUUGUCCUAGUCAACAAUAAUACUUGACUAAGGAUCUUUUAAGAACAAUCAUAUUAUUCUCAGGACAUUAUUAUAAAACAGUUUAUUUAUACACACAGAAAAGAAACUGAAAUAAUAAUGGAAACGCCUUAUAUUAAUAAACAUGGUAAAUCAACUAUGUUAUUACAACCAUCUCAUGAUUGAUCUUUGGGCAUACUCUUACAAUAAAUUCAUCCACCAUUCAGGGCAGUCUCAAUCAUCUCCUUAUCUUAUGAUAUUUUGUCUUUAUUAUGAUUUAUAUUUGUUUGUACAUUAAGGACAAUGUACAUUUUAAGUGUGGGGAGGUAAUUUAUAUGAUGUUCAGAAAAUCCCUGAAUUAUAUUUUGUUCUCACAUAAUUUUCUCAUAUUACUAUUAGAAUGAAUUUUGAUUGAUUUAUGAUUUUUAUUGAUAUGUUUUGGAUUAAAGCAUAGGUAAUUGUGCAUUGAUUAUUUAAACUUAAGACAAUAGAGAAUCAAGCAUGAUAAGUUGAAUUUUUGAGAAUUAAAAUUGUUAGGUUGUUUCCCUGAAAUGAGGUAUUAUCGUGAAGUUUAAAUUUACAGGAUUGACAUCAAAAACCCAUAAUUUUUGUGAGAUUUUGAGCCUUUUAGAGUAUAUAUUUUUUGUGCUCACUUUAUUAUUGGUUAUGAGUGUGUCAAUAUUGAAUUGUUAUUCUAGAACUUGCUUCGAUUAUACAUAUCGAGACCACACCUUUGAUUUGAUAUACUGAGAUGAUAAAGGAACCUAGGUUUUAACCCACUUACCCCACAAAAAGCCUACCUUCAUAAUUAACCCUUAGUGAACCCCUUUGAGCUUAACAAACCAUUUCUUAAUUUACCCUAAAUUUUAACCCUUACAUCAUACUUUUUGAUUCGUUGAGAAUUUUUCCUAUUUUAUUGAUCCACUUUUUGUCGAGAUUUGAUUUGGCUAAUUGCCUAACUAUGUUCUUUUAUUUUAAUUGUAUAAUUUUCUCUCAUUAUUCAUUCAUUCAUUUAAAAAAAUGAAAAAAAGUAUACAUAUAUGUUGAUUAUUAUUAGUUCUUUAUUUUGAGCUUAAGUAUUUAAUUUCAUAUUUUGAGAAGAAGCUCAUGUUUAUCUUUAAUAUUGAUGUAAUUAUUUAUUGUUAGUUUAUUUUUCUAGUUAGGUAAUUUAUCAAUUCAAUCUUGAUUCUAACCUUCUUUUUUAGCUUUUUUCACCCCUUUAACCCAAGCCCCAUUACAACCCUGCUAAAGACCUUUUGAUUUGUGUAUCAUCUCAUUUAUAGUGGUGGAGAUUUGAUUUUCAUGCAAGCCUAUGGUAAUAACUUUUCAUGUUUGACUAAUGAGUGCUUCAUUUACCUUCAACACUUUGAGUGAUUUGAGUGAAUUUUUAGUGAGGAUGUCAACUAUUGUCGAUUUGGAAUUAAAGAUAAUUAUUUAGAUAAAGGGAAAUACUUAUGAUUUUAUGAUUAAAAUGCUCAACUGGAUUGUUUGAAACUUUGAUGUUCUUUUAGUUGAAUUCUCAAUGUAUGAUUAUUUGUGAAAUAUUUCGAAACAUUAUUGAUAAGAAUUAUAAGUUGAGAAGAAUGCAUUUUAAUUGUGAGUUGAGGAUUUUGCUUGAGGACAAGCAAAUGCUUAAGUGUGGGGAUAUUUGAUAAACCUCAAAAGUAACAUAUUUUAACCCCAUACUUGGCAUUUUUUGGAUGAUUUAUCAUAAGAUUUAGUGAAUUUGAUGCUCCUAAUCCUUUAAUUUCAUAUUUUAUAUCUAGAUGAGCAUAGGAAAGUGAAAAGUGCAAGAAAAAGACAAAAAAAGGGACAAAAUAGGUUUAUUUCAGUGCUACACACGGCCUCGACACUUCCACACGGGUAAUCCACACGUUUGUGUGAGACACACCAGCAGACCAUAUGCUCGUGUGUCAUGGCCAUGUCGACUUGAAACCAUAUCAGAAUUGCCCAUGGCCUGAGCACCAUCACACAGGUGUACCACACGGCCGUGUCCCUGUCGAGACCUAUUUUAAUUCUACUCGAAAAGGCUAAUUUUGGGCUAUUUUGGGCAUUCCAAAGUCUAUUUAAACACACGAGGAGAAGAUCUAAGGGGACACACAGAGUAGAAGGUUGAAAAUACUCGAAGACAGUCAUUGGAAUCAGCUCGGAAGUAGGAUUUACUUCAAGACUGAAGAUCUCCAUUCAGUUUCUACUGAAUUUUUUGGGUUUCUUUAUAUUUUGUUGUUUUCCCAAUUUUGAGAUGUUUUUCCCCAUCAUUAUGAACUAAAUUCCCUAAAUACCUAGGGAAGAUGAAACCAAAGAUGAAUCUUAUUAUCUUUUGAAUUAUAUGAUAAAUACUUGUUCUUAUUCUUAAUUAUGAGUUUUAAUCCUUGCUUUAAUAUUUCAAGAUAUUAAUUCAGGUUUUGAUGUGCUUAUUCACUAGUGCAAAAGUCCCUGUUUAAGAGUAGAUCUUCCAUAAUUAAGCGGAGUUGAUUGCAAUCCUAGAGAUAGGACGACAUAAAUCUGCCGAAUUAGAGUCAAAUCUAAUAAGGGAAUCCAUAGAUUGAGUUAAUGUGACAAUUGGGGUUUUAAUUAGAAAGAGAUUUCAAUAAAUCAACCUAGAGUCAGUUAUUUUUAGUCUCGAGAGAGAUAUUAACAUAAGCUAAGGAUUUCUACGAAUUAAGUUAAGUGAAUAAAUCGUCUAAUUCAAAAGUAAUAAGUGGAGUCUAGGUGGAUUCUUCCUUGGGUAUUGUCUUCUCCAUCGAUUUUCCAAAAGUAUUUUCCAACUUUUAUCUCUGUCGUGUUCUUAGUUAAUUAGAUCAUUAAUCUUAGUUUAAAAAACAUCAUUUUAAUUCUUAGGCUAGAUAAUAAAAAGAUAGUAGUUACUAGUACUUUUAGUCCUUGUGGAUACGAUAUUUCCGGUCUCACCAUAACUAUACUACUUUCAAUAGGUGCACUUGCCUUAGUUGAAUUUUUAGUCAGUUUAACGACUAUCAAUUGGCAUAUCACGAUAAAACAUGUUAUUCUGAAUGAAAAUGAUAUGAGGUGUUAAGGGGGUAAAUGUAUGAAAAUGAAAAUUUAUGAUAUGCUUUUAAUUCUACAUUUUGGGUACGUGGGUGCCAUGAAGAUAGUUUAUCUAAGUUAUGUUAAGUUGGGUACAGUAUACACUCAUGUGUUAUGAUAAGUUGGUGUGCUCAAUUUGUCUGUGUUCUGCAUACACCGUCGGGUAUACUAUGUUCAUCGUGUGUAAGUGUUCCUAAAAGGUUCGGAUGUAUUGUAACACCCCUUACCCGUACCCGAGGCCGGGAUAAGGUACGAGGCAUUACCGGACAAACAUACAAACAUUAAACUAAAAUACGGGCCAUAAAAUUUCAUUCAUAUUUCAAAACGUUCAUUCACUUACACAUAGUCCCUUAUUUGAGUCUACAAAGCCCAAAACAUACUUUAGAAAGGGUUUGGGACUAAACCGAGAACUUACGAAAAUCUAGGAAAUUUCAUGCUUUAAGGCUCCACAUGCCCGUGUCCCAAAGUCGUGUUCCAUACACGGCUGAGACACAUGGUCGUGUCUCUGCCUAUAUGGAAUAUACCUAGGCUAUUUUCCAAGCUUUUGCACUUAUACAAAAUCAAAAGCAUAUAACAUGGUAUUCAUUUAAUGAUUAAAUAUUCUCAAUUAAACCACCAACAUAGCAUUUGUAUGUCAUCAUACAUGUGUCUCUCAUACUCAUUUUACCUUGUUUAUUAUAGUACCACUUAUACAUUUAUACCAAGAUUAUCAUCUUACAAAAUAUCUUCAGCUUAAUCAUCAAGCAUUCAUAUUUAAAACUAGAUCAUAUCUUUAUAAAAUACCACAAUUCAGAUACGCAAAAUAACAUGUUUGCCUGAAACAUUUCAAUUCAACUCCAUACCCAACAAGCAUUACAUUGAGACUAGUCAUAUAUAUAUACAUGUCAUGAUACAUAUCAUUCUCUUUUUGUUUUCUUGUAAACACAUAUCAUUUAUUUCAUUAUAUCAAUAUUUCAUAUACCAUAGUUUCCAUGUAUUCCACAUAUAUUUAUUUUCCUCCUCCUCCUCUCCAUUCCACAUCCUUAAUGUAUAUAACAUUCUUGUAAGUACGAUUUCACAAUUUACUAGUAAAUGCUCACAUCAAACUUUCCACACGAGUCAUAGUCACUUACUUAUUUAUAAUUCGAGCUACAGAGCUCCAAAUUAAGAUCCGUAAAUUUCCCCUAAAACUAGACUCACAUAUAUUUCCACCAUAAAAUUUUCAUAAUUUUUGGUUUAUCCAAUUAGUACAGUUUAUUCAUUAAAAUUUCCCCUGUUUCACUUUCUGACAGUUCUGACCUCUCUUCACUAAAAUUUAAUUAUCUCACAGUACAGAACUCGGAUAAUGUUCUUGUUGAUUUAUCUUGAAAAUAGACUCAUUAAGGAUUUUAAAAACAUAAGUUUAAGACUCUAAUUAUUUUUAUCCAAAAUUUUGUGAUUUUCCAAAGUCAAAACAGGGGAUCACGUAAUCAUUCUGAACCAGUCUCACAAAAACAGAAAUAUCUCAAAAUAUAGAACUCCUUUUCUUGCUCUGUAUCUUUUAUAUGAAAAUAGACUCAUUAAGUCUCUGAUUCAAUUUCUACUAUUUUUGGUGAUUUUUCAAAAUCACGUCACUGCUACUGUCCAAAACAGUUUUAUUGCUAAUUCACUCUUUCACACUUUCUUUGUAUUAGCCUCAUUUUAACAUACAUAUCACAAAUCAUUUUCACCAUAUUUCAUACAUCACAAGUAUAGGCCCAUGAUCACAAGGUCACCUUAAAAUCAUCCUCAUGUAUAACUUACUUGUUUAUAACCUCACCACAUCCUGGUCACUUAAUGAACACAUCAUUCAGAUAAUCAAGUUCCUGCACUUAUUCAUCGCAAAACUCACAAAGCAAUACAUAGAGAGUCUCCCGUUGAACACUUCGGAUCAAUCCUCGAUACUUGGUGGUUUCAGCACAUAGCUCCACCCAUCAUAUAGUUCGGGUCUCUUGUACACAUGGUGAACACUCAGUACCACCAAUGUGACCUAGCCAAUUUAUCUCAUAGCUCUCUUGUCUACAUGGUGUCCUUCACCUGGAACCACGCAUGCAACCUAGCUACAUAUAUCCCGUAGCUCUCUUGUCUACAUGGUGUACACAUAGUAUCACCCAUACGACCUAGCUACAUCAUAAUGUCUUGUAGCUCUCUUGUACACAUGAUGUGCACUCAGCACCAUACAUGUGACCUAGCUACAUACUAUCUGUAUCAUCCAAUCUUUCCGAAGGUUCAACCGGGAUUUCUCUCUCUUUCCAACAAUUUCACCAAUCAAGUUAUUAUCCACAAACAUAUUUCUAAUAUUAUUAUAAAAUAUCAAAAUACAAGUAAUAUUGAUAAAUUACUUACAUAUAAACUUACAUCUCAUUUAAUAUCAAGGCAAUAACAUUAAAUUACACAUUGCCUUAUUAAAAAUCAUAUGAACUUACAAUUUCCCAUAAUAUCCAUAAUCAUAGAAAUCACAUUUAUGUAUGAUAAUUCAAUGCACUUCAUGUACCAUAGACAUAUUUUUAAAUCAAUUCAUAAACUUGGCACCAUAAUCAUUUAAUUUAAUAUAAUUCAAUUAAUUCACUAAAUUUAACUUUCAAAUAUAAAUUACAGCAUUAUUGUUGUAUUAUUAUCAUACCAACUUACAUACUUUCAACACCUCGGAAAUCAUAAUGAAUAUAUCAAUUUUACAUUGAAACAUGCAUAAAUUAAUGCUUAUUAUACAUAUGAACUUACCUCGAUACUAAAACGACCAUUUUACCAACUUUCCCAAUUUUCGAUUUUUCUCUCAUUCUAGGUUCAAAUCUCGUUUUCCGAGAUCUAAAACAUUAUAUUUUACUUAUUUAAUUAAUGUAAUAUUCAAAACAUUCCUUAACUCAAACUUUGGAAAAAUUACAAUUUUGCCCCUAAACUUUUGCAUAUUUACACUUUUGCCCCUAGGCUCGGGAAUUAAACUUCAUCCCUUAUUAUUAUGUUUUAUGACAUGCUGAUCACUUUUCCCUUCUAUGGAAACAUCAAAUUCUCACUCUAACAUAUACUUAUGACUAUUAGGUAUUUUUACCGAUUAAGCCCUUUUACUCGUUUUCACUCAAAACCGAGUAGCACAAGUUGUCUAACAUAAUUUAAAACCUCAUAUUCUAUUAUAAAACAGAAAAAUAAACACAUUUCACCUAUGGGUAUUUUUCCAAAUAUGAACCCUAGCUUAAAUUAUUGUUAGAAUAAGCUUAAUCAAAUUACCGGGAUUCCAAAAACGUAAAGAACUUGAAAAACAGGGUUAUAAUGGGCUUACUAUUGAGCUUGGAAAGCUUGAAAACCCUAGCCAUGGCUUCCCCCAUGCUAAUUUUGGCCUCCAUAAGAAAGAUGAGUCAAUUUUGGCUUUAUUUUCCCUUUUUAUUUCUUUUAAUUACCAAAUGACCAAAAUGCCCUUCCUUAUUAAACUUUCAAAAAUUCCAUCUAUGUCCAAUUUUUUUCCAUCACUUAGAAAUUGGUCAAAUUUCUAUUUAAGACCCCCUAAUUAAUAUUUCAAAGCAAUUUCAUACUAGAAACUUCUAGAAUGCAAGUUUUGCAACUUAUUCAAUUUAGUCCCUAACUUCAAAUUGAGCACUUUAUGCAUAGAAUUUCUUCACGAAAUUUUCACACAAUCAUGAAAUCAUAUCAUAGACCUCAAAAUAAUCAUAAAAUAAUUAUUUCUAUCUCGUAUUUUGUGGUCCCGAAACCUUUGUUCCAACUAGACCCAAUUUUGGGCUAUUACAUGUAUUGUAAGUAAUGAUAUGUAUGGUUUCUUUCUCGAAACUCACUAUGUUCAUAUGAACUUACUACGUUACCUCUUCAUUUUCAGGCUUGCUGACUAAAGGAAGACUUUAUUAGAAAAACUACGCUAGAGCGUUACUGUUAUUGUGAGCUGAUUUUUUUGUUCUGCAUCGUGCAUAACUCCUGGGGCGGCAUAUAAAUGUGUUUUGGAAAUUAUCUGUAUAAAGAACUUCUACUUUGACAAGACUUUAUUUUUGCAGGAUUUCUAUUAAGUAUCAAUGUCUAGAUUUAAAUUAUUGUAUUCUGUUUAAUGAAAUUAUUAGAUUUGAACUUGUAUGCCAAAUGGCUUAAACAUUAUUUCAAACUGUUAAUAAUUUCAUUCAAACUUCAAUAGAACCACAACUAUCAUAUUUUUAUAUAUAUAACCUUGUAAUAAUUUUUUAGAGCUUCCACCAAAUUGUUUUGCUUUAAGCUAGUCUAAUUUUGAUUAGUGACACAUCAAACUCGAAUCCUAUCAUAGGGUUGAGCUUAUCAUAUUACACUUCAAGUGCAUUUAUACAUUUAUAUAUAUUAAGGAAAGUACAAAAAUGCUCGAAUUCUAUUUUGGUCACUGAACUCUUAAUUUUUUCUAUUUUGGUUACUAAGCUAUUUGAAAUCAGUUUUAUUUUGCUACCGAACGUUAACAAUCAUUGAAAUUUAACAAAAGUGCCAACAUGAACUUGUUUAUUAGUCUAAAAACAAAUUUAGCCCUCUAAAUUUAAAUAGAAUAUCUAUUUAUAUUAAAAAUUUAUACAAAAAUAUUAAAAUUUAUUAAAAUUCCUAAAAGAGUAAAAUAAUAUUUUUUAUGAGCUAAUAUUCCACUAAUUUUUUUGGAACACAUUGUUUUUAUUUAAUUUCUCAAAUUUUUUUAAAGUUUUAAUUCCUCAAUUAUUAAUGUCAUUACUUUGCUUUAUUAUCAGGUCCAUCACCUAAAAAAACUUGAUAGACGAACAAUAAAAAAAAUCAAACCUUCAAAUGAUAAAUGAAAAUUGAAACUAAAAUUUAAAAUAAACAAAAUAUUUUGUUUGAAAAUACAUUGAAAAUUUUAAACAAACAACAUUCUUCUUUAAUAAAUUAAUGAACGAAAACUGAAAAUUGUUUCAGUCUUAAUCUCAGUUAAAAUCAAUAAAAAAUGAAUAAAACCAAGAAAUAUCUAAUCCCAAAAUUGAUCAACACAAUUAAACCUCAAUUUCAAUUUUUGCUCAUCAAUCUCAAAACCUCACAAACCAAAAACACUGAAAAUAGAAAGUCUAACUCAACUGUUCAAAAAUUUCACUCAACAAAAAGAAAUAAUCUAAUAUUCCAACCAAAAUAUAUUAACUCUUACUUCUAUAAAUAGAAGUUUCUAUCAAUAAAUGAAAUUUCUAUUAUCUUAAAUUACAGUCGAUAGUUGAAAUGUUCCUUUCCAACGUAAUAGAAAUAAAAGAGUUAAUUCAAUGAUACUUAAAUAAUUUAAUAUAAUGUAAAAUUUAAAUUUAAAUUUAAAUUUUUUUAAAUAAUUAAUAUAAAUUAUUUGUUAAAUUAAUAAUAAUAAAAAAGUUAAAUAUAGUAACAAAUAAGAUUGAAAUAAUUUAAAAUAAAUAAUAUUUAAAUUAUUUAAUAUGAUAAUGUAUAAAAUAUAAAUUUUAUAUUUUUAAAUAAUUAAAUAAAUAAAAACAUUUGAUAAUUUUCACUUCUAAACUUAAAAAUCAAAAAAUCUAAUUCUCAAGUUUUAGGUUGGAAUAAAAAGUCACAUGUUUUGAUUGUUUUUCUAAUGAAAAUCACUUUUAACCAAAAGUAUUUUUCCACCCAAUGGAUAAAACACCCUGACAAAAGAAAAAGUGUAGGUGUUGCUAUCCGUACUCAAAUUACAUAAAUACCACUCGAACUUAACUUGGUUAAUACAAUCGUUCUAAAAGGUGAUCUUCGACAUUAUAUUCAUUACUCGAGUACUUAAAUAGAUUAUCUAAUCCCUUGUAAAAGAGCAGAAGUCUCAAUAUCACGUAGGUUUAUGCACUCCACAACAUGCAACAUACCCAACGGUAUAUGAUCCACCUCUUAAAACAAAAGAGAUUAAAGUUUGAGAACCUCAAGAUUAUUUUCCGUGUUAUUUCUCAACACCGUUUCCAUUUUUAAACACAAUGGGAAUAACCAAGCACAGAGAUCAUAGAGUUUGCCUAAUGGAACUGCACAGAGACCGAUAUCAUCGGCAUCUUAAUAACGGUGUAUAAGUUGCUUGUAUGCAUCCUUGUUCUUUGAAUAGUACUGAAUCUCUGCCUGUAUAUAAGUAUUAAUUUCAUCGGCAUCAGUUUAUGCAUUGAAACUUUAUCUAAAAUAUUAACAUUUUGGAAACCAUGGUCGGAACUUACAUUUCGACCUCCUUUUAUAGCCGUGAAAAGCUUUUCACCAAUCAUCUCCCUCAACACAUUGUUGUUCUCAAGAGCUUCUAUGGAUUCAGAAAGCGAUGCUGGGAGUCUUAGUAGUUUCUGGUCGAGUGUAGCCGGAUUUUCAUCUUUUUCAUUGAUAAAAGACAACAAGACACUAUUGUCAGGGACUUCUGUAUAAAAAUUUAUACAGUGAACAUUUAGUCAAAGGAACCAUUACCAUAACUUUUUAGCCGAUUUAUUCAAUGCGUUGGAAAGAAAAUAAGAAUCUUAACUUCAAUCUUUGCAGUACUAAGAGCUUAACAGCUUACGGUGUUUAAGAGAACUGCUUAUCAUCUGAGAAUUCAUAAUAUCCUACAUAUGACCUUUGGAUGAGAAAUUUUCAUAUAUAUGAAGAUCUUGUUAUGAGUUAUGGCCACAACAGUCUCUAGUAUUCUUUGCGGACGAGUGCAUUUUGUUCAGUCUCAGAGAUAUUAUAGGUAUUUGUGAGUUAUGCCUAUAAAUUUCAAGGUGCAAAACAUUUGGUAGCCCAAGUGGUAAUACAGAAAAAUGCAAAUAGUUCUUACUAAUAGGUUCAGGCAGAGGAAGGUGGUUCCGCAGGCCAUCAAUUCCAGCAGCAACUAUAGCAGCCAAUCCCAAGUGUGGAUUUGCACAUCCAUCAAAAGAUUUGAUCUCAAAGUUGCUCACAAAACCAUUUGGAACUGCCGGUGGACAUGCAGUUCUUACAGGUGCCUCUCGGUUUUCAUUUCCCCAGCACUGAUACGCUCCACUCCAUGUAUUAGGCUGAAUCCGGUCAUAACUGAAGACAAAUAAAAGUUGAAGUAGGACCUAAGUAGAUGAAAGUGAGGCCAGAAAUUGAAUAGGUAGUCCCUCCAAUAUAUGCUAGGGGGGAGAAUCCAUCAUAUCAGUCAGGUUAAGUCCGAUCUUAAAUUUAUUACAAAAAUAUAAUAAUAUUUAGAAGAAUAGAAUAAACCUAUUUGGAAGUGGUGCCGUGAACGCCAAAAUUGAAGGAAGAUGGGCCAAAACCCCAGCCAUGAACUCCUCCCCAACUUUCGACAUUCCGUACUAACUAGAUCUAUUGGACGCUGUAAAAACAUUUCGUCCAUUCUGCCAUAAACUGACAUGCACAUGGGAUCCCGAACCUAUGUCAUUCAAAGCGUACCUAGGCAGAGGAAUAGGUCAAAAGUGUUAGGCAUUCUAGAAUUCCAAAAAGCUGGACAUGCAAGAAAGCCUCAUGGUUGCGAUUUAGACAUUUGACAUAGACUUUAGCUCAAAUGAUUAGCAAAAGAGUGUUCCCAUAAUCAUCUAUUUUGAAAUAUUUAUAUAUUUUAAAUUUAUUUAGGUGAUAAAUCUUAUUUAGAAAGAUAAAUUUUAUUCAUAUUUUAAGAAUAUUUUUAUUUUAUGUUUUAGUAGUUUAUUAGAAUAGGGGAAUUAUUUUCCCAAUUAGAAUUAGGAUUGUUUUCUCUAUUUAAGUUCAGUUUUUUAGUUAAUAAUUAUAUAACAGUUUUAUUAAAAGCUCUCUUGGGAACUUUCAUGGCAUCUGAGAUAGGUUAAAUCUCUAGUAACAUCAUGGUUAAACCUUGGUGCAAUUACUGCAAAAAAUAUUGGCACACUCGAGAAACGUGUUGGAAGCUCCAUGAGAAACUGACAAAUAGAAGGAAAAAGAGUGACAAUGGUCGUGGUUCACAAUCAGGAGAUAGCAAAGCUUUCCAAACAACUAAUGGAAAUUAUGAGGGCCAAAGUUCUCUGGAAGGGUCUUCAUUCACUAAGGAACAAUUAGAGCAUUUACACGAGUUUUUUCAAUCACCACAAUUUCGGAUGAAUUCUUCUAUUCCUAACUCAUCCAACAAUCCUUCUUCCUCUUUUGCCCAAUCAGGUACUGAUUUUUCUGUUUUUCUCAGUGUCAAGCCUUGUAAAACAAACACGUGGAUCGUUGAUUCUGGAGCUAGUGAUCACAUGACUAGUAGUCAUUUUCUUUUUUCAACUUACACACCUUGCGCAGGAAACAAAAAGAUCAAAGUAGCAGAUGGGUCCUUCUCGGCAAUAGCCGGAAAAGGCAUUGUUAAAAUUUCGUCUUCCUUGGUUUUACAUGAUGUUUUACAUGUGCCAAAUCUAGCUUAUAAUCUCAUAUCGGUCAGUAAAUUAUCCCAGCUCUCAAAUUGUCAUGUAAUAUUUGACUCCUUUAUGUGUAAGUUUCAGGACAUGGUCUCGGGGAGGAUGAUUGGCAAUGCUAAAGAAUUUGGGGGAAUUUACUUUCUUGAAGACGACCAUCUAAGUCAACCAACUACUACUUUAUGUUUAAAUUCUAUUUCUGAUUUUGAUAAGGUUAUGAUUUGGCAUUAUAGGCUUGGACAUCCUAAUUUUUACUAUUUAAGAUAUUUGUUACCUAAUUUAUUUAAAAACAAAUAUCCUUCUUCAUAUCAUUGUGAUUUUUCUGAAUUAGCUAAACAUCAUCAGUCAUUCUUUCCACCUCAAAAAUAUAAAGCCUCCAAACCUUUUUCGUUAAUUUAUAGUGAUGUUUGGGGACCUUCAAGAGUCUCAACUUUUUCAGGAAAACAUUGGUUUGUCACAUUUAUUGAUGAUCAUACUCAAAUUUGUUGGGUGUUUUUAUUAAAAGAUAAGUCUGAAGUUAAAAAUGUUUUUAGUCUUUUUAUGCUAUGGUGGAAACACAAUUUGGUGUGAAAUAGAAGUAUUUCGGACUGACAAUGGUAGGGAAUUUUUUAGCGACCAAUUAGGUGCUUUCUUAACCAAACAUGGAAUAGUCCACCAAAGUUCUUGUACAAAUACACCACAAAAAAAUGGGAUUGCAGAAAGAAAAAACCGACAUCUUUUGGAAGUAACUAGAGCCUUGAUGUUCACUAGUCAAGUACCACGUUAUUUUUGGGGCGAAGCCUUGUUAAUAGCUACAUAUCUUAUUAAUAGAAUGCCCAGUAAAACUCUAAACUAUAAAACUCAUUUUCGUCUCUUUAAAGAUAACUUUCCUAACUCUAAAUUGAUCACAGAUUUAUCCCUCCGAGUUUUUGGGUGUAGUGUUUUUGUUCAUCUUCACAACCAAGGUAAACUAGAUCCUAGAGCAAAAAAAUGUGUCUUUGUUGGCUAUGUUUCUAAUAAAAAGGGUUACAAAUGUUAUGAUCCAAUUGAUAGGAAGAUUAUUGUUACCAUGGAUGUCACAUUUGUUAAAACACAAUCUUAUUUUGAUUCUAAUCUUCAGAGAGGGAAUUAUACUAAGGAAGAUUCUAUAAUUGAUCAAGAAAAGACUAGGAAUAUACAACAUAGGGAUUCUAAUAAUGGGGAAGGUGAAUUUAUGAUUAAUACAGAAAUUACUGAUGUUAAUGUUAAUGAAAAUGAGUAUGUAGGUGUAGAGUCUGAUCAUGAGAAUAAAGAACAAACAAACGAGUUAAUUGUUUACUCAAGAAAAAAUCGAAAUCAAGAAAGUGGAAUCCACCGGAUUCAUCACCAAGAAUCCGACCUGCAAGAUCCUGUCAAAAGUCCAGGUAAAGCUUAUAAUCCAGCCAAUGAAUUUUCUAAUUUAGAUAUUCCAAUUGCCAAAAGAAAAGGUGUUAGAAAUAUCGUCAAAUAUCCCAUGUCUAACUUUGUAUCCUAUAAAGCCUUGUCUUCGACAUUCUCAACCUUUGUUUCGUGUCUCGAUACUGUAAAAAUACCCAAAAAUGUGAAAGAUGCUUUACAGGUUCCUGAGUAGAAGUAGGCUAUUUUAGAGGAAAUGCGCGCUCUUGAAAAAACAGGUACAUGGGAAACAAUAGAAUUACCUGUAGGAAAAAAAACAGUGGGCUGUAAAUGGGUGUUCACAACCAAAUUCAAAUCAGAUAGAUCUUUAGAUAGAUACAAAGCCCGGUUGGUGGCUAAAGGGUACACUCAAACAUACGGGAUAGAUUAUCUUGAAACAUUUGCUCCUGUAGCCAAACUAAAUUCCAUUCAGAGUUCUUUUAUCGAUUGCUGUUAAUCUUGAUUGGACUUUAUAGCAGCUAGAUGUGAAGAAUGCUUUCCUAAAUGGGAAACUUGAAGAAGAAGUUUGAAGAAUGCUUUCCUAAAUGGGAAACUUGAAGAAAAAGUUUACAUGUAUCCUCCUCUAGGUUUUGAAGAAAAAUUUGGAACUCAAGUAUGUAAACUCAAGAAAUCUUUAUAUGGUCUCAAUCAGUCUCCUCGAGCUUAGUUUGAAUGGUUCACUCAAGUUGUUAAAAAACAAUGUUACUUAUAAGGGCAAGCUAAUCACAUAAUGUUCUAUCGACAUACACAAAAAGGUAAAAUACCAGUUAUUAUAGUUUAUGUCGAUGAUAUCAUUCUUACAGGAGAUGAGGUGGAUGAAAUAAGGCGUCUCAAAGAGCAUCUAGCAUUGGAGUUUGUGAUCAAAGACCUGGGUCCUUUGAAAUACUUUCUUGGAAUGGAAGUUGCUCGAUCAAAGAAGGGUCUUGUGGUCUCUCAGAGAAAAUAUGUGAUUGAUCUUUUAAAAGAGGCUAGGAUGAGUGGUUGCUGCCCAGUUGACACACCAAUUGAUCCAAAUGUAAAAUUCGGAAAUAAAGAAGGUCGAUAGUUGAUAAAGGGCAGUACCAAAGAUUAGUUGGUAAGUAAUUUACUUAUCACGUAUAAGGCCAGACAUAGCUUUUGCAGUGAGCUUAGUGAGUCAAUUUAUGCACUCUCCAAUGGAGGAACAUGAAGAAGCAAUGUUUCGAAUUCUAAGAUACUUGAAGAGUUCCCCUGGAAAGGGCUUAUUCUUCAAGAAAUCUGAGCAAAGAGGAAUUGAAGCUUAUACAGAUGCAGAUUGGGCAGGCUCAAUAAUAGACAGAAGAUCUACAUCAGGAUACUGUACAUUUGUUGGAGGAAACCUUGUGACUUGGCGAAGCAAAAACAAAGUGUUGUAGCAAGAAGUAGUGCAGAGGCUGAGUUUAGAUCAAUGGCUCAAGGCAUUUGUGAAAUGAUGUGGUUAAAAAGAAUUAUGGAAGAGCUGAGGAAACCAAUAACUUCACCAAUGAAGUUGUACUGUGAUAGCAAAGCUGCCAUUAGUAUUGCUCACAACCCAGUCUAACAUGACAGAACUAAACAUGUUGAGAUUGAUAGACACUUUAUCAAGGAGAAGAUUGAAGAAGGCCAAGUGUGCAUGCCGUUUGUUCCUUUAAAACAACAGAUUGCUGACAUACUCACCAAAGGACUCUCUAAGACAAGCUUUGAUUUUCUUGUAAGCAAGUUGGGCACGAUUGAUAUAUAUGCACCAACUUGAGGGUGUUGAAAUAUGUAUAUAUUUUAAAUUUAUUUAGGUAGAUAAAUCUUAUUUAGGAAGAUAAAUUUUAUUUAUAAUCUAGGAAUAUUUUUAUUUUAUUUUUAGUAGUUUAUUAGAAUAAGAAAAUUAUUUUCCCAAUUAGGAUUAGGACUGUUUUCUCUAUUUAAGUUCAGUUUUUUAGUUAAUAAUAACAGAACAGUUUUAGUAAAAGCUCUCUUGUAAACUUUCAAUCUAUACAUUGUUAUAUUAACCACUUAGUUUUAAUUUGGAAGUUUGAAUAUUUUAGAAUAAAUUAGUAUUAUUCGUAUAGAAAUUGAAUGAAUCCUUCGUCAGCAAACACAAAUUUGAACGAACCAUUUAAACUAUAUUCAAAAAAUAAUAAUCAUAAUGAUCAACCAUGUUCGGACAACUAUUCAUCAUUCUUAAAUCCCUAUGUCUUUCUAUCUGCAUCUGCUUAUCCCAAAAUAUUGGAAACUAUAGAUGUAGACCAUGAGGGCAGCGAUGCAAGCAUUGAUUGAAAUAAGAGAAACAACUGCAACUUACUUCGGGACAAAAGUUGCCAACAGUCCCUGCUUAUUUGCAGCCGCCCUAACAGCUUCGCGCGCAAAAAUCAAACUGUCAGCAGCAUAUGUACAAGCAGUGUGCGCCAGAGCUAUUUCAGACUGACCUUUUCCAGCUUCUGCAUGCAACUGCAAAAUUUUAAAGCUAAAGUAAACAGAAGCAGCUAAUAAUCACACUUGCACUUCAAAAGAAACACAAUGCAGCAUACACAGGAAGGUAAAAAGAGAGAAAAAAAAUGAUUUCUGUCUCUACUACGAGUUAAAUAGGAACUAAACUUAUGCUGUCAUCAGUAGAUUAACUAAUAAAAAGGAACAUAGUUUCAUGGAUAAUUAUUACAUUAUAUCAUAUGCAAGCAAUUAUUUGUCAUUGGUGAUGCAUUACUGAUCAAAAACUGUACUAGACCUUUGUCUCUAGCCACUUACACGAAAAGCAAGAAACUUAACCAUCUUCAAAUUCUAUUUCAUUUUAGAAAGUAAUGCAUAAAGAAAAGAUCUUCAUUACAUGCACUCAUGCUCGAUGCUUUCACUACUACUGGUGUUGAUCCAGGCAAACUCAAAGUUGAUCACGAUAUAUUCUUAUAUUGGAUUAUUUCAUGUCUUGAUGGAGAUGCUCAACUAAAUAAAUUGCACAAUGAAGACAAAUUAGUUGUCAGUUAAAUAUGAUCAUAAAGGAUAUGACUGGGCCACACGCAUGAUCAGUUUGAUAGAAAGUUAUGUUGCGCCAACCCUUACAUUUUUCUUCAAGUGUUGGGGUCUAACACUCAUUUCUGCUACAUUUUUUUCGCAAAUGGGUAUGAGAAUACAACCCUAUAAUGACCCUUCAAAUACAUGAAAAACUUUCAAAGAAUUGAAAAUACCCACGUCGGGCACAUACAGUAUCUAACACUCAAACCCAAGUCCAAAUAACACCGAAAGUGCCUCCAACAAAUGAAGAUAUCAAGCAUAUAUGACUUCUAAUCUGUAUCUGUUCAACAACAACAUUCAAGGAAUUGAGAGCAACAAUAAUUUCUUGAAAUAAAGUGGAGACAGCAUCAAAUCCAGAAGAGGAGCAGUAAGGUUUUGAGUCAAUUGGCACCCAGCACUCUUCCAUCUCCUUUCUGCAAAAUUUCAAUGUAAAAUUUUCUUAAAUUGUGCAGAACCUCAGAUUGGUAAAAUAAAUGGAACAAAUCCACAUAUAUAACCACCUUAUGAUCUUUUUCAAGAGAUAAAAUUCAUUUUCAAAUCCUGCAUUCAUUUCCUGUGCAUGUACCAUUUAUUAAUUCAUCAUGAAAUACAAUCCCCUAUGACAAGUAUGACAAACAACCUGACAUACCAAGUUAAACUCAUCUUUUAAAACUUUUGAAACCCUUCUUAAUGCCUCUCUAGGGCAGUAUUCCCAUGGUUCACCAGGUCUAAGGUGCAUAUCAGCCAAAACCAUAUCCUCUUGUUUUUUCCUAUGACAUUGUUUUGAAGAAAUAAUGAAAAUUAGCUUGUACCAAUGAUGAUCACGGUCAUGGCAAUAUGAUUACCAUCAAAGAUCAUACAGCACAAUAAGAAAUUGGAAUGAUAUAAUUGCAUGUAAAAUAUGUGAAGGUGUUAAAAGGUCAGAUAUAAAUGCUUCACAUUGUAAAAACCAUUUAUUUAUUCCUUGAAUAUAUGGUACCAUGGAAUUUUCCUCAUAGUCAAUAGAUCAGGCAUCAGCCUGAUCUCACCCGUUGCAGUCAGAUUAGUCUCAUCAGCUGGACUGUCAAUAGACGAACUCAUAGCCAUACAUGCAAAAGUCAAACCAACACCAUUUUUCUUCACAACAUCAUCAAAGCGUUUCUUUGGAACAACCUGAAAUGUUAAAAGAUAAUUAGGGAGAUGGAACUAAAAUGUAUUUUUAUUCUUUCUGACAUGAAUAAUGCUAAAUAAAUUAGGGAGAAACAGAAAAAAAGUAUAGUUUACCCUUUCAGAUAUCAAUAGAAGGAAGAGGGGAUCAACUCACUUCUGAAAAUUAAAGAUUUGCUUAUACAAACUGUUGAGAAUAUUUGAUUUUUUAAAUAGUAUCGUUAGAAAUUACAGCUGAUAUUUUUAGAAAUUCUAAUUAAGAGAGAUUAUUUCCUUAAUUUUUAAAUCCUACAUGUAUAUAUAAUUGUACAUAUUUCCAAGAAAUAUAUAAUUUGAGAGAGUUUUUUUUUCCUCAAUACAUUGAAGUAUUCAUCUCUAAUUUCAUCAUGGUAUCGAAUUUUUUAUUCGAUUUUUGAGAUCUUUUUUCUGAUUUAAAUUUUUUUUCCCACAAACCCUAUAAACACAAAUUUGGUACUUUCAACCCUAGUCUCAUUUUUUCUUCUCACCGCCCCUACCAUUGGAGUCAGAAUCCACUCGCCGGCAAAAUCCUAGACUCCAGUGACCAAAAGACCCACGCAUGGGCCCCAUGCGCUGUCGCAAGCUUCUGCUGCUCCGUUUCACGCACCGCGCGUGGACUCCACCUGCUGCUGCCGUGUGUUUUCCAACUCCGUCGCUGUGCUCUCUACUCUAUUCCGGUCAUUCUCCUCUAAGUGGCGGUGUGUUUUUGGCUAAGUUUUUUGGGAAGGAUAUAUUUGGUGUUUUUUUUGGGGGUAUUUUUGUUCUAAUUGUGCAAGCAGUUUUUUUGGGGGGUUAGUUGUUUUUUUCCAGCAUUAUGUCCAUAGACGAGAAUCUCGUGAUUCCAACCGAUAAUCCUUCGUUGCAAAUUAGUCUUGUGAAGCUUGAUGGACAUAAUUACUUAGCUUGGUCAAUGUCCCCCUCGUUGUUUAUCAAGGCUCGUGGCUUGCAGGGGUGUCUCACCGGUAAAUUGUCGAAACCUGAACUCACUGAUUCAACUUUUAGCCAGUGGGAUUCAACGAACUCUCUUGUUAUGACAUGACUUAUCAACUCUAUGCAACCCCAUAUUUCCAAAACCUAUGUGCUGCUUGAUACUGCGGAAAAGAUUUGGAAUGCUGCUACUCUCACCUGCACUCAUGUUGGGAAUGAUGUGCAAAUUUUUGAAAUUCUUAAUAAGGUCCAUGUUACAAAACAGGGGGAGCUAACGAUUUCUCAAUAUUUUUCUAAAUUAAAUGGGUUGUUGCAGGAACUUGAUUCUUAAGAUUUCAAGUGAGUUGUGCCAAUGAUGCCGAAAAUUUUUAAAAGAUUGUAGAAAAGGCGUGUUUUUUAUUUCUUAGCUGGGUAGAAUACUAGGUAUGAUUAGAUUUGGUUCAAGUUCUUAAGAAGACUCUGUUUCUUUCUCUUCAUAUGGCAUACUCUUAUGUACAACAGGUGGAGAGUCGUCGUGGUGUUACAAUCUAUAAUCCACCUUUAGAGAAAGCUAACCUUAUUGCUAAUCAGGAUGGCCCAUCGGGUGGUUAGUUUACCAAGGAUCACUUGGCAUGUGACUACUGUGGUAAGGCUCGGCACACUAAAGAUUCGUGCUGGAAGUUGCAUGGUCGCCCCACUCAUGGUCGUAGUGGAAAACGAGGGGGUAAUUCUCAGCCUUAGGCAAAUUUGUCAACCUCUGUGACAACAGAGAAUAAAUCCACUUUUACUAGAAGUUUUACCUUGGACGAGAUUCAACAUCUUCGAUGCUUCUUGUCUCAAUUGGACUCUACAUCGAUUGCCAAGUCUAAUCAUUUGAACUCAGGUAUUGUUCUAAUUGCUCCAUCUACUUCUGACUCUUGGAUUAUUGAUUCCGGUGCGAAUAGACAUAUGAUAAGGUCAAAUAAAAGUUUAUUUAACUAUACUACUUGUCCAUCUAAAGAUAGUGUGCGAUUAGCCGAUGGCUCCCUUACUUUCAUCUCUGGAGCAGGUUCUGUUGUUUGUACUCCUAAUAUCACUUUAUCCUCUAUCCUCCCUGUCCUUCAAUUCUCGAUUAACCUUUUAUCUAUUAGCACUAUCACUAAAGCCUUAAAUUGUAAACUUGAACUUUUUCCCGAUCAUGUGUCUUUCAACACCUCCAGACAGGAAGACGAUUGGCAGUGGUGGAUUGUGUGAUGGCUUAUCUUCUAGAUCGAUCGUCCAAUAUGUCUCGAGCAUUAUUUGGAGACAAUGAAGAUGUCAACUGGGAGAUAAUUCAGCGGCAUAAACAGUUAGGAUAUUCAUCAUUUACUGUUCUUGCCAAGAUGUUUCCUAUUUGUUUUCAAGAACUCAGUUGACUCAUUAGUUUGUGAUGCCUGCGAGUUUGCUAAGCAUAAAAGAAACAGUUAUCCUUUGCGUAAUAAUAGAAGUACUGUUCCUUUUGAGAUUAUUCAUUCGAAUGUUUGGGUCCCUACUUGCCUUACUUCUUUAUCUGGUUAUCGUUGGCUUAUUACUUCUAUUGACUGUUGCACUCAGAUGACAUGAGUACUUUUAUUAAAAUCCAAAAGUGAUGUUUUCUCGUGUUUUCGUUCUUUUCAUAAAUUGAUUACUACUCAAUUUGAUGCUAAGGUUAAAAUUUUGCGAACUGAUAAUGGAACCGAGUAUAACUUUAAUAAUUAUUUGGAAUUAUAUGGGAUUUUUCAUCAGACUAUUUGUCUAGGUACAAGUGCUCAAAAUGGUGUUGCCGAAAAAAAAUCGGCAUCUUUGGAGGUUGGUAGAUCACUUACAUUCACUAUGAAUCUCCCAAAGCCUUAUUUUGGGGGGGGGAUGCGAUUUUGGUUGCGGUUUAUCUCAUUAAUCGGAUGCCUCUUCGGGUCCUUGAUUUUAAAAGCCCCAUAGAAACCUUACAAGGCAAGACGGAUUACCCAAUCUCACCAAAGGUCUUUGGUUGUGUUUGCUUCAUUCAUCUUCGACAUGAGAGCAAACUGGAUCCUCGCGUAGUGAAAUGUGUUUUCAUUGGAUACUCUCCCACGCAGAAGGGUUACAAAUGUUAUCAUCCGCCAUUUAGAAAGUAUUAUGUAAGUAUAGAUGUAACAUUUCGCGAGAAUGAACCCUAUUUUUCUUCAUCACAACCAUCUCUUCAGGGGGAAGUUGUUGAAAAUGAAGAGAUGACGCAUUGUUCUGUUAAUCUUUUGAGGGAGAAUUUAGUUCCAACAGAGACUUUGGUUCAAGAGAAGACUAGUGGACGAUUGUUGGAAAAGCCUGAUUUAUAGACAAAUACUAGAAAAGGCAAGUGUAAAUGGGCAAAUUUGCCUGGGCCCACUAGAAACCCAAAUAUACAACAAUAAAUAAAUAUAUAUAUUAAACCCAACAGAUAUUAUAAACAGUCCUAUUUUACAGUCCAGUACCCAAAACUAAAUACAAUGGGCCCGAUGCCCUAAGUACCAUAUACAAACCCAAAACAUAACCCAAGACCCAAUUAAAAUCUAAUAGCUAAAACCUAACCCAAACCCCAGAGGCCCAAACGAUAGCCCAACUACAAGAACAGGCCCAAUAAACCCAUAUCCUUAACAGGUUUCAGAAACCCUAAGUCGUCCCCUUUCCUUUCGCCGCAACAACCCCUGGCCUCCGUACCUCCCAGCGCCAUACGCUCAAUACCCUCUAGUAGCCACGCCUAUGCCUCCGUAUGGCCCCCUGCGCACCUCCGUACGACCUUCACGCACCACCCGUACCCGAGCGCCAGCACACCCACACCUACAAAGAGACAAACAAGCAACAACAGCAAAGGGAAACAAAAAAAGAAAAACAUUGUAUUUUUUAUUUUUCGUAAAUUUUUCCUCUUUCUUUUUUGGCUAUAAAGCCAGAAUUUCAGUCUUUGUAAAGGGUUACGCAACAAAAAAACAAAAUAUCAACGCAUAUUGUAUGAAUACAGAGAUAAUAGAAAGCAAUCGAAAAAACUAAGAAGGUGAUUUCAUUUCCCUUUUGAGCUCUCUGUUCUUCACUUAUUUCAGUGGGCUUUUCUUCAUCGUUUUAUACUAAAAAAAAGAAAGGGAGAAGCGAAGCUUACCUGCGUUUGAUGCCUUCGAACCCUCGCUUGCUUCGCCAUGAUCAAAACCAAGUGGCGAUUCAAGGUUUAUGAGUAAGAUGCGUGAGUCUUUAGGUUCAAUGAAGCCUUGAUUGACUCUCGAAUGAGUCAAAAGGAGAGGCAGGAGAACAGGCCUUCGAAAGACCAGUGAACGGCGAAGGGUGAGGGCACCCUAGUUCUUUUUUUCUUUCUCACCCUUUGAAGAUGGCUGCAGACCCUUUUAGGGUUUCUUUCGGUGGUCAUAAAGGGCUUCCAGACGUCAUCGUUUUAAGCCAAACUACUAGCUCCAAAACGACUGUGUUCAAAGCUAGACCCGACCGACUCGAUUCCUGACCCCGAUGACCUGCGCGUUUUGGCGGUGAGGGUUUAUUUUCAAUGUUGGUCCCUCCCUUUUGCGAUGUAUUCAGAUCAGCUGUAUUCUUGUUUCUUUUUUUUUAAUUUACCUCUGUGAUUUACACCUGUUUGCAAUUGGAUCCGCGCCCAAGCACAUCAUUUUGGGAUCUGGUAUAUUACCAGUUUUAAUCCCUAGCUGUUUUCACGUAUAGAUUAUUAGUCUUUUUACUGCUAUUGUUUUAUUUUUAAAUUGUCCCUGCUAUUUUAGUUUAAUUAUUAUUAAGUUUUCCUUUGUUCCAUCCCCUUUUCUAUUCUUAAUAAACUAUUUUGCCUUUUUUUAAUCACUUUAAUAAUUGUUUCUUCAUCAUUUUAAACGUUUUUUUAUAUUAUUAUCACAUUUUGUAAGUUUAAAUUAUUUUAUACUUAUUUAUAUUAGUACACAUAUUCUAUAUAUAUAUAUUUCUAAAUCUAUACAUUUUAUAUAUACAUUUUCUUUACACAAAAGCAUGUUUUUUUAAUCUAUUGUUUAAUUUUUUAUAAAAUUAAUUUGGCCCUAUGAGUAUUAUCUUUUCUAUGUAAUUUUACUUGUAAUUAUUUUCAAAAGUCAUAUGUACAUAUAUAUAUUGAUAUUAUUACUUUAAUAGGUUUUCCUACUUACAACAUUUUGCUAUAUGAGUUAUCAAGUAUUUUCUUUAUGCAUGUAUAUGGAAGAAUUUUAGAAACCUCAUUUUUUUGUAAUCAUAAAAUUAUUAUUUUUGGAUGUUCCUUUGUAUUACAUUACUUUGUGUUUUAUAUAGUCCCUUAUUUAGACGUUUUGAUAUAAACGCAUGUAUAUACUUUUUAGACUAAGUUAAAGCCUUUUAUUAAUCUAAUGAUUAUUUUCAAAGCUAUCUAUAUGUACAUUUGUUUUAUGAACGUACUUUGUGUAUUAUAUUUUUGCCAUAUAUCUUCAUUACUCCUUUCCAUAUUAGACAUAUUAUUUAAAAUCGUCAUGUAGUUUGUCAACUUUAAAAUAUGUUUGUGUUUAAAAUUUUUUACUUGCAACUUGAUUCAAAUUCUCAUUCUUUAAUAUCCAUUUCAAAAUAUAUACACAUAUCCCUAUUUUUUAAGCUUGUCAACCUAUAUAUGUCUAGCUUAUUGAUCUUAUACCAUUUUGAUUUCUACAUUUCAUUUGCUUCACGCAUAUCUUGUUGUUUUCUUUAUAUUUUAUGGCAUGAAUAUAUAUAAUCAUUGCAUGGUAUUCGUCUUAAUGAUUUGUUAAUUGUUCUUCGUAUGUGAUUGAGAUUUGAUUAUAAUCUUUAGAUUAAUUAUAUUUAAUCGCAUAUUCUGCUAGUGGAUUAAUAUUAUUAUUCAUCAAGCAUCGUACCAUUAUACGUGCCUGUCACCCUAUAUCAAUGUUUCCCACUUAAUUUUUGAAAUGUGGUUUUAUAAAAUUCAAAUUUUCAUGAUUAAUUUCACCUUAUUUCGAAUCGAAUUAAUACGUCUUAAGCUAGCUUUAUAAUCAUUCAUUCAAAAAUUCUUCAAAACGAAGACGAGAUUCGAUGUUUGGUAAUUCGCGGAAUUGUGCCCUAACGUGUUGGGUUGCAAUUUCGCGUUUGCUCGAAAUAAUCGAAUAUCACUUCAAAAUUUCACUCAUGUCUUUUAAAAUUCUUCAAAACGAAGACGAGAUUCGAUAUUUAGCAAUUCGCGGAAUCGUGCCCUAACGUGUUGGGUUGCAAUUUCACGUUUGCUUAAAAUAAUCGAGUAUCCCUUCAAAAUUUCAUUCAUAUCUCCUAAAAAUUAUUUAAAACGAAGGCAAGAUUUGGCAUUUGGCAAUUCGAGAAUCAUGCCCUAUCGUGCUGGGUUGUGAUUUCCCGUUUGCUCAAAACGAUCGAACAUUCCUUUAUAUUCUCACUCAUGUUUAUAAAAAAAAUACUUAAAAACGAAGACGAUGUUCAAUGUUUGGUGAUUUGAGAAUCGUGCCCUAUCGUGCUGGGUUGUGCUUUUUCAUUAGUUCGAAACAAUUGAACAUCCCUUCGGAAUUUCACUCACAUUUUCUAAAAUCUUUCAAAAUGAAGGUGAUGUUCGAUGUUUGGCAAAUUGAGAAUCGAACCCUAUCGUGUUGGGUUGCGCUUUUUCAUUUGUCCAAAAUAAUCGAAUAUUUCCUCAGAAUUUCACAUGUAUCUUAUAAGGUAAGGCAAUGGUCAAUGUUUGGAAAUUUGAGGAAUCGUACCCUACUAUGCUGGGUUUCGAUUUUUCGUUGGACCAAAUAGAUAGGCAUCUUUUUGAAAUUCUCGAAUUAUAAGCUUUCGGACAUCGAAACAAGAAGAUUUUGGCAACCAACUCGGGUUACUCAAACGUUAUAAAAAAGAACCACAUUUCAAAAACUUUUUAAUUUUAGACAUAAGGACAGUAUUUAAUCGAUUCGGUACCAAUUUUGGGCGUAGUGAGGGUGCUAAUCCUUCCUCAUGCGUAACCGACUCCCGAACCCGUUUUCUCAAAAGUUCGUAGACCAAAAUUGUUGUUUUAUUAAACUAACCUCAUUUUUAGGUGAUCCGAUCACACACAACUUCACACGUCUUAUUUUCAAAAGUCGAUUCCCCCCGUAUUUUCAUUAAAUUUAAAAAUUUUAAAAAUUUUAAAAAGGGUGGUUUCGACAGCUUGGCGACUCCACUGGGGACUGGUUGUGAGUCGAGCCAUAAAAAUCGAUUAUCUGCUAUCCUUUUGUCAAAAAUCAAAAUUUGUUUUAAAAAUCAUGUAUCUUUCGAUUGCAUUUGAUUGUAUGUUUGUGCGGGUCUUGUAGAAUAGCACUGCAUUUCAUUGCAUGACCACUGUGGUCACGCCUCCUAAGUGGGAGUAAGAAACUACGCUUUCGUGAGGUUUUCACCUCCGCAUGGGCUAGUGGAUUGCUUCCGGGGUACAUCCGUACCUAUGAUUUCGUGAGAUUUUCAUCUCCGCAUGGUCAUAGGGAAAUGUAUCCCCUCGAACUGAACUCGAUCUAUAUGAGCCUAUAAUGGGUGAGGAUUGAGGAACCUGCUGGUUCGGGUACCUUAUCCCUAGAACUAAACCACAUAUAGUGAACCUUAGGAGCUAUCCUUCGGUGGAGCCGCGUCGAGCCUUAGUACUUACCCGUAUAUGCACUAUAAUUAUUGUUUAUGUGCUUGCAUUUUAUCGCUAUUAUUUGAUACUAACCGGUGUUUUGUUUUGAUUGUCUUUUUUGCAUGACAUUACAUAUUAAAGGAGGCGUUACUCCGCAUUCAAUUACUAAGUUAGAAAAUUUGAAAUGGAGAAUGAAUUUCUUAGUAAAGUCGAGGAUAAUGCGGCCGUUCGUGCAUGGUCGGAGAGGCUACAACUAGAGAGAGGGAAUAGCUUUGCAGAAGAGCAUGUAUCAGAGCUGCAGGAUUUCACUCGUGUUAAUGUAGUACAAAAUGAGCUGCAAGAGUUGAGAGACAUUUGGGCUAGUUGGGAUGAAGGGAUCAAGCAGUUGUUUUACCAAAACUACGGCGACAUAUCCUACCUGCUAGACAUUAGAGUGGAUAAGCAUUUGUUCCGGGCCUUGGUGCAGUUUUGGAAUUCUGCGUACAAGUGCUUCACUUUUGGAGAAGUGGAUUUGGUACCUACCAUGGAGGAAUACACUACGCUACUUAGGUGUCCAAAGAUUCAGGUCCGGAAGACUUAUGCUCGGGUUUUUAGUAAUCAGGCUUUCGUGAAGAAGCUGAUGGGCAUUUCUGGGAUGAGCGAGCCUUGGGUCACUGCUCGGAUUUAGCAAAAAGGAGAUAGCAAAUGUAUCCCUUGGGAGAAUUUGCGAGAUUUGGUCUUGACGCAUCCAGACGAAAGAAAGAGGGUCGAUAUAUUUUCCUUAAGCAUCUACGGAUUAGUGAUCUUUCCUAAGGCUUUGAGGCACGUGGACGAGGCGGUCAUCGACUUGUUCGAUCGCCUUGAAAAGGGAAUCACACCAGUACCGGCAAUAUUGGCAGAAACGUUCAGGUCUUUGAGCUCAUGUCGGAAGACAGGCGAGGGGUGGUUUAUUGGAUGUGCUCAACUAUUGAUGGUAUGGUUUCAUGGGCACUUUUGGAAGGUAGACAAGGUUUCCUAUCGAGUCUUUUCCGAAGGUUAUUCCCCUUUGAAAGAAGAGGCAGCUAUACAGAGGAGAGAAGAUAUCUCAGAGGAGAAGUGGAUGGAUAUUCUUUAACACCUUAGGGAUGGGGAUAUCGAGUGGAGAGCUUAUUGGAUGGUCCUUGACGAGAUCAUGUAUCGAUGUGGUAACUUCAAUUGGGUGCCACUGUUAGGAAUCUGGGGAGCUACCGGGUAUACUUCGUUGAUAGCCUUGAGGUAAUACAAGUCUAGGCAGUUUGUGCCCAUGACCUACGGACUUGUUCAGAGUGAAUUCUCAUUUAAAGGUGCUCACUAUAAGAAGAGAGUUCGGGAGUUAUCGGAUGCUUGGAAGCAAACUUGUUGGAUGAAGAGGUUAGCCGUCAGUUCCAUAGUAAUGCCCGAGUAUAACGAAUGGUUUAAGAAAAGGAUUAAUGAUAAUAUUCCUAGGCCAAGCUUGGAGAAUGCUAGACCUAUCGGGGAACAAUUGCAAGUCGCCCCAUCAGAAUUGGAAAUUAUAAGGCAAGAUUUCGAGAAGAAAAGUUUGGAGUUUGGGAAGAAGAUCGAACAAUUGGAGGAAGAGAAGAUGCACCUAAGAUUAGACGCUGAUGUUCAGAGGUUAGAGGCUGAGAAGUGGAGAAAAGGAAAAACUAAGGCCGAAGAAGAUCUAGACAACUUGAAGACGGACUACAAGAAGCUAUGCCUAUCCAUGAGGACUGCGGGUUUAGGUAAGACUUCCGAACAAUGGCGCCAUGAAAUUCGGGAAGAAAAGGCCAAUACCGAACGAUGGGAAAGGAAAUUCUGAGAAACUCAGGCACGAAACGAAGAUUUGGAGAGGAGUUUAUCGGAAAGCAGAAAUGAGCGAGGGGAAUUAAGGGCUAGAGUGGCAGAACUCGAGAAGUCUCUGCAACACUUCGAGAUGCGGAUCCAGUUUUUUGAAGCAAACGAGGAUCGUUGGAAAGAGCAGCUUCACCAUGCACAAGACCAAGUCAGAAAUAGAGAUUACCUCAUGGGGUAAGCCAUAACCCAGAUUCGGGAGGUAGUAGAUUAUUUGCAAACUUUAGCGGUUCAGGCGCACACACUGAGCGUGAAGUAUGAGUUGGAGUCAGAGCGCGGACAAGAGCUGUCCUCGUUGUUUAGAAAAAUUAGGACUCUAAGUGUUAGAGCAAAAUUUUAUUUGUAACUCGACUUUUUGUAAAAGAUUUUAUUUUCAAGUGAAAUUUUCUAAGGGCAGUUGAAUCAAAAUUGAUGCCUCCUUUACAUUCAUGCAUUUGCAUUACAUCACAUCAUUAUGCAUUAAAGGCCAUAAGAGUUUUCUAAUUAAUUAAUUAAAAAUUAUUUCAGUAACCUGGAAACCAACGAAAACCAACCAACCACGCACCCCUACGGUACAAGAAAAAAAUCAAUAGAUAAGAGACUCGAGAAAUUGGAGCAAAUGCAAAAGGACAUGCAAGAUCAAAUGCAGUCUCAGAUGCAAGAGCAGCUAGCCAAGAUUCAACGAGAAAUGAAGGAGCAAAUGAUGAAGUCUCAGAGAGAAAUGAUGUCUUAGUUAUCCAAAUUGCUGCUGAUAGGAACGGAUAAGGGAAAGGGCCCCAUGGACAAAGUUGAAGAAGCUAAUGAGGAUCCUCAAUACCCCCUGGCUUCACUCCGACACAUGUACCAAUGAAGCCCGAGAUUAAUCUACCGAAACCAUCUGUCAUGAUCAUGCCCCAGCAGAUUCAGGCCGAAGCUUCAAUACCGAUGAAUUUCCAAACCAGCUCAGGCUCUAACUUUGUCAACAACCCGAACUAUCCGCUCGUUCCCGACUUGGAUGAAAUUGCUGAAGAAGAAAAGGAGAGGAUGGAAUCGCAAAAACAAUUGGAAGAACGGUGUAGAUGGCUUGAGAAGAAAUUCAAACCCAUGGAGAGCGCGGAUCAUCAUCAAGGGAUUGAUGCCAAGGACUUGAGUUUGGUCCCAGAUUUAGUCCUCCCCCCCAAAUUCAAAAUACCCGAAUUCGAGAAAUACAAUGGAACGAGCUGCCCUGAAGCCCACAUCACUAUGUUCUACAGACGAAUGACGGGAUAUGUUAAUAACGACCAGCUAUUAAUCCAUUGCUUUCAAGAUAGUCUGGUCGCGGCGGCGUCUAAGUGGUAUAACCAAUUAAGCCGAGCUAAAAUCAACUCAUGGAAGGACCUGGCUCAGGCCUUUAUGAAGUAAUACAGUCAUGUGAUGGACAUGACCCCCGACAGAAUCACUCCCCAGAAUAUGGAGAAAAAGCCAAAUGAAAGCUUCAGACAGUACGCACAAAGGUGGAGAGAAGUGGCCAUACAAGUUCAGCCGCCACUUCUAGAAAAAGAGACGACAAUGCUCUUUAUUAACACCUUGAAAGCCCCUUUUAUCACUCAUAUGUUGGGAAGCGCCACCAAGAGCUUCUCCGACAUAGUGAUAACAGGGGAAAUGAUCGAAAAUGCCAUGAGAAGCGGUAAGAUAGAAACCGGAGAAAGUCCAGGAAGUCAGCCCCGAGGAAAAGAGACAAUGAAGUGAACAACACGAGCACAUCCAACAAAGGUCAGUCCAAGUCAUUCACCGUAAAUCAACCCAAGACGGUGACCACCAAUCAGCAAAGCUCUGUAAGACAAGAAUCCAAUGCAAGGGAGAACAUAGAAAGGCCACAAUUCACCCUUAUACCCAUGAGGUAUAGGGAGUUGUACAAGAACCUGUUCAACGCUCAUGUGGUGUCCCCUUUCUACCUGAAGCCACUACAGCCCCCGUAUCCUAAAUGGUAUGACACAAAAGCCCAAUGUGAAUACCACGCGAGAAUCACCGGGCGCUCUAUCGAAAACUGCGUUGCGUUUAAAAAAUUCGUCGAAAGACUCAUUAAGAUGGGGAUUGUGAGAUUUGACGACCUAGCCACACCCAAUGUAGCAGGAAACCCACUCCCCAAUCAUACUGACCAAGGAGUGAAUGGGAUAAGUGAAGGCUUGAACAAGAAGACCAAGUAUGAAGUGGCAGAAGUCAGAACCCCGUUGAGGUGGGUAUGGAAGGAGAUGGCCAAGAGAGGAUUGAUCGCGUUGGAUUUGAGGGAAGAAUCCGAUAAGAGAGAAACUACUGUGAGUUUCACGACGAGGUGGGGCAUGAAAUCCAAGAUUGCGUGGAGUUCAGGGCCCUAGUACAAAACAUGAUGAACAAUAAGGAAAUGGAAUUCUAUGAAGAGAUCGAAGACCCUGUAGAGGGAGAUAUAUGAGCAUCGGAGGGAGAAUCGAAGGCGCAGAAUCAAACGACUAACUACCCUAUGGUUAUCAUAUCGAGACCUAAAAAUAAUGAAGCUGGAGUACAAAUGCCACCGAGGGUCAUAAUCCAAAGACCUGCAGUCUUCCCUUACAAGGAGAGCAAAAAGGUCCCAUGGAAUUAUGAUUGCAGUGUGAUGAUGCUGGGGAAGGAAAGCCUCGUGGAUGCUUCAAAAGAGGGUCAAGACAAGGGCUCUUGUACACGUAGCGGGAGAGAUUCAAAUGCAGCAAAUAAGGAGGUACAACCCGUAAAAGGAAAAGCCCUAAUGGCCGAGGAAAUGAAAGAAAAAGCAACCAAACCUGUUAACGAGCCAGUUAACGAAGAGGAGGCCAAGGAGUUUUUAAAAUUCCUAAAGCAUAGCGAAUACAGUGUGGUGGAACAGCUACAUAAACAACCAGUCCGCAUUUCAGUGCUGGCCUUGCUUCUAAGCUCGGAAGUUCAUCGUAGCGUGCUAAUGAAGGUCUUAAACGAGACAUAUGUUGCCAACGAUAUCUCCGUUAACAAGCUAGACCAUUUGGUGAGCAACAUAAGUGCCGACAAUUAUAUCUUCUUUAGUGACGACGAGAUACCACCUGGGGGCAUGGGGUCGACUAAAGCUCUGCAUAUCACCACACACUGUAAAGGGUAUACGCUGCCUGGCGUACUGAUCGACAAUGGAUCAGCCUUGAACGUCCUGCCAUUGACUACGCUGAACAGAUUACCUAUAGACAGCUCUCACAUGAAGGAGUGCCAGAACAUCGUGAAGGCAUUCGAUGGCACGGAGAGAAAGGUGAUGGGCAGAAUCGAGGUACCUCUUCAGAUUGGGCCAAACACAUAUGAGGUGGAUUUUCUCGUGAUGGAUAUCAAACCCUCAUAUAAUUGCUUAUUGGGGAGGCCCUAGAUACAUUCAGCUGGGGCAGUGCCUUCCUCGUUGCAUCAAAAAUUGAAGCCGGUAUCGGAAGGGAGGUUGAUAACGAUCAAGGCCGAAGAAGAUAUUAUUGCAACUGUGAGCAAUAAUGCACCCUAUUUGGAGUCGGAUGACGAAGCAAUCGAAUGCUCAUUUCGAUCUUUGGAAUUUGUUAAUGUGGCGUUCAUCACUGAGGGAAGCAAAAUUCUAGUGCCGAAAUUGUCCAAAACCACGAGGAUGAGCCUCCAGUUGACAAUUGGAAAAGGAGCCCUACCCGGAAAGGGACUUGGGAAACAUCUAUAAGGAAGGACUGAAACUCCAAUGCUGAAAGACAAGAGAGACCGCUUCGAUUUAGGAUUUAAGCCGGAUGCGAAACAAAGGAGGAGGGAGCUGGAAAAGAAGCAAGAAAGAAGGAGAGCUCGAUUAACGGGGGAGGAAAUCAAGUGGGAACCAAUGAUAUUCCCCCAUAUAUCAAAAACAUUUGUGUCUGGGGGAAUCAUUCAUCCCGAGAGAGACACGCCAAUGACGGGAGCUAUAGAAGAAAGGCUGGAAAGCUUGGACAUCAACGUCAUGUACGAAGAGGAGACUGGAAGAGAAAGUUUAUCAGACAUUGGCCCCUACGCACCUGGAAGUGUUCUGGACAACUGGACUGCGGAAGAGAUCCCUUUAGUUUUUAGAACGAAUUCAGAGUAAUGUCCAAAACACACUUAUUACUCUAGGCCUAGGAGUGAUAAGGUUCUUUUUUGAAAUAGGCUGAUGUUUAAAAAUGUUGUUUCAAUAAAAUGCACGGUUAUUAUCAUUUUUGAGCAAAUGUUCUCUCGUCCUCUCUAUUUCAUUCAUAACCAUACAAAUGAUUACUUUUGGAUUCUUUCAUCCUUGAAACAUUCUUCUAAAUAUUCUUUCAUUCGUCAUUCAUAAUCAUACCACGCAAAUAAAUGUUUCGAAUUCUUUUGAUUCUUUGUAUGUGCCUUCAUCCUCAUAACAGGUCCCCAGAUAUUAAUGAUACGAGUGACACUGUUAGCGACUCAGAAUUUCCUUUCGAGCAAGAUGUGUAUAUGGAUGAUUCUCAGGAUUUUGAAGAUGACCAUGGCUAUAACCUAUCUCCUGAUUUAUUGAGGAGGGUAGAACAAGACGAGAAACAAAUCCUACCUCACAAAGAAUCAGUUGAAAUUGUGAGCUUAGGAGAAGGACAAGAGGUGAAGAUCGGAACAUGUAUCACUAUGAAAAUGAAGCGAGACCUCAUUGAACUACUUCAAGAAUUCAAAGAUGUCUUCGCAUGGUCAUACCAAGAUAUGCCCGGGUUGGACACUGAUAUCGUGGUGCAUCGACUUCCCAUAAAAGAAGAGUGUAAGCCAGUUCAGCAAAAAACUCCGAAGAAACAUAACCCAGAUGAAUGGGAUGAAGAAUGCCAAAGGGCUUUCGACAAGGUCAAAUAGUACUUAUCCAACGCCUCGGUGCUGAUGCCACCUAACCCCGAUAAGCCGUUGAUACUGUACUUGGCAGUAUUCGAGAAUUCUAUGGGAUGCGUAUUAGGUCAGCAUGAUGAGUCAGGAAGGAAAGAGAAGGCCAUUUACUAUCAUAGUAAAAAGUUCACAGAAUGUGAGACAAGGUACCCGCCGAUAGAGAAGUUGUGUUGUGCCCUAAUUUGGACAAUGCGAAGGCUGAGGCAGUAUAUGUUGUAUCACACCACUUGGCUCAUACCAAAAUUGGACCCUUUAAAGUACAUGAUGGAGUCAACUGCUUUGAAUGGAAGGAUGGCCCGAUGGCAGAUUCUACUUUCUGAAUUCGACAUAGUCUAUGUGAACCAGAAAGUAGUAAAAGGAAGUGCAAUAGCAGAUUUUUUGGCCAGUAGAGCUUUGGAAGACUACGAGCCUUUGAACUUCGACUUCCCGAAUGAAGACCUAAUGUGUGUUGCUACCACUAAAGAGGGGGCUCUGGCAGAACUUCCUUGGAAACUAAACUUCGAUGGGGCGUCAAACGCUAUGGGUAAUGGAAUCGGGGCCGUCUUGGUAUCCCCAAAUGGAGAUCAUUAUCCAUUCACUAGUAAAUUGGAUUUUGAUUGUAUGAAUAACAUGGCAGAAUACGAAGCGUGCAUCAUGGGUAUCCGCGCAGCCAUAGAUCACAAUAUUAAAGUGCUAGAGGUGUUCGAGGAUUCUGCGCUAGUGAUUUUUCAACUCAAGGGAGAAUGGGAGACUAGAAACCCCAAGUUAAUCGAUUAUCGGAAGCUGGUCCUUGAAUUGAUUAAAGAGUUUGAUGACAUUACCUUCCACUACCUUCCACGAAACGAAAAUCAGAUGGCUGAUGCUUUGGCUACCUUAGCCUCCAUGAUCAAGGUGAACAAACAAGAAGAUGUCAAACCCAUCCAGAUGAGCAUUUAUGAAGUUCUGGCCCACUGUUACAAUAUUGAAGAAGACGAAGAGAAAGAUGAUCACCCUUGGUAUCAUGAUAUAUUUCAAUACGUGAAGAAUCGUAAGUACCCGGACCAGGCAAGCGAGAAUGACAAAAGAACACUAAAAAGAUUGGCCAUCGACUAUGUCCUAGAUGGGGAUAUCCUGUACAAAAGAAGAAAGGAUCAAGUGCUACUAAGAUGUGUAGACGCUGUAGAAGCUAAGAAAAUCUUGGAAGAAGUCCACGAAGGUGUCUGUGGGACACACGCUAAUGCCUUUACAAUGGCUAGGCAAAUUAUGAGAUUCGGGUACUAUUGGUCCACCAUAGAAGGAGACUGUGUCAAUUACGCUAAGAGAUGCCAUAAGUGCCAAAUCUACGGAGACAAAAUUCAUGUACCUCCUUCAUCGCUGCAUGUCAUGGUUUCUCCAUGGCCAUUCUCUAUGUGGGGCAUGGAUGUGAUUGGACCAAUAUCGCCGAAAGCUUCCAAUGGGCAUCGGUUCCUCUUUGUGGUUAUUGACUACUUUACCAAAUGGGUAGAGGCCGCUUCGUAUGCUAGUGUUACAAAGUCAGCGAUCAGCAGGUUAUUGAAAAAAUAGAUCAUAUGUCGAUACGGAAUGCCAGAGAGGAUCAUAUCUGACAAUGCAUUAAACUUGAACAAUAGUACGAUAGCGGAGGUCUGCAGUCAAUUUAAGAUCAGACAUCGCAACUCGUCACCAUAUCGCCCGAAGAUGAAUGGGGCAGUGGAAGCAGCCAAUAAAAAAUUAAGAAGAUUGUGGGGAAGAUGACCGAGACCUAUAAAGAUUGGCAUGAAAAAUUACCGUUUGCCCUCUUUGCUUAUCGAGCGUCAAUCAGAACCUCAACCCGGGCAACCCCUUUCUCUUUGGUCUACGGAAUGGAAGCAGUGCUGCCGAUCGAAGCUGAGAUUCUAUCCCUCCGAGUGUUGUCGGAACUAAAAUUGGACGAAGUAGAGUGGGUCCAGUCUCGAUAUGACCAAUUGAACUUGAUCGAGGAAAAGAGGCUAAAAGCUAUUCCUCAUGGUCAGAUGUACCAAAAACGAAUGAUGCGGGCUUAUGACAAAAAGGUUCGCCCUAGAGAAUUCCACGAGGGAGACCUGGUUUUGAAAAAGAUCCUUCCCAUACAGAAGGAUUUUUGAGGGAAAUGGAUGCCUAAUUGGGAAGGGCCUUACGUGGUGAAGAAAGCUUUCUCUGGAGGAGCAUUGAUCCUAGCCGAGAUGGACGGUAGAAAUUUGCCCAAUCUUGUAAACUCGGAUUCGGUCAAGAAGUAUUUUACCUGAAAAAAGAGGGGCCAGAGUGAAAACCCGCAAAGGGCGCUCUGAGAUUAUCAAAAAAAAAUGGAGAGGCCAAGGUGAAAACCCGCAAAGGGCACUUUGGAACCAAAGGGGCUUUUGAGUUGAAAACCCGAACACGGGUAGCUCAAAUUUUGAAUAUGGUGCAUAUGGUAGUCUUGUCCUUCCAAAAUCAAUAAGACAGAAGAACAGUACACAUUGAAGCAUCAACAAGAUACGCAGGAUCUCCUGAAUACACAUUUGGUUCAAAGGAGCCUUUGAGAAAUUAGAAUAGUGAAACUCGUGCUACGAUAUCUGGGGCACCUUUUUCUCAUUUUUUGCACCUUAUCAGAUUCGUAUUCUUAUGUAUUCACAUCAAAUUUUGCUUAAUAAAACUCCACUGGUCCAUUAUGAUAAUCUCUUUCGAGCAUUUUUGUUGAAAUCAUGAUUUUUGAACAUGUAAUAUUCACACAAAAGAUGUUAUGCAUAUUACUCUGGAAAGUCUCUAAAUGGUACAAGGACCUGAAAUAGGGCCACUAGUUAGGACUAACCAGGUUCAAAGUUGGAAAACAAUGAGAAAAGAGUAGUCCAAAUUAUGACUAUUUCUUCAAAUUUUCUGUCAGAGAUAACAGCUAAGCAAGAAGACAUGAUAGCUUAUCAGUGAUAGAGCCCGGACGAAUUAUGAGCAAUGACACCUUAAGCGUUUAAAAAGGAAUCACUCUCAUGACAUUUCUACAUCCAUAAUCAUUCAUUUAAUUAGGAGCACUUGAGUCAUUUCGAUCAUAACUUUCUGAUUAUUUGACAUAAACACCACAUCUAGUUAGGGACAUUUGAUUCAUCUCGAUCAUAGCAUCCUAGUUAUUUGACAUACACAGAUACAGGAAACCUAUUCUACACAUCAUGUCUUUAGAAGACAGUGUAGCGAAAUUGGCAAAUCCUGCAGAUUUGGCAUCUCUAUAUUGGCGGAGAGCAGAUCGAAGAUAGCAGAUUUGGUGUCUCUGUAUUGGCGGAGAGUAGAUCGAAGGUAGCAGAUUUGGCGUCUCUGUAUUGUCAGAGGGCAGAUCGAAGAUAGCAGAUUUGGCGUCUCUGUAUUGUCAGAGGACAGAUCGAAGGUAGAAGAUUUGGCGUCUCUGUAUUGUCAAAGGGCAGAUCGAAGAUAACAGAUUUGGCAUCUCUGUAUCGGCAGAGAGCAGAUCAAAGAUAGCAGAUUUGGCAUCUCUGUAUUGGCGGAAAGCAGAUCGAAGAUAGCAGAUUUGGUGUCUCUGUAUUGUCAGAGAGCAGAUCGAAGAUAGCAGAUUUGGUGUCUCUGUAUUGGCGGAGAGCAGAUCGAAGAUAGCAGAUUUGGCAUCUCUGUAUUAUCAGAGAGCGGAUCGAACAUAGCAGAUUUGGCAUCUCAGUGUUGGCAGAGAGCAGAUCGGAAAUAACAGAUGGGUGCUCCUGAGUUCUCAAGAAACGAGUUGAGGAUAGCCAAUUUGACACUCCUGAAGACAUCAGAAUACCUUUGCGGAAGAAGAGGAUCAAGAUUUUGAGACUUAGCCAGACCGUUCAAAUUUGGUCCUUUUUAUAGUCUUUGCUCUAUUUUUGUUACACGACAAUAAGCAAAGAGGGGCAGCUGUAAAUGGGCAAAUUUGCCCGGGCCCACUAGAAACCCAAAUAUACAACAAUAAAUAAAUAUAUAUAUAUUAAAAACCCAACAGAUAUUAUAAACAGUCCUUUUUUACAGCCCAGUACCCAAAACUAAAUACAAUGGGCCCGAUGCCCCAAGUACCAUAUACAAACCCAAAACAUAACCCAAGACCCAAUUAAAAUCUAAUAGCUAAAACCUAACCCAAUACCCCAGAGGCCCAAACGAUAGCCCAACUACAAGAACAGGUCCAAUAAACCCAUAUCCUUAACAGGUUUCAGAAACCCUAAGUCAUCCCCUUCCUUGCAUCACAGCAACCCCUGGCCUUCGUACCCCCUUGCGCCAUACGCUCAGUACCCUCCAGCAGCCACGCCCACGCCUCCGUACGGCUCCCUGCACACCUCCGUACGGCCUUCACAUACCACCCGUACCCGAGCGCCAGCACACCCACACCUACAAAGAGACAAACAAGCAACAACAGCAAAGGGAAAUAAAAAAAGAAAAACAUUGUAUUUUUUAUUUUUCGUAAAUUUUUCCUCUUUCUUUUUCGGCUAUAAAGCUAGAAUUUUAGUCUUUGUAAAGGGUUACGCAACAAAAAAAUGAAAUAUCAACGCAUAUUGUAUGAAUACAGAGACAAUAGAAAGCAAUCGAAAAAACUGAGAAGGUGAUUUCCCUUCCCUUUUGAACUCUCUGUUCUUCACUUAUUUCAGUGGGCUUUUCUUCAUCGUUUUAUACUAAAAAAAAGGGAGAAGCGAAGCUUACCUACGUUUGAUGCCUUCAAACCCUCGCUUGCUUCGCUAUGAUUGAAACCAAGUGGCGAUUCGGGGUUUAUGAGCAAGACGCGUGAGUCUUUCGAUUCGAUGAAGCCUUGAUUGACUCUCGAAUGAGUCAAAAGGAGAGGCAGGAGAACAGGCCUUCGAAAGACCAGUGAACGACGAAGGGUGAGGGCACCCUAGUUCUUUUUUUCUUUCUCACCCUUUGAAGAUGGCUGCAGACCCUUUUAGGGUUUCUUUCGGUGGUCAUAAAGGGCUUCUAGACGUCAUCAUUUUAAGCCAAACUAAUGGCUCCAAAACGACUGCGUUCAAAGCUAGACCCGACCGACCCGAUUCCUGACCCUGAUGACCCGGGCGUUUUGGUGGUGAGGGUUUAUUUUCAAUGUUGGUCCCUCCCUUUUGUGAUGUAUUCAGAUCAGCCUGUAUUCUUGUUUCAUUUUUUUUAAUUUACCCCUGUGAUUUACACCCGUUUGCAAUUGGAUCCGCGCCCAAACGCAGCAUUUUAGGAUCUAUUAUAUUACCAGUUUUAAUCCCUAGCUGUUUUCCCGUAUAGAUUAUUAGUCCUUUUACUGCUAUUGUUUUAUUUUCAAAUUGUCCCUGCUAUUUUAGUUUAAUUAUUAUUAGGUUUUCCUUUGUUUCAUCCCCUUUUCUAUUCUUAAUCAACUAUUUUGCCUUUUUUAAUCACUUUAAUAAUUGUUUCUUCAUCAUUUUAAACGUUUUUUUAUAUUAUUAUCACAUUUUGUAAGUUUAAAUUAUUUUAUACUUAUUUAUAUUAGUAUACAUAUUCUAUAUAUAUAUUUCUAAAUCUAUACAUUUUAUAUAUACAUUUUCUUUACACAAAAGCAUGUUUUUUUAAUCUAUUGUUUAAUUUUUUAUAAAAUUAAUUUGGCCCUAUGAGUAUUAUCUUUUCUAUGUAAUUUUACUUGUAAUUAUUUUCAAAAGUCAUAUGUACAUAUAUAUAUUGAUAUUAUUACUUUAAUAGGUUUUCCUACUUACAACAUUUUGCUAUAUGAGUUAUCAAGUAUUUUCUUUAUGCAUGUAUAUGGAAGAAUUUUAGAAACCUCAUUCUUUUUGUAAUCAUAAAAUUAUUAUUUUUGGAUGUUCCUUUGUAUUACAUUACUUUGUGUUUUAUAUAGUCCCUUAUUUAGACGUUUUGAUAUAAACGCAUGUAUAUACUUUUUAGACUAAGUUAAAGCCUUUUAUUAAUCUAAUGAUUAUUUUCAAAGCUAUCUAUAUGUACAUUUGUUUUAUGAACGUACUUUGUGUAUUAUAUUUUUGCCAUAUAUCUUCAUUACUCCUUUCCAUAUUAGACAUAUUAUUUAAAAUCGUCAUGUAGUUUGUCAACUUUAAAAUAUGUUUGUGUUUAAAAUUUUUUACUUGCAACUUGAUUCAAAUUCUCAUUCUUUAAUAUCCAUUUCAAAAUAUAUACACAUAUCCCUAUUUUUUAAGCUUGUCAACCUAUAUAUAUCUAGCUUAUUGAUCUUAUACCAUUUUGAUUUCUACAUUUCAUUUGCUUCACGCAUAUCUUGUUGUUUUCUUUAUAUUUUAUGGCAUGAAUAUAUAUAAUCAUUGCAUGGUAUUCGUCUUAAUGAUUUGUUAAUUGUUCUUCGUAUGUGAUUGAGAUUUGAUUAUGAUCUUUAGAUUAAUUAUAUUUAAUCGUAUAUUCUGCUAGUGGAUUAAUAUUAUUAUUCAUCAAGCAUCGUACCAUUAUACGUGCCUGUCACCCCAUAUCAAUGUUUCCCACUUAAUUUUUGAAAUGUGGUUUUAUAAAAUUCAAAUUUUCAUGAUUAAUUUCACCUUAUUUCGAAUCGAAUUAAUACGUCUUAAGCUAGCUUUAUAAUCAUUCAUUCAAAAAUUCUUCAAAACGAAGACGAGAUUCGAUGUUUGGCAAUUCGCAGAAUCGUGCCCUAACGUGUUGGGUUGCAAUUUCGCUUUUGCUCGAAAUAGUUGAAUAUCACUUCAAAAUUUCACUCAUGUCUUUUAAAAUUCUUCAAAACGAAGACGAGAUUCAAUAUUUAGCAAUUUGCGGAAUCGUGCUGUAAUGUGUUGGGUUGCAAUUUUGCGUUUGCUCAAAAUAAUCGAGUAUCCCUUGAAAAUUUCAUUCAUAUCUCCUAAAAAUUAUUUAAAACAAAGGCAAUAUUUGGCGUUUGACAAUUCGAGAAUCAUGCCCUAUCGUGCUGGGUUGUGAUUUUCCGUUUGCUCAAAACGAUCGAACAUUCCUUUCUAUUCUCACUCAUGUUUAUAAAAAAAUACUUAAAAACGAAGAUGAUGUUCAAUUUUUGGCGAUUUGAGAAUCGUACCCUAUCGUGCUGGGUUGCGCUUUUUCAUUGGUUCGAAACAAUUGAACAUCCCUUCGGAAUUUCACUCACAUUUUCUAAAAUCUUUCAAAAUGAAGGCGAUGUUCGAUGUUUUGCAAUUUGAGAAUCGAGCCCUAUCGUGUUGGGUUGCGCUUUUUCAUUUGUCCAAAAUAAUCGAAUAUCUCCUUGGAAUUUCACAUGUAUCUUAUAAGGUAAGGCAAUGGUCAAUGUUUGGAAAUUCGAGGAAUCGUACCCUACUGAUACGAGUCACAAAAGCCCAAAUUCUUGAAGGCGAGGCCCAAUAAGCAAAUUCCCAGCCCAAUCAAGAAAUCCAUCCAUACUUAGUUGAAAAUCAGGCCAAAUUGUCAAAGUGACCCAAGUUGUAAAGUUUUAUUUUUAUUUUUAUUUAUUUAUUUAUUUAUUUACUUAGUUUAAAUUUUUAUGUCAAUAUUCAGUCCAAGAGUCCCAGAUAAAAUGACCUUUGACCGAAUUUCCAUAUUAAAAUAAUUAGGAGUUUUUUUAUUUUAGUUUUCUAAUUAGAUUAGGACUAGUUAUAAGGCCUAUUUAAAGGCAUGGCUAUCCACCUUGUUAAACACUUAUCAUUAUUAUUAAAAUUUCAGAUUUGUUGAGAGCAGAAUUUUCUUUGAGUUUUCUCCAAGAUUUUUCUCUUGAGUUUUCUUUAGAAGUUGUUUUAACAAUCUUGUGAUUGUGGGAGCCAUCUUCAACCUUCUUCUUGCCAUUGAUAUUCUUUGGAGGGGAGAUUAGAGCCGUUUGAAGGGAGUUGUGAGAUCUUUCGAGAUUUCAAGGCUUCUUAGGACUUAUCUUUUAAUUUCUUACUGUCAAUUCUUUCUUUAUUUCUACUUGUGCUGAAUCAUUAUCUAAUAUAUUUUCUGUUCUUAUUGUGUUUUCAGCCUUUUUCUAUCUUAAGGAAUCAGCCCAAAAAUCCCCAAUUUCUAGGGUUUUUCCAUACUCUUUUUGGGUGAAAUUAGAUUGUCGAAAUUUGGGGAAAACUAUCUUGGUGUUCAAUUGGGCAGAAUCACAAUCUCCUUGAGGGUUUCAAGAACCCUAACACUUAUUUCUAUUCUCAAUUUGAUUCUUUGCUGAUUUGGGGAUUUUAUUUCAGAUCUGAAAAUUCAAAAAUCUAAUCUUUUAAUUUUCUGUUUCGUUUCAGAUCUAAUUGUUUAGGGUUUUCGUAGGAGUUUCUCGUGACUUGGCAACUCGAUCUUGGUCCGCGCGCAACCCCGUAUCAUUUGGUAUCAGAUUUUGGGCGUUUUGGGUGUUCUUGGUUGAUUUCUAAACUGAUCUCUAUUUUUUAAAGCAUAAACGGCAGUUUUACCCAGAAAAAUUGUUUAAAAAAAUUCAUUUGAGUGGGUAAACGUUGUCUGAUUGAUCUGAAAUUUUACAUACAUAUUUUUGGCACUGUGAUUGAAUAUAAAAAAAUUAUUCCCGCAAAAAAAUCAGUCAAAAAAGUCAAAAAAAUCAAAAUAUACGAAAUUCAGUAAAAAUUUAAAAAAAGAUUUAGCGGGUUGAAUUUGGUGCCCAAAAUUUCCAGAUAAAAAAUUCAAUAUAUAAGGACACUCCAGAUUUAAUUUCGUGAUUUUUGGAGAUCGGGAACACCUCGAACGAAGUUGUCAAGUUACUCCGCAGUUUUUCGGGUUUUCUGUUUUCAGCAAUUUUUAUUGAUUCUUAGCUGUAGGUUUUCAUUUGUUUCCCUUUAUUCUUCCUUUACGUUAUCUAACACCUUCUUGUUUCUUGUGUUAGUAGGAUUUAAACGUGUGCACAACUUCUUCCUCGGUGCAACACGAAUCAAUUGGUGUCUCGUCAGUUUUUAGCAUCCUAGUGCAAAUUAGGAUUCUUUGGUAGUUUGGUUCACACUCUCUAAUUGGUUGAUAUAAACUCUGAUAAAGAACUCACAAGAUUGAAUUCGACCUCAUUGAGAAUUUGAUUUUUUCUUUUUGAGUGAUUAACAGUGAGGUUUGAUAACUUUUAUUUUUGAGUGUUGAGUGUUUUGCAGGUUUUAAAAAAAAAUGUCUACAGGUGAUAAUACUAGUGACAUAUUUAAAAAAUUCCAACAACAGUUGGACGAACAGGCUGCUGCACUUCGAGCGUUGACUGCUACUAUCAAUGAGGUGCGGUUGAAUCAAGAGCCUCAAUAUCGAGAUCAAAUUAAAGACGAUGUGGAUAACCAGCCUCCUGCUCAUAGGCGCGCUCCUCGGCGUGUCCCUAGAACUGAUUAUGAUCUUCAUGAUCGUGGACAACCCUCUUUGGCAAAACCAAAGAGCGAGCAGCAACGAGAACAUCUCUUUCAUACUCGCUGCCAUGUACAAGGUAAGCUUUGUAGAGUUAUUAUUGAUGGUGAAAGUUGCUCGAACGUAGCCAGCACGACGAUGGUGGAAAAGCUUUGCUUAACCACUACCAAGCAUCCACGACCUUAUCAACUACAAGGGCUUAGCAACGAAAGCCAAUUUAAGGUCACUCAACAAGUGCGCAUCGCCUUUUCUAUCGGUAAAUAUCAAGACGAAGUCGUGUGCGACGUAGUACCUAUUCAAGCCUGCCAUUUAUUGCUAGGAGAACCAUGGCAACUGGAUCGAAAAGUCACUCACGAUGGUCGUACCAAUAGGUAUUCUUUCAAGCAUCAAGGAAAGAAACUUACCUUAGUGCCGCUCACUCCGGAACAAGUCCAUGAGGACCAAAUCAAACUGAGAAAUUCUGUUAAAACAAGUGAGGAAAAAGAAAAAGAGAAUGAAAAAGAGCAAAAAGAGAUUGAGAGUGAAAAGGAAUGUGAAACAGAAAAGAAAUUUGAAAAAGAAGUUGAAGAAAGAAGAGAAAAUGAGUUAGAAAAAGAAACAAAAGAAAAAGACGAGGAAAGGCUAGUGAGGAAUGUUUCCACUAACCAAGAUAUGAAUUUUUCUUGUGUUGCUACUUUUCAGGUUCCUGAAAGAUCGAAAGAUAACUUUCAACUUCAAUACCUCUCAAAUGAAAGACGCUUUCAUACGAUCAACUUAGGCAAAGAUGAAAUCACACUACAUGAUCCCGAAGGUAAGCGAGGUAAGGAAAUUUUAGAAACCGAGUCCAUUGCAGAUUUGAAAAUUAUUGAUAAAACUUUUGGUGACUUAGUUCUUAAAAGAUCCCCUCAUUUUGAUCCGAUUAAUUGUUACUCUUCGAUUGUGGUUGAUAAAGUCAUUACGAAAAGAAGCGUGAUUUGUUAUUCUCUUGAUUUACCUUGUGUAAAAUCCUCGAAUUUGUCCAAAUCUGUUUUGGAGAAUAAGGUAACGAAAUUUUCCAAAUUUGUUUUCAAUUUAUAUUCGUGCCUUAAACAGUUUAUGUGGUUGUACAUGAAGUUUGAGUUCCAUUUGACAAAGGUUAACUCAACAACGGAGAUUCAACUACACUAUGCCCCCGAUGAGCGAAGGUUUGUUUUAAAUGAAAAAGGUAAAAUCGACCCUUAUUCUUCUGCUUAUCGAGGUAAGAUGCUUGAAACCUUUGAAACACUUUUGUACUCCUCGGAUAGUGAUAAAGAUCGUGUUGAUGAACACUUAGAUCGAAACGUGCUUGACUGUCCUAUUUUAUUUAUUGAUGAUAUAUCUGUUUUGAUGGUUGAUAAAAAGAUUCUUGUGUUUGAUAAUGCAUGUGUGAGUGAAUCUAUAGACCGUCGAUUAAUGCAUGGUAUGAUUAUGCAACUCUGUGAACCAUGUGAAUCUUUUCAAAUACCUACUUGUGACGAUUAUGUUUACCAUUUGAUUUAUUACUCGCAAUUUAUUCAUGGUUUGUGGGAACAAUGUGAGACGACUGAAUGCCUUAAAACAUGUCCAUCUUUGUUUCAAAUAUUUGACGAGGCAGUGGUGAGUAAAUUAGAUUGUUUGCAUGGUAAUCUGAAUCUGUCCAUUCACAUGCGUUAUACCUGUUCUGUUAUGCUUAUGAUUGGACUACAAGCUUGUUUCCGUUGCUAUUUACUAUCUCAUGGCUAUUCUUUUCAGUGGACUCAAUUGCCAUUAGUCCCGUUCGAUAGAGGAAAGUCGAGUUCAUUUGAUUUUUUAGAUUCGAGGACGAAUCUUUUUGAGGAAGGGGGAAUGAUACGAGUCACAAAAGCCCAAAUUCUUGAAGGCGAGGCCCAAUAAGCAAAUUCCCAGCCCAAUCAAGAAAUCCAUCCAUACUUAGUUGAAAAUCAGGCCAAAUUGUCAAAGUGGCCCAAGUUCUAAAGUUUUAUUUUUAUUUUUAUUUAUUUAUUUAUUUAUUUACUUAGUUUAAAUUUUUAUGUCAAUAUUCAGUCCAAGAGUCCCAGAUAAAAUGACCUUUGACCGAAUUUCCAUAUUAAAAUAAUUAGGAGUUUUUUUUAUUUUAGUUUUCUAAUUAGAUUAGGACUAGUUAUAAGGCCUAUUUAAAGGCAUGGCUAUCCACCUUGUUAAACACUUAUCAUUAUUAUUAAAAUUUCAGAUUUGUUGAGAGCAGAAUUUUCUUUGAGUUUUCUCCAAGAUUUUUCUCUUGAGUUUUCUUUAGAAGUUGUUUUAACAAUCUUGUGAUUGUGGGAGCCAUCUUCAACCUUCUUCUUGCCAUUGAUAUUCUUUGGAGGGGAGAUUAGAGCCGUUUGAAGGGAGUUGUGAGAUCUUUCGAGAUUUCAAGGCUUCUUAGGACUUAUCUUUUAAUUUCUUACUGUCAAUUCUUUCUUUAUUUCUACUUGUGCUGAAUCAUUAUCUAAUCUAUUUUCUGUUCUUAUUGUGUUUUCAGCCUUUUUCUAUCUUAAGGAAUCAGCCCAAAAAUCCCCAAUUUCUAGGGUUUUUCCAUACUCUUUUUGGGUGAAAUUAGAUUGUCGAAAUUUGGGGAAAACUAUCUUGGUGUUCAAUUGGGCAGAAUCACAAUCUCCUUGAGGGUUUCAAGAACCCUAACACUUAUUUCUAUUCUCAAUUUGAUUCUUUGCUGAUUUGGGGAUUUUAUUUCAGAUCUGAAAAUUCAAAAAUCUAAUCUUUUAAUUUUCUGUUUCGUUUCAGAUCUAAUUGUUUAGGGUUUUCGUAGGAGUUUCUCGUGACUUGGCAACUCGAUCUUGGUCCGCGCGCAACCCCGUAUCACCUACUGUGCUGGGUUUCGAUUUUUUGUUGGACUAAAUAGAUGGGCAUCCUUUUGAAAUUCUCGAAUUAUAAGCUUUCGGACAUCGAAACAAGAAGAUUUUGGCAACCAACUCGAGUUACUCAAACGUUAUGAAAAAGAACCACAUUUCAAAACUUUUUAAUUUUAGACAUAAGGACAGUAUUUAAUUGAUUCAGUACCAAUUUUGGGCAUAGUGAGGGUGCUAAUCCUUCCUCAUGCGUAACCGACUCCCGAACCUAUUUUCUCAAUAUUUCGUAGACCAAAAUCGUUGUUUUAAUAAACCAAAAUAUUUUAUUAAACUAACCUCAUUUUUAGGUGAUCCGAUCACACCAAAACAAAAAGAUCGGUGGCGACUCCACACGUCUUAUUUUCAAAAGUCGAUUCCCCUCGUAUUUUUAUUAAAUUUAAAAAUUUUAGAAAUUUUAAAAAGGGUGGUUUCGUCAGCAAGAAAGAAGAUGUCAUCAUACAAUCUACUUUAUGCCCUGACUCUUCACUGUCAGGUGAGUCUUCUUUACCUCAAACUACUACUGAUUUGGAUUUACCAAUAGCCCAACGAAUAGGUGUUAGAACUUGCACUUUACAUUCUAUCUUUGACUUCGUCUCUUAUGAUUCCUUAUCCCCAUCCUAUAGAGCUUUUGCUUUGUCUUUGUUCUCUAUGUCUGUUCCACAAGAUUGGAGAGAGGCUAUCACUAAUCCAAGAUGGAAGAAGGCUAUGAUUGAAGAAAUGAGGGCUUUAGCAAAAAAUUAGACGCGGGGAUUGGUUAAUCCUCCUGAGGGGCAAAAAUUGGGUAGCUGCAAAUGGGUGUUCACUAUCAAGUAUAAGACUGAUGAUUCAAUUAAAAGACUCAAAGCCAUAUUAGUAUCACAAAGAAUCACUCAGACAUAUGGAGUGGAUUAUCAAGAAACAUUUACUCCAGUCGUUAAAUUGAACACGAUUAUGAUCCUUUUAUCAUAUGUAGCAAAUCUUGACUGGGACUUACAGCAGUUUGAUGUAAAGAAUGCCUUCUUACAUGGAGACUUAGAAGAAGGUGUAUAUGAAAGUUCUUCCAAGAUUCGAGGAUAAAGAUACUCAAGGAAAGGUAUGUAAACUGAAAAAAGCCUUAUAUGGACUAAAGCAAUCUCCUAGAGCCUGGUUUGACAGAUUUAGUAAGGCCGUGGUGUCGUUUGGAUAUCUACAAAGUAAUGCUGAUCAUACUUUCUUUAUAAAACAUCACAAAGGUAAGAUUACUCUCUUUAUAGUUUAUGUUGAUGACAAAAUUAUGAUAGGAGAUUACAAGGAAGAAAUGACCCAGUUUAAGAAACAAUUGGCUCAGGAAUUCAAAUCAAAGAUUUGGGAAAGUUAUAAUAUUUCCUCAGAAUAGAAGUGGCCAGAUCGAAAGAGGGAAUUUUUGUUUCCUAAAGAAAAUAUGUUUAGAUCUUCUGACAAAGACUGACAUGUUAGGUUGCAAACCAGCAGAAUCACCUAUUAAGUGUAAUCACAAGUUAUAAGAAAAGAUUGGCAAAAUGAUGGAUAAAGGGAGAUAUCAAAGACUCAACGGACGUUUAAUUUAUCUCGCUCAUACUUGACAUGAUAUAGCCUAUGUUGUUAGUUUGGUAAGCCAGUUUAUGCAUGAUCCUCACGAAGCUCAUAUGCAGGAAAUAUUGUGAAUUUUGUGCUAUUUGAAGUCUGCACCGAGCAAAGGUAUUCUCUUCUCAAAAAAUAGUCAUCUCAAGAUAGAAGUAUUUAUUGAUGCAGAUUGGGCUGGUUUUCUUGAUGACAGAAGGUAUACAACGGGUCAUUAUAUUCUUGUGGGAGGAAACUGAGUCAUUUAGAGGAGUAAGAAACAAAGUGUUGUGUCUCGAUCAAGUACAGAGGCUAAAUAUAGGGCCAUGGCUGAAGGAGUUUGUGAGCUUUUAUGGCUACAAAAAGUAUUGGAAUAGCUGCAAUUGUUGAACGAAAACGGAUCAACCUUGUACUGUGACAAAAAGGCGACCAUCAACAUAGCUCAAAAUCCAGUACAGCAUGAUAGAACCAAACACAUAAAAAAUAGAUCGUCAUUCUAUCAAGGAAAAAGUAGCUAGUGGUGACUCAAGUCUAUAUUACCUAGCAUCUGAAAAACAGUUGGCUGAUAUUUUUACUAAAGGGCUCAACUGUAAGACUUAUCAUAAUCUGCCUUGCAAGUUAGGCAUGCGAGACAUCUAUGCACUAAAUUGAGGGGGAGUGUUGAGAAUAUUUGAUUAUUUGAUAUUAUUAAAUAGUAUCUUUAGAGAUUACAACUGAUAUUUUUAGAUAUUCUAAUUAAGAGAUAUUAUUUCCUUAGUUGUUAAAUCCUACAUGUAUAUAUAGUUGUACAUAUUUCUAAGAAAUAUAUACUUUUGAGAGAGUUUUUCCUCAAUACAUUAGAGUAUUCAUCUCUAAUUUCAUCAUAAAUUGGAAAUUACAUCCAGUAAUUUUUUUCGUUUUCCUCAUUUCUAAGAUAUUGACAAAGGAAAGUCAAAGAAUAAUUGAUUUAUAUCUAUAGUAAGGCAAGGAAACCUUACACAGCAUCUAUGUUGUCCAGAAGUGUUAACCAACACUAAACAAACAAGGGAAAGACCAUGCUCUGGAACAUUUGUCCCUAUCAUAUAGCUAGGAGAUUCACUAGCCUUUGAAUAAAAAAGUUCCCUGCCAAUAUUGAUCUUGUAUAACUGAAUUGCAUUCUGAGCAAAUAUAUCAUUAGAUGCUUCAAUAGCUUCAAAAAUGGAGAGAUCACAGUCGAUGUAUGCAUCAAGUAAGACAGAAAAGACAACCUCAUGAGCUCUUUUGGCACCUGAAAGAGGAAUAGGUCAAACAUUUCGCACUAUUGUUAUAAAGAAUGUACUCAAGCAAGCUAUGGGAUCUAAAACUUGAAGAAUCAAUUGCUUUCUAAUGAAUACUUCCUUUUUAUGCUUCACAAGUUUUAUCACAUAAAUAGACUGAUAUGUCAAGGCUUUAUACUUUUCCAAUGCUUUAACAAAUUAGUCUCUUUUCUCACAUGGUGAAUGAAAGGUUCAGGCCAAACUCAUGCAUGUGGCCAGGCACAUACUCGAUCAAAAAAGAAAUAAGCUUUACAUUUGUGCAUAGUUCAUAAACAACCAACAUAAACACAGAUCCACAUAGCAAAAUGUCUACAUGUUUUACAUUAAUAAACAUUCGAGGGGAAAAUUGUAACACCCCGAAUUUGGGCCUAUAAGUAUUGGGCCUUGAGUGCGGGUCCGUAAGGAGGUUGUAUAUAGGUAUUUAAUUGUGCAAUAAAAUAACACAAUUAAAUGUCUGCUUUGGUGGUUAAUGGCCCUAAGAAGUGUUAGAGAAAUCUUGGGUUCAAACUUGGGCUUUAGCAAAAAUUUUGGUAUUAAGUGAAAAAAAACCUGGAUGCUUGGAUGAGGGUUUUUAAAUUAUUGUGUUAAAUAAAUGACACAAGGAAGCUUGUAGUCUAGAGGUUGUGGCGUCAUUAAGGUUGUCUAGGAGCCUGGGUUCAAGCCUUGGCUCUUGCAAUUUAUUUUGGUUUUUUUUUAAGGGAACCUGGACUUUGGCCUUUAGACCUUAUAAUUAAUUGGGGAUAAAAUAUGACACAAAAAGCUUUGUGGCUUAAUGGCAAGUACCGUGUGGAGCAUCUAAGGGGAGGCAUGGGUUCGAAUCCCAUGGCAAGAAAGAAGCAUUUAUUUUGCUAACAGGGGGCGGCAAGAGUUGGUGUUGAAUUUAAACUCUGAUGUUGGAGGGAUCCCAUAUCGGGAAGCUAACAUAAGAGUGGUUGCGAAGCUGGCUUUAAAUAGAGGGAACCAUGAGGAGAGUAAAUGCACCUUUUCUUGGCUGAUCCCUUUCGCUGUAUGGCGUGCUCGUUUGGGUUGGGCGUCGGCUAAGAGUGCUCGGAGCAUGGAUUAACUCUAGUCUCCUAUCAGGUGUGUAUUUUCUCACUACUCUAGUUGUAGGAUGGCUACUUCGGGCCGCGAUGGGCCGAAAGGGGUCAUGUGGGCCUAAUGGGCCUACGAGCCCAAUUGGAUAAGUUGUUUGAUUGUGUAGUAAAUAUUGGACUAGGGUAGGUGAAUCUCAUAUUUGUGGCUAGAUUUGGGCUAAAAGGGCCACACGAGCGUGUGGGCCCAUUUGGGCUCAGAAUAGUCUUUAGGCCUAUUUGUAUUGUUAUCCCUGUUUAGAAUACUUUAGUUUACCAAAUUACUGAAAUGCCCUCGAUUUAUAGAAUUACUGUUUUACCUCGAUUUACAAAAUUACCAUUUUACCCUCAAUUUACAAAAUUACCGUUUUACCCUCGAUUGUGAAAUUAUUGAAAUACCCCUAUAGGAUAGAAUUACCAAAAUACCCCUAGUUUUUAAAAUUACCAAAAUACCCCUAAUUUGUAAAAUUACCGAAAUACCACUGGUUUGUGAAAUUACUGAAAUACCCUCAAUUUGUAAAAUUACCAAAAUACCCUUAAUUUAUAAAAUUACAAAAAUACACUUGACUUUCUAAAAAUUAUAGAAAUACCAUUGGUUUACUAAAUUACUGAAAUACCCUUGGUUUGUAGAUUUACCAAAACACCCUUGUAGGAUGAAAUGACUAAAAUACCCCUAAUAGGUAAAAAGACCGUAAAGCCCCGUAGGGUAAAGUGACCGUAAUACCCUUGUAUGGUAAAAUGACGAAUAUGCCCUUAUGUUCCGUAUAAUUGAUGUGCUUAGGAUUUACAUUUAUUGAUAUUGGAUUAGUUAAGUUUGAGUGACAGGUGGUGGUUAUUGUAGGUGAUUGAUUAUGAAAACGUUUCAACUUCAACCCAUAACAGGUGUGUACUAACCCUCGUAGUAGCUUAGAUUAAUAUCUCCUGAGAAGCCGAAAUGCUAAAAUACCAGUAUUUCGAGAACUUGUAAUGUUGCGUGUGGGUAUAGAUGCGACAAAUACGAUAAGAUUGGUGUUUGGAUCGAUGGAACGGGUAAGAACUCAAUUUUGUGCACGAUGAUAAGUUGGGCCUCAAUGGGCAGGAAUUGGGCCAAAUGGGCUUUUAGGCCCAUUUGGGUAAAAUUGAUAGAAAAUGGAAUUUGAAAAAGUUACAUGUUAACACGAUUAUUGUUGUUGUAAAAUUUGGGUUAAGCAGGCUUAGUGGGCUAAAUCAGCAUUCGUAGGGCCCAUUAGGGUUUUUGGGCCCAAAAGCCCGAAUUUGAUAAGUGGGUUAAAGAUCAUUGUUUAAACAGUCGAAAAUAUUGACAAUUGUAAUGAACAUGGAAAAACCUGAUUUUUGGUAAAUUUACAAAAAUACCCUUAUAAUAUGAAAAAUGACUGUUUUGCCCUUGUGGGCAAGUGACUGACUUGGACUGUGUGGUUGACGGAUUUGAUUGUGAAUAUAUGUUGGUGAUAUGAAUGACUUGACUAUGGUUGUUUGAUUCAAAUAUGGGCAUGACAUUCUGCAUACAUGACAUAUUGCAUGGGAUAUGGGUUAUAUUGAUGGAGAAAGUGCUAAAAGGGCUCUGCCCCAAUUUACCGAAAACGGCUUUGGCCCAGUUUAUCAGAAAGGGCUUUGCCCCAGUUAUUAAAAGAGGCUAGGCCUCCAGUUAUAUGAUAAAGCAGCUAUGCUUCCAGUGGAGCGUUUGGUUGGGUGGGUUGAGUUAUUUCCCACAUGGUGUGUUGGUUGGUACGGGUGGAGAGUAGCGGAUGGUGGGUCGAGUAGUCUCCCCAAAUGGGCUUGCAUACAUCCAUUGAUAUUACAUGUGAUAUUGAAAUAGGCCUAAGGGCCAUACCGUUUACAGUAAAGGCUUCAGCCCAGUGAUAUGAUUUAAGAAAAGGCUUCGGCCCAGUGAUAUGAUUUAUGAAAAUGCUUCGGCCCAGUGAUAUGAUUUAUGGAAAGGCUUCGGCCCAAUAUAUGUCAAGACAAAAUAGGGCUUUGGCCCAGAUUGUACUGAUACCGUGUUAUUUACUGUUUGUUUGUUAUUGGGGUUACACACUGAGUUUCCAAACUCACCCCUUCUUUAACCUUGCAAGUGGGCCUUGAUGUGAGUGUCUUGGAGCCGGAGGGGAUUCAGAGUGGCCAUGGUGAACGCUUUUGGGUUUGAAAAAGAGACUAGUUUUCUUAAGCUAUUUUUAAUUACUAUUUAAUUUUUGGGUUGUAAUAAGGCCAUUUUAACUUUAUUUUCUUCUUUGAUUUUCUGGGAUUAUAUUAUUUUUAAUAACUUUAUUCUGGUGGAUAAUAAUUCAAAUGGGCUAGACUUAGGGCACGAUUUCAAAACGAUACUUGUUUUUAAAAUAACACGACGUCACGAAUAUUCGAUUUAUCAAAGAUUACCACUCAAAGAAGUUUCAAUCCGUUAUAACCAAGUGUGGCAAUGGAUGUGGGCAUGUCUAGGAUUGGAUCCAAUCGAAUAGCUUGGUACUUAAGCAGCCUUCAUGGCUCACCUCCUCUGUUAUGGAUACCUACCUGGUGCCCAGCUUCCAUUCACUUGGUUAGCUUAACAAAAGUCGGCUUUUAAAACACUAAAAAGGGAACAUGGGUUUUUUUUUAAUUUCAAUGUGGCAUGUCGGAUUCGGCCAUAACGUCUGGGCCGGGUUUGGGGUGCUACAAAAGUAGCAUCUAAUUGAGUAGUUUCUGGUUUCAUCAAUCAUCAUAUUGAAGGGUUAUUUUUGAAGAGUAAUUCUGUGUUGUGGAGUCAGAAUCUUCAAUAAAUACCAAAAAUUUUCAACUUGAAAAUUGAUCAUUUCUUGCAAUACCAAGAAUUUGUUUGACUAUCUAGGUCAAGAAUCUGGAUCUCUCACAAAGCACACACAAAAGUGAAAGCGAGAGCCAUCAAUAAAAAUUAUAUUCAAGGCAUUAUGAGUGAUCGGACAGCGACAUGAGAAUUUUAACAAUGAAUGCAUUAAAAACUAGAUGCAAGUUGAGAAGAACAAUCAUUCUUAAGCUAUUUGAUGAUAUGUUUGUGGAUGAUAACUUACAGACCUAUGUAGUAUGUUUCAAGAGUUGCAUACGCAUCAGUGCUGAACAUCACCUGCAAUUUUGUGUUUGAGAUCAAUUACAGUAAAAUAAACAUAGCAUACAUAUAAAAGGAAAAAUUAGACCUUUUAUAUCAAAUAUUAACAGCUUCCCCUGUGUAAAAUGCAACAGAAACUUAUUCCGGGAACAACUCAGGGUAAAUUUGGUGGGAAUAAAGAAGGAAAGGAAAAAAAAUCGCAUAUGACAAAGUGACAAAGGAAAUCAUAAUUUUUCCUUCUAUACACUAUCAAGUGAAGCAUAUUCUACGAACAACGAGAAGCAUAUGCAAUUGAUGAGGUUACAAAUUAACUACAGUAAGGGAAAAGCUAAGUAUAUUGACCAAGGAGAAACAUAGAUGUGGUAGUUAAAAUUGUAAUCAUAUCACAACUGCCCUUGUAAGAGAGGUUGGUUGGAUAUUGUGGACAAACACUCAUAUUUUAUCACUGUGCUGAAGAACUGGGACAAAACUCUUUAGAAAAAAAAGAGUACAAGGCUCUCAAUAUUUCCUUCGAGUAUUUUCACCUUCUUUAAGGGGGCCAUCUCCAAAAGUUCUUUGACUGAGGUUAUCAUCCCACGUACACUGAGCUUGGGAAUUGCCAACCCAAAGUCAAGGAAAACCUGAAAGAGCAAACAACUACAUGGAUAGGAACAUAACAUGGCAAACUGAAUACCAAGUGCAACAAAUGAAGUGAUCCACUGGCGCUAGAAUUUUCACCUGGGCAUAAACAGAGGCCAAAUAUGAAGCUUCUUGCGAGAAUAGGUACGAUGCAUGUAAAAGAAAUAUACGAGACCCAGAAAAUCAUUUAUCUUCUAAAAGUGUCCGGAGAUGAAGUGGAUUGGAUAAUCGUAAAUCCAAAUAUUUGUCUCCAAAACUAAUUGGGAAGAAAAGAAAGAAAUGAGAAAUGAGGGCGAAAACAAAUACUGAAAGAGCAUAUAGGUUGCUUUAGUGUUGUUGAUGAUAGCUCAUAGAUAAGGACUAGGAGCUGUCUGUAUCUGGUGCUUCUAGAAGGGAACCAGACAAGCUAAACAUACUUUAGAAAGGGGUUGAGACUAAACCGAUUGCAUACAAAAUUUUUCGAAACUUAAACAAUUUUUAAAGUUAUAAAGGUCACAUGCCCGUGUGAGUAGGCCAUGUGCCCUACAUGGCAAUAGACACGCUUGUGUGUCUAGGCUGUGGCGAAACGGGGCAUACAUACUGACUUUUCCACACGACCACAAGACACGCCCGUGUGCCAGGCCAUGUGAAAAUUAGGGAGGCUACUGACUUGGGUCACAUGGCCAGUCACAUGCCCGUGUGUCUAGCCCGUGCUCGAAAUUGACUUGGCCACACGAACUAGCACAUGUGUGCGACCGUGUGGUUACUCAGGCUCAUUUUGAAAUACUCAGGCUCAUUUUGAAAUGACCCUCGAGCAACACGGCUGAGACACACGCCCGUGUCCCUGCUCGAGUGGGCAAAAAUAUACCAUUUACAAGGCCAACAUGCCACCCAUAAAGGGUCUUCCCUACAAGCAUCAAAACCAAUUCAUUUUAUACUAAAUUUUCAAUCAAUUCACAACCAAAUCAUACACCAAUCAUGCCAUAUUAUAAUUAACCAAUUUCAUGCUAUUAAUCCAUACUAAAACAUACCAAAACAUAAGCCAAAGUCAUACCUAAACAUAAAAUUCAUAACCUUAAUUUACUUAUUCAAUCUCAUGCCAUAAUCUUACCAAAUCUCAAAAUAGGUACACACUAAAAACUUACCAACUUGACCAAUUCUCUUGGCCAUAUAUGAACACAUCAUAUUAGCAAUAUUUCAUCACAUAGUUUAUACUCAAAAGUCAUAUAUAAACACAUCCAAAACUAAUCCAUAUCACAUGGCUAAAUUUACACUUCACAACUUAAAACAUAUCUCAAAUAAUUUUAGCUUAUACAUGCCAUAUUUCAAAUUUACAUUAUCAAAAGGUAACCAAAUAGAGGUGGAUAAUGUGGUGAUGAUCCUCGACGAUCCCCGAGCUCCCAGUAGCUUCAAUAUCUAUAAAACAUUUGAAAAUACAAUGUAACCAUUCCAAAGCUUAGUAAGCCAUAUACAAAUAAACUUGUCACAUAAACAAUUCUAAACCAUUUCAUCCAUAUAAUGUAACACCCCGAACCCGAGGCCGUCGCCGGAGUCGAACACGAGGUGUUAACAGACUUCAAACCACUUAUUAAAAUUUUUCCAGACAAGCUGUCAAUCUGUGUACUAGUCGCUUUAAAAAUCAUAUCUUGAGCUCUGGAACUCAAAAUCCAGUUCCGUGAAUUUUCCCUGAAACUACACUCAUAUUACCAUCUACAUAUUUUUUUCUAGAAUUUUUGGUCGGGCCAAUUAGUACAGUUUAUUAGUCAAAGUCUCCCAUGUUACUGGGGUCGACUACACUGACCUUUGCGCAUUACGACCUGGAUAUCUCCCUGUACAGAACUUCCAUACUGAUGCCGUUUGUUUCUAUAGAAACUAGACUCAGAGAGGAAUCUAUACAUAUAUGUUAUGACUCCUAAUUAUCUCUGGUUAAUUUAUAAUGAAUUUCCAAAGUCGGAGCAGGGAAUCCAGAAACCGUUCUGGCCCUGUCCCACGAGAACCUGAUUAUCUCUUAACAUACUGUCCAUAUGAUUCUUUCGUUACUUCUAUAUGAAAAUAGACUCAUCGAACUUCGAUUACAUAAUUUAUUUAUCAAUUAAAUCCACUCCUACUAUUUUUAGUGAUUUUUCAAUCUCAUGUCACUGCUGCUGCCAGCAUCUGUUACGAAAGCAACUAUGCCCACUUUGUGUUUACUCCUUGAUCUAACUAAUAAUUCAUCAUGCAUAUCACAAAUUAUGAUCAUGACUAACCAUGCCAAAGGCUAAUCAUUGUCAAACUUCCCCCUACUACACUAUUGCCAUAUCAUGAAUUUUAACACCAAAAUAAUCAACCAUGACGUAUGGCAUAAAAAGGUCAAAUUAUCAAGAUUUGCGACCUAACGUAUGAAUCCAAACCCAACCGAACAUUUAUGCCAUUUUCGCAUGGCUAAAAGCUUACAUACCAAAGUUCAAACACAACAUAAUAGCCUAUACAUGCCGAAAUGUUCUCCUAAGCCAACUAAGAAGAAAGUACCAAAACUUGCUAUCCGGUGUGAUGACUUCGAUGACGGCCCGACCACGCAAAAAGAGACGAGUCCAAGAAACCUAGUAUGGGUGACAAGGAAACACCGAGUGAGUUUAUAACUCAGUAAGUCAUAAGCAAUACACUACCAUCCAUUAAUAACAUUAUCACAAGAGGAAACAAAAUGGAACGAGGCUAGUUACUCCAUCCAUACCGAACCAUACCAUAGUUCCUCCGACCUAUCGGUUCAAUCUCAUACCAAAUCAUGCAUUCACAUUCCAUAUACUCAUCAAUAGAAUAUUCGAGGCAUUUUCAUAAGUCAUUUUAUUUUCGUUACAAUCAUACAACUAAACGGCCUUUCACCCAUUCCACGAUAAAUCUUAUGUACGUGACUUCAAGUAUAUUUGUCACAUAGGUUCAACUUACCAAGCUCAACUCCAAAUAUAAACAUAGCACCUAUUAGCCAUGAACUCAAGAUACUUACCCGAUCCGCUAUCCGUGAUCGACUCAAUAGUGUCGCACACUUAGUGUCCAUAAUGAUUCAAGAAUAUUUAUUAAGUCCGCACACUCAGUGCUAUAUAAUCAACUCGCACACUUAGUGCUACAUAAUCAUACUCGCACACUUAGUGCUACAUAGUCAACUCGCACACUUAGUGCUACAUAGUCAAACUCGCACACUUAGUGCUACAUAUUCAAUUCGCACACUUAGUGCUGCACAAUUUAAACCCGCACACUUAGCGCCAAUCUCAUGGUCAUAAAUGUUUAUACCCGCACAUUUAGUGCCAAGAUCAACAACUCAAUACAUCUCACCUCUUUUCUUUUCAUUCAACACUUUCAUCACCACAUACGUACAUUCAUAUAUAUAUAUUUAUUCAUUCCAUUCAGCAUCAUUACAUAAAUGUUAUGACCAUUUGAAUUAAUACCAACUAUAUGCUUAAUGACUUACUUUAUGUUGGGUAAAAUAAAUUCCGAGUCGGCUACUCGAUGACCUUCGAUUUCCCCUUGUUGGACGCCUCUCCUUUAGGUUCUUGAGCUUAAAUAAUACAAAUAAGAGUAUUCAAUAUUUAACCCAAUAACAUGAAUUUAUUUAUCACAUUCGGCAAUCACAUAUCAUUAAAUUUUCAAACCAAAAUGUCAUUAUAUGACCACAUAUACACAUAUCCAUAUACUUAAGCUCAAUAAUUAUAAUGUAAUAUCAUGUACCCACUUUAAGUAUAUUGCCGAAUAUACUUAAUCAUACAUACACCUAACCAAAACAAAUUCCCUAAAAUCUUUAUAUCAUUUAUACACUAAGCCGAAUACUCUCACCAAGUUCACCUAUAUUCUUCAACAAUUCCUUCAUUGAUCAAACACAUAUUCGGCUAAAGAAAUGGCAAUUUUAGCAACCUUCGAUUUAGUACUUAACUUUUACCACAUAUCAAAUAACUCAUUUCCUUACUCAUGUGACCACGUAUAUUCGGUCAUGCAUACACACAUAAAAUCAAUUUGGAGACUCUAUCAAUCCAACAUACAUUCGGCACCUUCAUCCACCAUUCUACCAAGCAUGUAAUAUUCAAACACAACCAAACUCACAUUCGGCCCUAGCUCAUAACAAGGUAGCCGAUUCUUUUUAUAGUUCAAACACUCCUCUAUCAUCAUUCACCUAACUUUAACAUGAAACAACAAAACUCACCAUUUCUCAUCCAAAUAACAUGAACAACAACCAUUUCUUGAACACUUUCUCAUGACCAAUUGCUCAUGUUACCAACAAGAUUCAAGAUUUGAACACGGGCUAUUUAGAACUCAAGUCAAUUACUAAAACAUGCAUGCAUCUCAAGGACAACAUCAAACAUACCUUAGUCUAGCAAACCACCAUAGCCGAUUUUCUCAAGCUUUUCCCCUUCCUUUCUUUCCUCUAUUCGGCCAAAGAUGUUCAAGAAUGAACACUUUUUUUUUUUGUUUUCUUUCUUCAAUUCACGGCAACAAGGCGGUAUGGAUGAGACCAUAUUAUUUUUUUUUUCAUCACCCUUCCUUUCAUUAUUUAAUCACCAUGCUCAUUAUUUUAUUUUUCUUAACAUACAUCACUAGCAUAACAUGUUGGAGACAUGUUUCCACCCAUAGCAUGGCCGGCCACUAUGCUUUAGUUUGGCUAAUUUGACAUGCAAGGACAACACUUUCCCACUUUAAUACUAUUUGGUCCUUACUUAUUUAUCUAUCAUAAUUUUCCAAGUCUUUCAACUAGAUCCUUUCAAGCAAAAUUCACAUUCCUAAUAUAAAAUUAAAACAUCAAAUUUUUGUACAAGUACUAUCACACAUAUAAGAUAUGCAAAUAAAAUUUUAACUAAAUCUUAUGACUCGGUUUUGUGGUCCCGAAACCACAUUCCGACUAGGGUCAAAUUAGGGCUAUUACAACUCUCCCCCACUUAAGAAUUUUCAUCCCCGAAAAUCUUACCGGUAAAUAGGUUUGGGUAUCGUUCUUUCAUCGAGCUCUCGGUUUCCCAAGUAGCUUCCUCGAUCCCAUGUUUGAGCCAUAACACCUUCACUAACGGAACCCUUUUGUUUCGCAACUCCUUCACUUCACGAGCUAGGAUACGUAUCGGUUCUUCUUCAUAACUCAUAUCGGCUUGAAUUUCAACCUCUGAUGGGCUAAUUAUGUGCGAUGGAUCAGAUCGAUAGCGUCGAAGCAUCGAAACAUGAAAGACAUCGUGAAUCUUUUCAAGCUCAGGGGGCAAAAUCAAUCUAUACGCAACUGGUCCAACUCGUUCGGAUACUUCGUACGGGCCGAUGAAUCUCGGACUCAAUUUGCCCUUACGACCAAAUCUAAGCACCUUCUUCCAGGGUGAAACUUUGAGAAAUACUUUAUCUCCAACCUGAUAUUCAAUGUCUUUUCUUUUCAAAUCCGCAUACGACUUUUGACGAUCCGAAGCGGCUUUCAAACUUUCGCGAAUUACUCGGACUUUCUGCUCGGCAUCCUUAAUCAAAUCAACCCCAAAGAUUUUAAUUUCACUAAGUUCAGUCCAAAAUAAUGGGGUACGACACUUGCGACCGUAUAAAGCCUCGUAAGGUGCCAUCUUAAUGCUUGAUUGAAAGCUAUUGUUAUAAGCAAAUUCAAUCAAAGGCAAAUAUCUUUCCCAUGAACCACAGAACUCUAAGACGCAACAUCUCAACAUAUCCUCGAGUAUCUGAAUUGUUCGUUCAGAUUGACCAUCGGUUUGGGGGUGAAAAGCAGUGCUAAAAUACAGCUUGGUACCCAAAGCUUCUUGCAAUUUCUUCCAAAAUCGCGAUGUAAAUCUUGGGUCUCUAUCUGACAUAAUAGAAAUAGCUACUCCAUGUAAUCUCACAAUCUGAGAAACAUACAAUUCGGCUAGUUUAUCCAAUGAAAAAUCCGUACAUACAGGGAUAAAGUGAGCCGACUUAGUCAGUCUAUCGACAACAACCCAAAUCGCAUCUUUCUUACUCGUCGACAAUGGUAACCCAGAUACAAAAUCCAUCGUGACUCGAUCCCAUUUCCAUUCAGGUAUCAUGAUUGGCUGUAGUAAUCCCGAAGGCACUUGAUGUUCCGCUUUCACUUGUUGACAUAUUAAACACCUUAAAACAAAUUCCGAAAUGUCUCGUUUCAUGCCCGACCACCAAAGUUGACGUUUCAGAUCAUUGUACAUUUUAGUACUACCCGGGUGGAUAGACAUUCGGCCACUAUGAGCCUCAUUCAAAAUCAUCGAAAUAAGUUCCGAAUUCCUUGGAACACACAAACGACUUCUAAACCUCAAACAAUCAUCAUCAUCCAUUCGAAACUCCGAUUCCUUGUUCGGAACACACUCAGCCCGUUUUGCAACCAAUUCAUCAUCAACUUUCUGGGCUUCACGAAUUUGAUGAAUCAAUAAUGGUUUGGCUUUUAAUUCAGCUAUUAACACAUUGUCGGGUAGAACAGACAAGUGCACAUUCAUCGCUCGUAAAGCAAACAGCGAUUUCCGGCUUAAGGCGUCCGCAACCACAUUAGCCUUUCCCGGGUGGUAAUCAAUGGCAAGCUCGUAAUCUUUCAACAACUCAAGCCAACGUCUUUGUCGUAGAUUUAGGUCUCUUUGAGUCAUCAAAUAUUUGAGACUUUUGUGAUCCGAAAAUACAUGGCACUUUUCGCCAAACAAAUAAUGUCGCCAUAUUUUCAAAGCAAAUACGAUGGCGGCUAGCUCGAGAUCAUGGGUGGGAUAAUUUCUCUCGUGUGGCUUCAAUUGUCUCGACGCAUAGGCCACAACUCGACCUUCUUGCAUCAAUACGCAACCCAACCCGAGUAGGGAUGCGUCACUAUAAAUGACAAACUCUUUGCCUGAUUCAGGUUGCACUAAAAUUGGAGCUUCAGUCAAAUAAGUUUUCAGUUGAUCGAAACUUUUCUGACAUUUCUCCGUCCAUUCGAACUUAACAUCCUUUUGAAGUAGCUUCGUCAUUGGUGUGGCUAUCAUCGAGAAACCUUUGACAAAUCGUCGGUAAUAACCGGCGAGUCCCAAAAAGCUCCGAACCUCAGUAAUAUUUCUCGGAGGUUUCCAGUUAAGUAUGGCUGAGAUUUUGUUCGGGUCAACUCGAAUACCCGAUGCGGAUACCACAUGACCCAAGAAGCUAACCUCUCUUAACCAGAACUCACACUUACUGAACUUAGCAUAUAACUGCUUAUCCCGCAAAAUUUGCAACACUAGCCUCAGAUGCUCAGUAUGUUCGGUCUCGUCUCUUGAAUAGACCAAGAUGUCAUCAAUGAACACAACUACGAACCGAUCCAAAUAUGGUCUGAAGAUCCGAUUCAUCAAAUCCAUAAACACUGCAGGGGCAUUAGUGAGCCCAAACGGCAUCACUAAGAACUCGUAGUGACCGUACCUCGUUCUGAAAGCAGUUUUGGGUACGUCCGAAUCUCGAAUCCGCAACUGAUAAUAACCCGAUCUCAAAUCUAUCUUUGAAAACACUGAUGCUCCCUUUAAUUGAUCAAACAAAUCAUCAAUACGCGGUAACGGAUACUUAUUCUUUAUCGUCACUUUAUUUAGUUGAUGAUAGUCAAUGCACAACCUCAUGGUUCCGUCCUUCUUUUUCACGAACAAUACUGGUGCACCCCAAGGUGAGAAACUUGGUCGAGCGAAACCUCUAUCCGUCAAUUCUUGCAACUGAGCUUUCAACUCUUUUAACUCGGUUAGUGCCAUACGAUACGGAGCUAUCGAAAUUGGCGCAGUUCCAGGUACAAGCUCAAUACCAAACUCUAUCUCCCGAACAGGUGGCAAACCCGGCAAUUCUUCAGGAAAAACAUCCGGGUAUUCACAAACCACCGGCACAGAUUCGGGUUUCUUUUCUAACUCUUUGUCAUCAAGUACAUACGCAAGGUAUGCUUCGCACGCUUUUCUCACAUAUUUCUGGGCCAACAUUGCUGAUAUUACAGCUGGCAACCCCCUUAAGUCCGCAGACUCAACUCGGAUUAUCUCGUUAUUUGCGCACCUCAAAUCAAUAGUCUUGCUUUUGCAAUUCACAACCGCAUCAUGCGCGGUCAACCAAUCCAAACCAAGAAUAACAUCAAAUUCGUCAAACGGCAAAAGCAUCAAAUCGGCCGGAAAAUAAGAUUCUCGGAUUAUUAGAGGGCAUCUCUUACACACUUUAUCAACAAAUACGCAUUGACCCAAAGGGUUUGACACUCGAAUUACGAACUCAGUAGACUCAACAGGUAGAGUCUUACUGGAUGCUAAGGUUUCGCAUACAUAUGAAUGAGUAGAGCCAGGGUCAAUCAAUGCAAUCAAAUUAGUAUCAAAGAGAGUGAAGGUACCAGUGAUGAUGUCAGGGGAGGAUGCCUCCUCUCGUGCGCGGAUGGCAUAAGCUCUAGCAGGAGUGCGGUUCUCGGCUCGAACAGCCGUAUCAGAGGCCCCUCUCUGACUACCACCCAUACCUCCUAAAAUUCUCGGUGGUCUACCUCUAGUUGUCACUCCACUAGGUCUUACACCUUGAAUCUUAUUCUUCUCAUCAAGCUCCGUGCAAUCUCUAAUGAAGUGGUCCUUCGAACCGCAUCCGUAACAGGCCCUGUUAAUAGACUUACCCCAACAUUCACCUAUGUGUCGUCUUCCACAUUGGGGACAUUUAGGUUUCUCUAGACGAUUAUUGCCCACACUAGCUACCGAAGUAGCUCGGGAGUCCGUCGAUGGUCUUGCUCUGAUGGAAAUUCCCGCAGUCGUCCUCGACUUAUUAGUGUCCUCCCUGAACUUCUUUACGGCUGAGAACGGGGCUUUACCCGUCGAUCUUUUACAGUAGUCUCUAGCUUCAAAUUCAGCCUUCUUCUUCUCCUUUCCAAGUUCUUCCGCCUUGCAGGCUCGUUCGACUAGUGUUACGAAUUCUUUUAUUUCCAAAAUACCCAUUAGUAGCUUUAAAUCCUCAUUCAAUCCUUCUUCGAAUCUUUUGCACAUAGCAACCUCAUCAGCUACACACUCCCGGGCAUACGUACUGAGUCUUACGAAUUCAUGUUCGUAUUCAGAUACUGUCAUACGGCCUUGCUUGAGUUCCAAGAAUUCCGUACGCUUUUGAUCAAUGAACCGUUGACUAAUAUAUUUCUUUCGAAAUUCCGUCUGAAAGAAGUCCCAAGUUACUCGUUCGUUUGGGACUAUGGAAAUCAGGGUCCUCCACCAAUAGUAGGCUGAGUCCCGCAACAAGGAUAUAGCACACUUUAGACAUUCAUCGGGUGUGCAUGACAGUUCAUCAAACACCCGAAUGGUGUUAUCAAGCCAGAACUCGGCCCUUUCAGCAUCAUCAGUAACUAUGGCCCUGAACUCAUCAGCCCCGCGCUUCCUAAUCAAGUCUACAGGUGGCUUACUCAGCCUCACAGGAUCAGUAACUGAUGGCAUUACUGGCUCCGGCGGUGGAUUAUUCAAAUUCGGGAAUUGUUGGACAGCCGGAUUGGUUCGGGCAUACUGCGCGACCCAUUCAUUCAUCAUGGUAAAGAAGGCUUGUUUAGCCCCCUCACCUUGAUUAUUCGCAGAUGACUGAGGUUCAACAGGCGGCGUCCCUUGUGCAGGAGCAGCCGCUACGCCCUCAACGUCAUCCGCUAAGGUUCCUUCUACACCGGGGUCCAUUUACUAAUCAAAACAAAAACAUUUUAACCGUCAGAAGUCAUCACACAUUUAAACAUUAACAUUAAGGCAUGUAUAGCUAGACUCAUACGCGCUAUGGUAGUCCUAGAACCGACUAAACCAUAGCUCUGAUACCAAUCAAAUGUAACACCCCGAACCCGAGGCCGUCGCCGGAGUCGAACACGAGGUGUUAACAGACUUCAAACCACUUAUUAAAAUUUUUCCAGACAAGCUGUCAAUCUGCGUACUAGUCGCUUUAAAAAUCAUAUCUUGAGCUCUGGAAGUCAAAAUCCAGUUCCGUGAAUUUUCCCUGAAACUAGACUCAUAUUCCCAUCUACAUAUUUUUUUCUAGAAUUUUUGGUCGGGCCAAUUAGUACAGUUUAUUAGUCAAAAUCUCCCAUGUUACUGGGGUCGACUACACUGACCUUUGCGCAUUAUGACCUGGAUAUCUCCCUGUACAGAACUUCCAUACUGAUGCCGUUUGUUUCUAUAGAAACUAGACUCAGAGAUGAAUCUAUACAUAUAUGGUAUGACUCCUAAUUAUCUCUGGUUAAUUUAUAAUGAAUUUUCAAAGUCGGAUCAGGGAAUCCAGAAACCGUUCUGGCCCUGUCCCACGAGAACCUGAUUAUCUCUUAACAUACUGUCCAUAUGAUCCUUUCGUUACUUCUAUAUGAAAAUAGACUCAUCGAACUUCGAUUACAUAAUUUAUUCAUCAAUUAAAUCCACUCCUACUAUUUUUAGUGAUUUUUCAAUCUCAUGUCACUGCUGCUGCCAGCAUCUGUUACGAAAGCAACUAUGCCCACUUCGUGUUUACUCCUUGAUCUAACUAAUAAUUCAUCAUGCAUAUCACAAAUUAUGAUCAUGACUAACCAUGCCAAAGGCUAAUCAUUGUCAAACUUCCCCCUACUACACUAUUGCCAUAUCAUGAAUUUUAACACCAAAAUAAUCAACCAUGACGUAUGGCAUAAAAAGGUCGAAUUAUCAAGAUUUGCGACCUAACGUAUGAAUCCAAACCCAACCGAACAUUUAUGCCAUUUUCGCAUGGCUAAAAGCUUACAUACCAAAGUUCAAACACAACAUAAUAGCCUAUACAAGCCGAAAUGUUCUCCUAAGCCAACUAAGAAGAAAGUACCAAAACUUGCUAUCCGGUGUGAUGACUUCGAUGACGGCCCGACCAUGCAAAAAGAGACGAGUCCAAGAAACCUAGUAUGGGUGACAAGGAAACACCGAGUGAGUUUAUAACUCAGUAAGUCAUAAGCAAUACACUACCAUCCAUUAAUAACAUUAUCACAAGAGGAAACAAAAUGGAACGAGGCUAGUUACUCCAUCCAUACCGAACCAUACCAUAGUUCCUCCGACCUAUCGGUUCAAUCUCAUACCAAAUCAUGCAUUCACAUUCCAUAUACUCAUCAAUAGAAUAUUCGAGGCAUUUUCAUAAGUCAUUUUAUUUUCGUUACAAUCAUUCAACUAAACGGCCUUUCACCCAUUCCACGAUAAAUCUUAUGUACGUGACUUCAAGUAUAUUUGUCACAUAGGUUCAACUUACCAAGCUCAACUCCAAAUAUAAACAUAGCACCUAUUAGCCAUGAACUCAAGAUACUUACCCGAUCCGCUAUCCGUGAUCGACUCAAUAGUGUCGCACACUUAGUGUCCAUAAUGAUUCAAGAAUAUUUAUUAAGUCCGCACACUCAAUGCUAUAUAAUCAACUCGCACACUUAGUGCUACAUAAUCAUACUCGCACACUUAGUGCUACAUAGUCAACUCGCACACUUAGUGCUACAUAGUCAAACUCGCACACUUAGUGCUACAUAUUCAAUUCGCACACUUAGUGCUGCACAAUUUAAACCCGCACACUUAGCGCCAAUCUCAUGGUCAUAAAUGUUUAUACCCGCACAUUUAGUGCCGAGAUCAACAACUCAAUACAUCUCACCUCUUUUCUUUUCAUUCAACACUUUCAUCACCACAUACGUACAUUCAUAUAUAUAUAUUUAUUCAUUCCAUUCAGCAUCAUUACAUAAAUUUUAUGACCAUUUGAAUUAAUACCAACUAUAUGCUUAAUGACUUACUUUAUGUUGGGUAAAAUAAAUUCCGAGUCGGCUACUCGAUGACCUUCGAUUUCCCCUUGUUGGACGCCUCUCCUUUAGGUUCUUGAGCUUAAAUAAUACAAAUAAGAGUAUUCAAUAUUUAACCCAAUAACAUGAAUUUAUUUAUCACAUUCGGCAAUCACAUAUCAUUAAAUUUUCAAACCAAAAUGUCAUUAUAUGACCACAUAUACACAUAUCCAUAUACUUAAGCUCAAUAAUUAUAAUGUAAUAUCAUGUACCCACUUUAAGUAUAUUGCCGAAUAUACUUAAUCAUACAUACACCUAACCAAAACAAAUUCCCUAAAAUCUUUAUAUCAUUUAUACACUAAGCCGAAUACUCUCACCAAGUUCACCUAUAUUCUUCAACAAUUCCUUCAUUGAUCAAACACAUAUUCGGCUAAAGAAAUGGCAAUUUUAGCAACCUUCGAUUUAGUACUUAACUUUUACCACAUAUCAAAUAACUCAUUUCCUUACUCAUGUGACCACGUAUAUUCGGUCAUGCAUACACACAUAAAAUCAAUUUGGAGACUCUAUCAAUCCAACAUACAUUCGGCACCUUCAUCCACCAUUCUACCAAGCAUGUAAUAUUCAAACACAACCAAACUCACAUUCGGCCCUAGCUCAUAACAAGGUAGCCGAUUCUUUUUAUAGUUCAAACACUCCUCUAUCAUCAUUCACCUAACUUUAACAUGAAACAACAAAACUCACCAUUUCUCAUCCAAAUAACAUGAACAACAACCAUUUCUUGAACACUUUCUCAUGACCGAUUGCUCAUGUUACCAACAAGAUUCAAGAUUUGAACACGGGCUAUUUAGAACUCAAGUCAAUUACUAAAACAUGCAUGCAUCUCAAGGACAACAUCAAACAUACCUUAGUCUAGCAAACCACCAUAGCCAAUUUUCUCAAGCUUUUCCCCUUCCUUUCUUUCCUCUAUUCGGCCAAAGAUGUUCAAGAAUGAACACUUUUUUUUGUUUUCUUUCUUCAAUUCACGGCAACAAGGGGGUAUGGAUGAGACCAUAUUAUUUUUUUUUCAUCACCCUUCUUUUUAUUAUUUAAUCACCAUGCUCAUUAUUUUAUUUUUCUUAACAUACAUCACUAGCAUAACAUGUUGGAGACAUGUUUCCACCCAUAGCAUGGCCGGCCACUAUGCUUUAGUUUGGCUAAUUUGACAUGCAAGGACAACACUUUCCCACUUUAAUACUAUUUGGUCCUUACUUAUUUAUCUAUCAUAAUUUUCCAAGUCUUUCAACUAGAUCCUUUCAAGCAAAAUUCACAUUCCUAAUAUAAAAUUAAAACAUCAAAUUUUUGUACAAGUACUAUCACACAUAUAAGAUAUGCAAAUAAAAUUUUAACUAAAUCUUAUGACUCGGUUUUGUGGUCCCGAAACCACAUUCCGACUAGGGUCGAAUUAGGGCUGUUACAUAUAACUCAAGGCAAGAUAUAACCACAUAUCUAUAAAUCUCAUAUAGAUCAUUUGUUCAUAAAUCUCUUAUACAUAACACAUAACACAUUUCAUUUUCAUAUAACUCAUACAUACUUCAUAUAUCCACAUAUAAACAUAAGCUUACCUUUCAUUCUCUGUUAUAAUAUACCUUUCAAACAUACCUGAAUUUGGGUACACAUUCACGUAGUUACUCAUUUCUCGGAAUACCCGUUGAACCGUUCAGAAUCAAAUAGGAUAAGCGAAUAGCUCGAAAAGCUCGUACAAUGCCAACAUCCCUGAUGUGUUCUUACAUGUAACCAAAUAUCGAUGCCACUAUCCUAAACAGGGUCUUACAGGAAAUCAAAUACGAUGCCGAUGUCCCAGACAUGGUCUUACACAUAAAUCUCAAAUCGAUGCCAACGUCCCAGACGUGGUCUUACACAAAAUCAUAUAUCGAAAUUCUUAUGUCAUGACAUAUGUAUCCUAACUAUUUUUAUGGUUCGUACGAGACUUUUUCGAUGUAACACCCCUUACUCAUAUCCGUCGCCGGAACAGGGUACGAGGUAUUAACAAAUUAUAGUAUAUACUAUUAAACAAAACCCAACAAAAAUAUGACGUGCAAUUUGAUCAUUAUAACAUAUGCCAUUAACAAUACAAACCAACUUCAGAGGCUUCGUACAAAAUGAUUAGUUUGAUACUACAAGUAGUAAUUUGAACCUAGACAAUUAUGACACGUAACAAAAUAACUAAGUCUGCUAUACAUGCCAUAUUUCAAAAUGUUGAGUUCAGAUACCAAGAGUAUUGAUAGUGCGGGCGGAUCUUCUACGAUCUCUGAGUCCUGUGCUAGCUGGACGACACUAUAAGACAAAGGAGAGAAAAGAAAGUAAGCUUAUGGCUUAGUAAGUAAGUAUAUAAAUAACAAAUAAGAAAUCUAAUAUGUUUACAACAUAACUCAAUUAUAUCAUAUUUUUAAUUUUAUUGUUUACUCCAAUUUGAUCAAGCUGUCCCUCCUACGUCAUGAUCACUAAAUAAAUCAUAACUCGAGUUACGAAACUCGAAAUUCAAAUCUAUAAAAUUUCCCUGAAUCUAGACUCAUAAAAAUUCUUACUAAUUUUUUUCUAGAAUUUUUGGUUCAGCCAAUUAGUACAGUUUAUUAGUUAAAUUUCCCCUGUUACACAGCUCAACUGAUCUGACCUCUGUUCAUUAUGAAUUUAAUUUCUCUCAGUACACAAUUCAAAUAACCAUGAAACCAGUUUCAUUUAAAACUAGACUCAAUAAGGAAUUUAGGCAUAUAAACUAUAUUUCUUAAUUCGUUUUGUACAAAUUUUAAUUAUUUUUCAAAGUUGAAACAGGGGAUUACAUAGUCAUCCUGAGCAAGUCUCACACAAUUGUAAAUAUCUCAAAAUAUAGAAUUCCUUUGCUUGCUCUGUUUCUUUUAUAUGAAAAUAGACUCAUUAAUAUUUAAUUUCACAUCUCAUUCAACCUCUAAUUAAAUUCCUUCUAUUUUUGGUGAAUUUCCAAAAUCAUGUCACUGCUACUGUCCAAAACAGUUUUAAUGCUAAUUUCAUUCUUUCACACUCCUUUAUACUAACCUCAUUUUAACUUACAUAUAUAUAUACUACAAAUCAUUUUCAUCGCAUUUCAUACAUCACAAGUGUAGGUCUAUGACUACAAUGUCACCACAAAACCAUCCCGUUGAACAAUUCGGAAUAAUCCUCGAUACUUGAUAGUUUCAGCACACAGCCCCACCAUCAUAUCUCAUUUAAUUCGGCUCUCUUGUACACAUGGUGAACACUUAGUACCACUCAUGCGACCUAGCCGAUUUAUCUCGUAUCUCUCUUGUCUACAUGGUGUCCUUCACUUGGAAUCACUCAUGCGACCUAGCUACAUUUAUCUCUCACGUAGCUCUCUUGUCUACAUGGGAUACAUCCUGUAUCACACAUGUGACCUAGCUACAUUAUAGUAUCUCGUAGCCUUCUUGUACACAUGAUGUGCACUCGGCACCAUACAUGUGACCUAGCUACGCUCCCUCUAUUUUAUUCGAUUUUUCCGAAUGUUCAACCGGGAUCUCUCUCUUUAUUAUUUAUUUCCAUUCUUUCAAUAGUCGAUUUAUACUUCAACAUCAGCUAAUAUAUAUAAUAGGCUGAAAUAUAAAAAUGUAAAUGAAAUUAAUGUAUUAUUUAUAUACAAACUUACCUCGGUGCAAAAUAUAGGAAUUUUGCAAUUUAGUCCAAAACUUUCUCCUUUCCCCGUUCGAGGUCAAUUCCACGCCUUUCUUGAUUAUGAAGCUUGAAAGUUGAAGAAACCCUAGCUAUGGAGGAGAGCAAUUUUCGGCAGCAACUAAUAAAGAUGAUAACCAAUUUUGUGUUAUUUUUCCCAUUUUAUUUCAUUUAAUAUACAAAUGACCAAAAUGCCCUUACUACUAAACUUUCAAAAAAAAUUCCCUCCAUGUCCAACUUUUGUCCAUAACUUAAGAAUGGGUCAAAUUGCUAUUUAAGACCUCCUAACUAAUAUCCCAAAGCAAUUUCAUACUAAAAACUUCUAAAACACGAGUUUUACAAUUUAUUCGAUUUAGUCCCUAUUCUCAACUUAAGCGCGAAAUGCAUAGAAUUUCAUCACGAAAUUUUCAUGAAUCAUGAAAUCAUAUCAUAAACCCCAAAAUAAUUAUUAAAUCGAUUAUUUCUAUCUCGGAUUUGUGGUCAUGAAACCACUAUUCCGAUUAGGCCCUAAUUCGGGUUGUCACAUUCGAUGUCAUCGUAUUAUUGAAACUUUCUCGGAUUUCUUAUAUUUUUCUCUCAAAUCCAUUCAUCACAAUUCAAAUAUCAUAUAAACAAUUAAUAAUUCAAUUUAACACAUUUAUUUGUAUAUCGACUUACCUCGUAUGUAUUCAAACGAACGGAAUCGACUAUUCAAUGACUUUCGGCUUUUCCCGGUCUAAUUCUGUUUUCUUUGGUUCUUGAUCUAAACACAUUCAAAUUUGACUUAUUCAAUCUCACAUUCAUUCAAAACAAUCCAUAUACACACAUUUAGGGAAUUUUACCAAUCAUCACAUUUUCACAUUUUAACACUUUAGUCCCUAAUUCAUAAAAUCACAAAAUACACAAAAUUUUCUUAUACACGCUUAGCCGAAUUUUCAUGUAGUUCAUAUAAAUCCACAUAUUUCAUUUAUUUCACAUUUUAAUCCCUCAAUUUCUCAUUUUCACAAUUUAGUCCAAAAUACUCAAGUUCAUCAAAAAUCCCAAUACAAAACAUAGUAAUCUAACACAUAUCUUUCAUUUACUAUCAUCAAACUUCAUAAAACUCACAUUAUCAACAAUGGUGUAACGCCCCUAACCCGUAUCCGUCACCGGACUAGGGUUAAAGGCAUUACCAGACAAAUUAGAACAUUAACAUUUAUUUCAUAAGCAUCGAAGCAUUAAAGAUCAAUCAUCACUAUAGAGUCCCUUAUAUAGGUCAUCGAGACCUUAGACAUGCAUUAGAAAGGGGUCAGGACUACACCGAACACAUACAAAAUUUCUCCAAAAUAUAAAUAUUUUUCAAACAAGUAUAGGUCACACGCCCCUGUGAACAGGCUGUGUGCCUUACACAACAUUAGACACGCUCGUGUGUCUAGGCUGUGACAAAACAGGGCAUACAUACUGACUUGCUCACACAGCCACAAGACACGCCCGUGUGCUUUGGCCAUGGUCGAAUCUGACUUGGGCCACACGGUUAGCCACACGCCCAUGUGCCUUGGUUAUGCUCGAGCCUGACUUAAAAUUGUAGGGUACCCCAAGGGACACACGACCGUGCAACAAAGCCGUGUGUCGUACACAGCUAAGACACACGCCCGUGUCCCUGCCCGUGUGGACAACAAAUAGGCCAUUUGAAUAGCCAACUUGCCACCCCAAUUGGGUCAAACCUAGAAGCUCCAAACCAAGCAUAUUUGCACAACAUUAUAUGACCAAUUCACAACCAAAAAAUAAGCCAUUCAUGACAUAUCAUUGCCAAUCAAAUUUCCAUCUCAAUACAUCAACCAAAUUAUAACAUAUCUAAAAUAAAAUCAUACCAAACAUAAGUUUCAAUUUCAUGACCAAACCAUAUCAAUUACCAUAGCUAACACAUGCCAAAAGCUUACAUAUUUUACCAUUUCUUAUAUUCAUCCACAAACACACUAAAUAUAUCAUAUUGCCUCAUAAUUCAUAUACCAAAACAAUAUCAUAAUCACAUCCAUACCAAGCCAUAUCACAUGGCUAAAUAUAUACAAUCACAAAACAUAAUCUAAACACUUUUAGCCUAUACAUGUCAUACUUUAAUAUAUACAUUUUUAAAGUACCAAAAUGGGAUUUGAUAGUGUGGUGACGAUCCUCGACGAUCCCCAAGCUCACAGUAGCUUCGGUAUCAAUAAAACAAUGCAAACAUACACAGAGUAAGCUUUCAAAAGCUUAGUAAGCUCGUACCAAAAAUCAUCAACAGUUUAUAAAAUAUAAAACAUAAACACAUGAGUACUUGUUAAUUCUCAAUUCAUCUAUCAAUUCUAUGCCAACACAAUUCAUAUAUUUAUACCAAUUUAAUGAACUUCAUAUGCAUAACAUCAUCUAUCACAUAGGUAUCAUACAUACCUGAACCUUCCCGUAUUUAUUCAUUUUCAUUCUCACCUAUCGUUCAAAUAUUUUAAGACUCUCUGAAGAUUAAUCAUGAUUUAACAUCCGUAUACUUAGUGCUUUAAAGGUUAGCAGAAGCUAGAACAAUUUCGUACACUUAGUGCCAUCUCAAUUAACCGAAGCUAUCUUGGUAUCGCACACUUAGUGCCUCACAUAACCGAAGCUAUUUUGAAUUGCACACUUAGUGCCAAAUACACUUGAUUUAUCAUCAUAUUCAACCAUAAUCAAUUAUAUAUACAAUCUAUGUAUAAUUCAAGCAUCAAAAAUAUAUUUGUAACAUCAUGUUUUACGUGCAAACUUACCUCAUACUUAAAAUUGUCGACUCGGAUUGUUUACUCUAUAACCUUCGAUUCCCUCUGUCUAAAUCCGAAUUCCUCUUUUCUUGAUCUAUAUGUAUUCAAAAUUAACCAUUUAUUCACCAAAUAAUUCAAACCAAUCUAUAUACACACAAUUAAGGCAUAAUGCAAACUAGCCCUCACAUUUUCGCAUUUCGACACUUUAGUCCCUAAUUCAGAAAAUCACAAAAUACACAAAGUUUGCUUGUACACAAGCUUAGCUGAAUUUUCAUAGCUCUCAUACAAGUCCACACAUUUCAUUUAUUUCACAUUUUAGUCCCUCAAUUUAUAGAUUUCAUAAUUUAGCCUAUUUUACUCAAAAUCAUAAAAAAUUCAAAGACAAAACAUAUAAACCCAACAUUAAACUUUCAUAUUUCAUCAUAUAACAACAUAAAAAUCAUGAAUUUAUCCAUAGCACAUUUCAAAUUCAUUAUCAAAAUCAGAAAUUGAGGCAUGGGCUUGAUAAUUUAUGAAGCAACGAUUACAAAAACGUAGAAAUUAUCAAAAACUGAAGCAAAAACAUACCUAAAUCAAAGCUUGCAAGUGCCAAACCCUAGCAAAGCUUUUCUCUUUUCUUUUAUUUUGAUUUUUGGCAAUGAAGAACACCAAAUGACUUAUUUUCAUGCUAUUGUUUUAUUUUAAUUACUUUAAUAAACAUUUUACCAUUUUAUACAUGAAUUAUAACAUUAAUAUUCCACCAACUAAUGUCCACCAAUGUCAUUUAAUCAAAACCAUGGUCAAAUAACCACAUAAGGACCUCAAAAUUAUAAAGCUAAGCCAAAUAACCACUUUUACCAAGCAGUAGGCAACUUUUACAUUUUACGCGAUUAGGCCCUUUUAUCAAAUUGAGUACACAUAUGAUUAAAUUUUAAUACGAAACAUUCACACAUGCUAAUUCACACAUCAUAAGCACAGAAAAUAAUAUUUAACUAUUUUUUGACUCGGAUAUGUGGUCUCGAAACCAUUAUUCCGACUAGGGUCUAAACCGGACUAUUACAAAUGGCAUAACUCAAAAUCAUCAUCAAAAUCAGAAAUUGAGACAUGGGCUUGAUAGAUUACUAAGCAACGAUCACAAAAACAUAGAAAUUAUCAAAAACUGAAUCAAAACUAUACCUUAAUCAGUAGUCGAAUAUCAAAACACAGGAACCCUAGCUUUUUUUUCUUCAAUUUCUGCUGAAAUGAUAAAUAUAAUGCCUAAUUUGAUGUUUUGUUUUAAUUAUAUUAACAUAAUAUUGUAAUUAUUAAUUUAACCUUGGUUAAAACAUAAAAUCACAUAUAUUAAGACAAUUAAUGUCCACUCAUAAGUUCAAUGGUCUAAUUGCAACAUAAAGACCUCUAAUUUAAAAAGACAUAGCAAAUAGGCACACUUAACAUAUGGCAAGCAACUUUUACAUUUUAUGCGAUUAGGUCCUUUUAUCAAAUUGAGCACACAAACGAUUAAAUUUUCAUACGAAACUUUCACACAUGCUUAACCAAAUACUGUAAACACAAAAAAUAAUAUUUAAAUAUUUUUUUGACUCAAAUUUGUGGUCCUGAAACCACUCUUCCGACUAGGGUCUAAACCAGGCCGUUACAGCUAACCACACGCCUGUGUGACUAGCCCGUGUACCCUUUGAAAUAGCUUCACACGCCCGUGUGCCAGGCCAUGUGCUAGAUCGUGUGAAAAUUGGAGGGUAUACUGACUUAUGCCAUACGACCAAGUCACACGCCUUUUUGCUAGGCCUUAUGAAGCUACUGACUUGAUUUCAAAAUAAAUAUCAGGGGACGCACGACUGUGUCACCUAGCCAUGUGUCACACACGACUGAGACACAUGCCCGUGUCCCUGCCGGUGUGGAAUGAAAGUAGGCUAUUUUCUAAGCCAUUUUUCUUCCCUAAACUUUCAACAACCUAAACCCAUCAAAUAGCAUAUGACCAUAUCAUCGAUAGGUAUUCAAACCAAUCUCAACUAAGUCCAAAUCAUGCAAAAUCAAUACCAGCAACCACAAGGCUCAUAAACAUCACAAUUAAUCAUUCAAAAACAUUCCAAUAUGCCUCCAAAGUAUAACUAAAUGAUCAAACUCACUUAUUAGACUUUGUGCCUAAUUCAACAUGCAUACUACAUUCUCAAGUUCAACUAUUUUGUACUCAAAAUACCAAUACACAAUUAAAGCAUUUCCAUGAAAAUCCAAACACAUACCAAAAUGAGAAUAACCACAUAUAUACAUACAAAACCAGCAUAUGCCUGAUCAAGUCAUAUUAAAUGACUAAAUACAUAACCAAAUUAUAUAGGCUUCCAUUAGCCAAAUGACCUAUACAUGCCAUAUAACCAAAAUAUACAAAGUUCAAAAGUACCAAAAAAACAGCUAGAUAGUGUGAUGAGAUCUCUAACAACUUCCAAUCUGAGCAAGCUUCAAAAUCACUAUAAAACACGGAAAAGUAAAUAAAGUAAGCUAUUAAGCUUAGUAAGCUCGUAUGGUUAAUAAGUACAACUUACCAUUUAAUCACGUUUUAAGUACUUAAACAUGUCAUAAUACAACUCAAUUUAAUCCACAAUCCUAACACAUAUUCAUCCAUAAAGUCAGACAUAAAAUUCACAAAUUCAUAGAUUCAAUGCUUAUAUGAUUCACAUACAUACAUACCUGUAAUGAUACAUAUCAAUCUCUUAUUCUUUCAUACCAUCAAUAUACAUGUUGAAUCAUUUGGAAUAAUAUCGGAUACUCGGGAACCUCGCACACUAAGUGCCCAUACAUGGUCAAACCAUUUCAAUCUCAUAUCUCAUAUAAAUUGUAAUACCCCUACCCGUAUUCAUUGCCGAAAUAGGGUACGAGGCAUUACCGGAGUUUACGAAUUAAAUUUUUUUUAUAUUCAAUAUAGCCCCUUUAUAAAUAUCUAACCUUCCCUGCAAUAUUAAAUCGAGACCAAUCCACAUCAACCAAAUCAAUUCAACAUAUUUUCAAGAUAAAUUCAUGCAUAUUUAUAAGAUAACGUCAUCACAUAUCUAAAACCAGGUUUGUUAACCAUACUAAUGGCUAACUUUACAUUCAUUUCACGUUAACAUUUACUUUGUUAGCUUAUACAUGCCAUUGACUUCCAAAAUAAAGUUUCUUUAUAUACUGAAAUCCUAAGGUUGACAGUGUGAUGUGUCUCCGACCAAAUCCGACCUCCAAGCUCUUAACACUACAAAACAGGGAAAAAGGAAACGGGGUAAGCACUUUGUACUUAGUAAGCUCAUGUAACAAGAGUUAUACUUACAAAAUAUUUUCAAUACAAUAUAAUAAACAUUCAUAUAUCCAUUCAAUGCAUUAUUACCCUAACAUGCACAAACUCAACAUUCAAGUUAGUACAAUAAUUUCCAUGUAUCAAUAAUAUAUAUACCAUGAUUGAUGAGCUCGUCAAUACCAUGAUUUCCAUUUCCUUGUUAUUUUUCCAUAUUUAUCCCGUUGAAUUUAUUGGAAUUUCGAUGGAUUUUCAGAGGUACACAUUUAUUGUACAAUUCCGGGUCCGUCAAUUCAUAUUCAUGUGCGCACAUAUCCAUUUUAGAGAGCACACUCCCGCGAACCUCAACCUUGCAGCGGGAUUACCAGUCCAGGCUAAAUCCCCUGCAAUAUAAACUCAUAGAGUAUUGUCGAGAUUACCAGUCCAGGCUAAAUCCUCUGCAACGACAAUUACUCUAAUGAGCUUGGAUCUGAAUUACCAGUGCAGGCUAAAUUCAGACCCUAAUUCGGAUUAUCCGUCUGGGCUAAAUCCAUUUUACACAUAUUCUUCGGGAGGGCUAUAUCAGGAUAGGAUCACCCGUCUGGGCUAGAUCCUUUUUACCGUCAAUUCCUUUUCAGAGAUCUAUCGAAUUUUCCUUUCAUUCAACCGGGAUUUCUUCCCAUUUUAUCAAAUAUAUCAAUGUUUCAUCAAUUUUCAUAUAAUGAACAUUCAAAUCAUAUUCAUAUAAAAAACAUGCAUUUCAAGCAUUUAAGAAUAUAAUUCAAGUUACAUGAACUUACCUUGAUACUUGUUUGUAAACAAUAAAAAUCUACUAAUCCCGAACUUUUUCCUUUCCUCGAUCUAGCUUCGUAUUUGAAUCUUCUGGAUCUAAAUAAAUAAAUUUAAUUAUCAAUUUAAUACAUUUCAUGUUCAUAUGCAACAUUCUCUAUAAUUCAACUAUUAUUUAUAGUUUAUUCAAAGCUGUCUACUUGAGUCAUAGUCACUAAAUUAUUUAUAACUUGAGCUACGGAACUCCAAAUUAAGAUCCAUUAAUUUACCCUGAAACUAGACUCAUAUAUUUUUACCAUAAAAUUUUCAGAAUUUUUGGUUUAGCUAAUAAGUACAUUUUAUUCUUUAAAGUCACCCCUGUUCUGCUGUCGACAGUUCUGACCCUUCUUCACUAAAAAUUAAUUAUCUCUUCAUACAGAAUUCAAAUAAUGUUCUCGUUUGUUUCUAUUAAAAAUAGACUCAUCAAUGAUUCUAGAAAUAUAAAUUUAAGCCCAUAAUCGUUUUUAUUAAAUUUUUUAUGAUUUUUCGAAGUUAGAACAGGGGAACCCGAAAUCAUUCUGACCUUGUCUCACAAAAUUCAUUAUAUCUCAAAAUUUACAAAUCCAUUGCUUACACUAUUUCUUCUAUGAGAAACUAGACUCAAUAAUCUUUAAUUUAAUAUUUUUUUCAUCUUCUAAUUCGAUUUAUACAAUUUAUGGUGAUUUUUUAAAGUUAGUAUACUGCUACUGUCCAAACUGUUUUUGUGCAAGCUGUUUAUUACCAUUUUCCCCUGAGCUUUUAAUAAAUGAUAAUUUCGUCCUUACUCAAUUAGCCUCUCAAUUGAGCUGAUUUUUCUCAAUUAACAUUUUAUUCUAUCACCUUAAACUAGUUUACAACCUUUAGGAAUCAGAAUUUCAGCAAUAGACUUUAAUUCCAAGCAUUUUCACAAUUAGGUCCUAAAAAUCAAUUUCUAUUGAAAUUACCUAAUAAAAUCAUCUCAUAAACAAAUUAAAGCUUUAAUUUAAUUCUAUUUCAUCAUAAACUUAUAGCAAUCAACCAUGGUGACUUUCAAUUUCAUCCAUGAAAUCUAAAACUAAUGAAUUUAAUAGUAGGACCUAGUUGUAAAAGUCUUAGAAACACAAAAAUUACAAGAAAAAGGCAAGGAUUAACUCACUUGGUGCAAAAAUUAUGAAAUAUCAGCUUAGAGAACCCUCCUAUGGCGUUUUUAGCUGCUGGAAUUGAAGAGAAAUGAAGAGAAAUAUAGAUAUUUCCUAUUUAGUCCUAGCUUUAUUUAGUUAAUUUUGCAAUAUUCCAAUUUUACCCUUAAUUUAUCAAAUUUUCUGCUGAUUUCAUACCCUUGCCGUCCAGCCCAAAUAAAUUUUGGGUCUAAUUCCCUUUUAAAUCCUUUCUCAUUAGACUCUUAAGCUAUUUAAUCAUUCUAGCAACUUUUACACCUAUUACAAUUUAGUCCUUUUCAUUUAAUUGACUACCCAAACAUUAAAAUUUCCUAACGAAAUCUUAAUUCCACACUAAUAACAUUUCAUAAAUAUUUAUAAAAUUAUUUUCGACCCGGUUUUACAAGAUAGAGGUCUCGAUACCUUGUUUUUACCCAAUUUCUUCAAUAAUUUCUUUUUCUAUCUAAUCACUAAAUUGGUAAAAUUUUUCUAUCAAUAUUUUCAUACGAUUUUCCUAUCAUAUCAAUUUUCAAGAAAAAAUAUUGAAAUAAAUUUCUCUUUAAAUCGGAUCUAUGGUUACGAAACCAUUGUUUCGAUAACCUUGAAUUUAGGCCAUUACAACUCUCCCCCCCUUUAAGGAUUUUCGUCCUCGAAAAUCUUACCAGUAAAGAGGUUUGGGUAUUGUUUCCUCAUUGCCUCCUCCGGUUCCAAUGUCACUUCCUCAAUCCCGUGCUUUUGCCACAAUACUUUCACCAAAUUUAUCUUUUUAUUUCUAAGCUCUUUUGUCUCCCGUGCCAAUAUCUUGACCGGUUCUUCACUGUAAGUCAUAUCCAGUUGAAUCUCUACUUCUGUCGGAGAAAUAACAUGUGAAGGAUCUGAUCGAUAUCAUCGUAACAUAGAUACAUGAAAAACAUUAUGGAUUCUAUCAAGUUCCGGUGAUAAUGCGAAUCGAUAAGCGAUCAGUCCAAUUCUUUCUAUGAUUUCAUAUGGCCCGAUAAAUCUUGGACUCAGUUUACCCUUUCGACCAAAUCGGAGGACUUUCUUCCAAGGAGACACUUUCAGGAAUACCUUGUCACCGACUUGAAAUUCAAUCUCUUUUCGUUUAAGGUCGGCAUAUGAUUUUUGACGAUCGGAAGCUGCUUUUAGACUAUCUCAAAUAACUUUUACUUUUUCUUCUGUUUCCCGGAUCAAAUCAACCCCAUGUAUCUUCCUUUCACUAAGCUCUGUCCAAUAUAACGGUGUUCUACAUUUUCUACCAUACAAAGCUUCAUACGGAGCCAUUUUAAUACUAGACUGAUAACUGUUAUUGUAAGCAAAUUCAAUCAAAGGUAGAUACCUCUCCCAAUUACCUUCAAACUCUAGUAUACAACAUCGAAGCAUAUCUUCCAAUACUUGAAUUACACGCUCAGAUUGACCAUCUGUCUGAGGAUGAAAUGCAGUACUAAAAUACAACUGAGUACCCAAGGCUUCUUGCAAUUUGUCCCAGAAAUGAAACAUAAAUUGGGGAUCUCUAUUUGAUAUAAUGGAGACAGGCACUCCAUGUAGCCUGACAAUCUCAGAUAUGUACUGUUCAGCUAGUUUAUCUAAAGAAUAAUCCAUACGUACUGGAAUAAAGUGAGCUGACUUUGUUAAUCGGUCAACAAUCACCCAAAUAGCAUCUUUUUUCCUCGGAGGCAAAGGUAACCCCGAUACAAAAUCCAUAGUGAUUCUUUCCCAUUUCCAUUCUGGUAUAGUAAUUGGCUGAAGUAACCCCGAAGGUACCUGAUGUUCAGCUUUAACUUGUUGACAUAUUAAACACCUUGAUACAAACUCAGAGAUAUGACAUUUCAUUCCCGACCACAAGUACAUCUUUUUCAGAUCAUUAUACAUUUUAUUACUCCCCGGAUGUACAGACAUAAUACCGCUAUGAGCCUCGCGUAGAAUCUUCUGUAUGAGCUUUGAAUUAUGAGGUACACAUACCCUACCUCUGAAUAAUAAACAACCAUCAGAACCAAUCUGAAAUUCAGAAUCAUUACCUGACUCACACUGUGCCUGUUUAACUUGUAACUUAUCAUCAUUCUUCUGAGCUUCACAUAUUUGCUGUAAAAAUAUCAGUUUAGUUCUUAAUUCUGCUAGGAUUGAACCUUCAUUAGUCAAUGAUAAUCAGGUAUUCAUAACUCGUAAAGCAAACAGAGAUUUCCGGCUCAAAGCAUCAGCUACAUCAUUAGCUUUACCCGGAUGGUAAUCAAUAAUCAAAUCAUAGUCCUUUAUCAGUUCAAGCCACCUGCGAUGUCUCAAAUUCAAAUAUUUCUGUGUCAUCAAAUAUUUCAAGCUUUUAUGAUCAGUAUAAAUAUGACAUUUCUCACCGUACAAGUAAUGCCGCCAUAUCUUCAGCGCAAAUACAAUAGCAGCUAAUUCAAGAUCAUGUACUGGGUAAUUUCUUUCAUGUGGUUUAAGUUGUCUUGAAGCAUAGGCUAUUACUUUACCUUCUUGCAUCAAAACACAACCUAAACCAUUUAAUGAGGCAUCACUGUAAAUAACAAAUUCCUUACCCAGUUCAGGCUGCACUAAUACAGUUGCUUUCGUUAAUAUGUCUUUCAAUCGGUUGAAACUUUGUUGACAUUCAUCAGUCCACUUGAACUUUACAUCUUUCUGCAAUAAUCGAGUCAUUGGAGAAGCUAUCAUAAAGAAUCCCUGUACAAAUCUCCGAUAAUAACUAGCUAAACCCAAGAAACUUCUAACUUCAGAUACAUUCUUCAGUGGAUUCCAAUUGACAAUAGCUGAUAUUUUACUUGGAUCUACCCUGAUGCCUUCGGCAGAUACAAUGUGUCCAAGAAAACCCACUUCUCGAAGCCAAUAUUCACAUUUAUUGAGUUUAGCAUAUAACUACUUCUUUCGUAGAAUUUGCAACACAAUUCUCAAAUGUUCUGCAUGUUCUUCUUCAUCCCGAGAAUAAACCAAAAUAUCAUCAAUGAAUACUACUACAAAUCUGUCUAAGUACGGCCUGAAUAUCCUGUUCAUCAAAUCCAUGAAUACUGCAGGUGCAUUAGUUAGCCCAAACGGCAUAACUAGAAACUCAUAAUGCCCGUACCUGGUUCUAAAGGCUAUUUUUGGCACAUCUGACUCCUUUACCCGUAAUUGAUAAUAACCUGAUCGAAAAUCAAUCUUUGAAAACACAGUAGCACCUUUCAGUUGAUCAAAUAAAUCAUCAAUCCGGGGUAACGGGUACUUAUUCUUUAUGGUUACUUUAUUAAGCUGCCGGUAGUCGAUACACAAUCUCAAAGACCCAUCUUUCUUUUUUACAAACAGAACCGGAGCACCCCAAGGUGAAUGACUCGGUCGGACAAAACCCCUGUCAACAAGUUCUUGCAACUGUGUCUUUAACUCCUUUAAUUCUGUAGGAGCCAUACGAUAUGGAUCUAUGGAGAUCGGAGUAGUUCCCGGAAUCAAAUCUAUAGAAAAUUCCACUUCUCUUUCUGGUGGCAAUCUCGGUAAUUCCUCUGGAAACACUUCGGAAAAUUCACAUACCACUAGAACUGCCUGUAUUUUUGACUCAGAUACUUUGGUGUCAAGUACAUAAGCCAAGUAAGCAUCAUACCCUUUUUUGACAUACCUCUGUGCUGCCAUUACCGAAAUCAUAUCAGAUAACCCCUCUGUCUGAUUAGAUUUAACCCGGAGCAACUCACCAUUCUGACAUUUUAGAACAAUAUAUUUUUGUCUACAAUUUAUUACCACACCAUGCUGGGUUAACCAAUCCAUGCCCAAUAUCACGUCAAAUUCAUCAAAUGACAGUAACAUCAAAUCAGCCACGAAACAAUAACCUCUUACCAUUAGUGGACAAUUUUUACAAAUUUUAUCCACCAACACAGACUGGCCCAAGGGGUUCGAGACUUUAACCACAAAUUCAGUAGGUUCAACAGAUAAAUUUUUAAUAAUUGCAAGUUUAACACAUAUAUAUGAAUGCGUAGAACUAGGAUCAAUCAAUGCAGUAAUAUCAGUAUCAAGUAAAGAAAAUGUACCAGUAAUAACAUCGGGUGCUGAGGCAUCUUCUCUGGCACGAAUGGCAUAUGUCCUAACAGGUGCUCGUGCCUCAGGCCUACCUGCAGUAUCUUUUGUAGCUCCUCGACUACCAUUGACAUUACCGGAUGGUCGAGGUGGUCUACCUCUCGAAACUAGAUUACUCAACUUCGAUAUCUGUUCAGCUUCUUUUUCACCCCUUUCUGGACAAUCUCUGAGGAAAUGGUCAAAAGAACCACAUCGGUAACAAGCCCCGCUCUUUAAUCGACAUUCACCAAAAUGAGCUUUAUUACAGUACUGGCAUCUCGGUUUAGGAGUGCCAACACUGCCAACACUGGUCACUGAUGGAGUAGAAGGCCUUGGAUUAGUGCGUUGAGAACCUCGCUCUUUGCCCGAAUACCCAAUGGCUGAAGUAGAAUGAUCCUAAUACUUCUUCAAUUUCUUUGAAGCAGAAAACUGGGAUUUUCCCAUCAGUCUUUUACUAAAAAUUCGAGCUUCCCUCUCAGCCUGUUUCUUUUCUUUGCUCAAUUCUUCUGCUUUACAAGCUCUCUCUGCCAAUGUAGCAAACUCUCGAAUUUCAAGAAUUCUGAUCAGUAGUUUAAUGUCUUCAUUUAACCCUUCUUCAAAUCGUUUGCACAUUUCAGCUUCUAACUGUACCCAUUCUCGAGCAUAUUUACUCAAUCGCACAAAUUCUCUUUCAUUUUCAGAUACUGAUCUGUUACCCUAUUUCAACUCAAGAAAUUAUUUUCUUUUCUAAUCGAGAAACCUUUGGCUGAUAUAUUUUUUCUGAACUCGGUCUGAAAGAAUUCCCAUGUAAUUUCUUCUUUCGGAACAACUGAAGCUUUAGUACUCCACCAAUGGUAAGCUGUGUCUUUUACCAGUGAGACGGCACAUUUCAGACAUUUUUCUGGUGUACAAGAUAAUUCUUCCAAAACCCGAGUAGUGUUUUCUAACCAGAAUUUAGCCCGUUCAGAAUCAUCAUCAACUGCUGCUCGAAAUUCUUCGGCCCAUAUUUUCGAAUUUUAUCUACUGGAGCUUUUCCUUUUCUGACAGAUUCAGUACCUGCACCCUGUGGGAUCUCGGGAACCGGUGAAGGAGUAGGAGUGGGAGCUUGAACUUGCUGCACUACAGGGUUAGUUCUUAAAUAUUGAUUAAACCAUUCAUUCAUCAUUUGAAAGAAGGUUGUUUUUGCCUCCUCCCCUUGACCCUCUGUCUCGGGCCUUCUACUGCUAGUUUCUUCUCUUUGUACUGAAGCCGGAGCAUGACUCCCAGCUUCUUCAGAUUGAGCUCGGUCGGAUGACAUUACUAUAAGAAAAAACAUUUUAAAUGGUCAGGAGAUAUCACACUAUCAAUAAUAAUUUAAAUGGCAUGUAUAGCUAAUCCCGUAUUUGCUACAUCGGUCCUAGAACCGGCUAAACCAUAGCUCUGAUACCAAUAAAUGUAAUACCCCUACCUGUAUUCAUUGCCGAAAUAGGGUACGAGGCAUUACCGGAGUUUACGAAUUAAAAUUUUUUUAUAUUCAAUAUAGCCCCUUUAUAAAUAUCUAACCUUCCCUACAAUAUUAAAUCGAGACCAAUCCACAUCAACCAAAUCAAUUCAACAUAUUUUCAAGAUAAAUUCAUGCAUAUUUAUAAGAUAACGUCAUCACAUAUCUAAAACCAGGUUUGUUAACCAUACUAAUGGCUAACUUUACAUUCAUUUCACGUUAACAUUUACUUUUUUAGCUUAUACAUGCCAUUGAUUUCCAAAAUAAAGUUUCUUUAUAUACCGAAAUCCUAAGGUUGACAGUGUGAUGUGUCUCCGACCAAAUCAUACCUCCAAGAUCUUAACACUACAAAACAUGGAAAAAGGAAACGGGGUAAGCACUUUGUACUUAGUAAGCUCAUGUAACAAGAGUUAUACUUACCAAAUAUUUUCAAUACAAUAUAAUAAACAUUCAUAUAUCCAUUCAAUGCAUUAUUACCCUAACAUGCACAAACUCAACAUUCAAGUUAGUACAAUAAUUUCCAUGUAUCAAUAAUAUAUAUACCAUAAUUGAUGAGCUCGUCAAUACCAUGAUUUCCAUUUCCUUGUUAUUUUUCCAUAUUUAUCCCGUUGAAUUUAUUGGAAUUUCGAUGGAUUUUCAGAGGUACACAUUUAUUGUACAAUUCCGAGUCCGUCAAUUCAUAUUCAUGUGCGCACAUAUCCAUUUCAGAGAGCACACUCCCGCGAACCUCAACCUUGCAGCGAGAUUACCAGUCCAGGCUAAAUCCCCUGCAAUAUAAACUCAUAGAGUAUUGUCGGGAUUACCAGUCCAGGCUAAAUCCCCUGCAACGACAAUUACUCUAAUGAGCUUGGAUCUGAAUUACCAGUCCAGGCUAAAUUCAAACCCUAAUUCGGAUUACCCAUCCGGGCUAAAUUCAUUUUACACAUAUUCUUUGGGAGGGCUAUAUCAGGAUAGGAUCACCCGUCCGGGCUAGAUCCUUUUUACCGCCAAUUCCUUUUCAGAGAUCUAUCGAAUUUUCCUUUCAUUCAACCGGGAUUUCUUCCCAUUUUAUCAAAUAUAUCAAUGUUUCAUCAAUUUUCAUAUAAUGAACAUUCAAAUCAUAUUCAUAUAAAAAACAUGCAUUUCAAGCAUUUAAGAAUAUAAUUCAAGUUACAUGAACUUACCUUGAUACUUGUAAUGCAAAACAUGCCAAUAAUAGGCUUAUAGCCUAUCAGUACACUUCCUCCAAAACCAUAUAUCCCACCCCAUGUAAUGCAACAUAAUAUCAUACGUGUAUGUAGAAAUGUCAUGCUCAAAAACAGUCAUACAUAAUACAGGGGUAUUUCAGUCAAUUUACCUCACACAGGUAUAACGGUCAUUUCAUUAGUAUCAAGUCUAAGUAUACUUACCGACCCAACAGUAGAUGCACAGUCAUCUUGAGCGACCCGUGCACCUUAACAGUCAAUCAGUGCUAAUAGGCCUAUAACUCGUAUUGUGGGCCUAUAUGGGCCCACACUCUCGUAUGGCCCACAUAGCCCAAAAAUGGCAUCAGUCGUGUAGUUCACACAACCUGGCCCACAAUUUACCACACUUCAUGCAAUUUCUCGACGUGAGGUCCACAAGCCCAUUGGGCCCACACGGCCUAGUUUGGCCCAAAAUGGCCCAAUACAGUUUCGGCCCAUGAAAUCGCUCAUGGCCAUUUCAUCGACAACAUGACCUCAUUUUGAUACUAGGCCUGCCACACGGGUGGCCACGUGCCCGUGUGAAGUCGAUGGUGCACUCCUUAGUUUUUCAGCUUUUGCCAUUCAACAGUGUUUGUAGUGUGAUUACACACCUGUUGAUGAGAGAAUACCAAUCUCCACGUACUCCAACCUAUUUCAACAAAAGUUUUGGUUAGACACCUAACUUAUGAGUUGAAAGAAACUCUAACCGAACUUGUACAAAGAUCACUUACUAUUGCCUUACUUAAGUGAGUGUAGCCUUAGUCCGUUUAGAUCACUGGCAAAAGUUGACAAAAGACUCCCUGCUAACUAUCUGCACGACAACCAAAACUAUUACUCGUGUUUUCCUAAACACAUAGGUUGAUUCAACGUAUAUUAGUCUAAAGGAACGUAACCCCAAAACAAGGAAAGGACUAUUCGGGCAAUACCAACCCAAGCCAAAAUAAUCUUAGUUCGGAUCAAAGACAAGGAAAACAUUACCUCCGGUCAAGAACGCAAGAAAGGCUCUAAUUAUUUCUGUAACACUAGAGGGCUCCUUCACUUCUCAAAAGUUACUUAAAACCCGAAGACACCAUAACCAAGAGAAUAUGUUAAGACUCGACAUGGCUAGAAAAGAGAAGAAAAGCUGAAAAGUAGAGGCAAUAUAGGGACUUACUAGACAAAAAUUCAACCAAUGCACCAGUGAAAAAUGGAAAGAUCUCGAGUAAAUAGAGAGAAGAACAGAAAAGGGGAAAUAAAGUAUUCGGUCCAAGGUACAACCGGUUGUAGAAGGAAGAAGAUAGAGUCUAGAACCGAAAGUGACAAUGAGGGAGUGGUGGAGAAAUCGGUCAAAGCUCAAGAGAGGGGAAAAUAGAUAGGGAUCGACCUAACUAAAAAUAAUUGCAAGAAAGAGUUAAGAAGAAGGGUAGCAAAAGAAGCCGGCUAAACAAUUGCCUGAAAGGAAACCAAAUAAAGUUGCACAACUAGAGUAAAAUAAAGUACCCGAAAGUCACCUUAAACAAAAGUUAGCCAGCAAAAACGAGAGAGCAAAGAAGCAAAAAGAGGAACAAUCGAUAACCGAAAAAAUGAAGAGAAUCACACACUACUCUCUAGACGAAUUCCUAAGUGCAUCAGAGUCCUCAAACGGCACUAACUCUCUCCUCCACAAGACUUCAAAUUUGGCAUAACUACCCCCACACCUCAGUCUCCACUAUUUCCUCCCCUUAUCCCGCUUCUAAAAUCUCUCCACUACAUCCUCAAACUGAUCACCACCCAAUCCCCAUUUCUUCUCCUCAAUUUCGGCUAACAUGAUCCAUUACUUCACUUAAUAACUCAACCGACCAAGCAAUAGAGUCCAACUGCCCUACAACCUUCCACACCACUGCUUGUAAAAAUAAAUGCACUUGCACGCAGCAAGACUCGAACUCCAGUCUUCUAGCAACAAAUAACAUGCCACUAACCCCUUGACUAGCAAGCUUUUUAUGUCAAACAACCCUCACAAUAACUUAAAAGUCUAGUAGCUGGAGACAAGGGUUAAUGCAAGUAGAAGCACAAAUUUUGCUCAAGCCAAGGCUUAAACUCAUGACUCACUAAACACUCCCAAAGCACUAAACCACUAAGACAAGCAUACAACCACGCCACAACACACGAAACUAAUUUUAACUGGGUUUUCGAGAUUUGGGGGGUUACAACUAACUGCAUCCACUCAAGACUUAAAACUUCUAGGCCCAAAAUUUGGGGCGUUACAUGUACGUAUCAGCACCCAAAACACUGUAACCCCUAAUGACAUGUCUUUUGUAUCCUAUCUUUUUCUAAGGUUCAACUGAGAUUUCAUACGUUGCCAAAUCUUCGUCGAAUAUUUUUGUGAAGUCGUAUUCAUCAAGAAUGCAAUAAUAAAGUAUUUAAAACACAAUUACUUUAAUGUUUAUUAACAUACAAACUUACCUCGAUUAUAAAAAUGCCAAAACAAGAUUGACUAGUCUGAUACUUUAUCUCUCCCUCGAUAUAGAUCCAUACGAGGCUUAACUUGAUCUAAAUAAUCAAAUUAUAUCAAUUUAGUAUUCAUUCUAUUCAAUUUAGGAGAAAAUACAUAUUUUUGCAAAUUUACACUUUUACCCCUAAACUUUUAACUUCUUUACAAUUUAGUCCUUAGCUCAUAAAAAUGCAAAUUCAUGCAAUUUACCUUAUACCCAUGCUAGUCGAAAUUCACUUAAGCCCAUAGCGUAUCAUAUUUUUCAUUAUUUUACACAUUUACCUCAUAAUUUUCAUUUUUCUCAAUUUAACCCCCUAAUUUGCAAUUUCAUUCAAUAUCACUUAACAAAUGUUGUUUAUCUAACAACAACCAUUUAUUUUCUACCGUCAAACAUCAAAACAUAUACACAUUAUCAAUGGUAAAACCCUGAUACUUUAACAGUUUCACAAUUAGUCCCUGGGCUAGCUAGAUUAAGCUACAACGACUCUGAAAACAUAGAAAUCAUUAAAAACGGGACGAAAAAUCAUACCAUGAAAGCUUUGAAAGGUUGGACGAAUGGUAAGUCUUCUCUAAUGGUGUUUUCUUUUUAAAUUUUGAUGCAAGAAGAUGAAUGAUGAAGAAAAUUGGCUUUGUUUUAAUUAAUUUAAAUUUUAUUUACUAAAUUACCUAUAUAACCUUUAUAAUUAACCAUUAAUUCACUUAAUAAAAUGUCUAUAUUUGUCCACUCAACAUGUUAAUGGUUUAAUUACAACAUAAACCCUCCAAUCAUUUAAUUGCACAGCUAAUAAUCCCUUUAGCUUAUAGAACUCUAGUUUUGCACCUUUUUUAAUUUAGUCCUUUUUGUCGAAGUAAGCAUGCUAAUGAUAAAAUUUCUUAACAAAAUAUUUAUAUGACACUAUUCACACACUGUAGAUUUUAAAAUAAUAAAAUAAAUAUUUUAACCCCAGAUUUAUGGUCUUGAAACCACUAUUCUUGUAACGCCUAAUUUUUUAAAUCUCAAAAUCUCUGUUAAAAUUUAUUUUGUACGUCUGUGACGUGGAUGUAUGUCUGCCUUAGUGGUUUAAUGCUCUGGGAGUGUCUGAGAGGGCAUGGGUUCAAGCUCUGGCUUGACCAAAAUGUUGCUCCUAAUUGAAUAAAUCAUUUUCUUCUGAUUGUAGGCUUCUUAAAGUAAUGAGAGGGUGGCUUGACAUAAAACGCCAGCUAGUCUAGUGGAAAAUAGCGUGAUACUGAUGUUAAGGGACUUGAGUUUGAGUCCUACUACAUGCAAGGAGUGUCUUUUUGCAAACUGCCGUAUGGGUGGUUGUAUGGCAUUGGGACUCUAUUGGUUGGACGGUUGAGGGAGUUUGAAUCGGUCAAGUGCCGGAUUAGUAGAGGGAUUUAAGGAGUAGUUGAGGGAGUGGAUCAAGGAGUGGGGGAGUGAUCUGGGGAGAAUUUUGUGGGGUUUGAAAGGGAGAAGAGUUGUAGCCGAAUAGGUACUUUAACCAUAGGAAUUCGACUUUGGAGUUUAAGGAGCCUCUCUUGCUUUGUAUUUUGGGUUUUGGCAUUUUUGGUCUUUUCAUCGUUGUUUUGAAGCCGGGCAUUACGGGAUUUUGUCAUGAGUACCCUUUCAGUUUUUGGUGAGUUCGAUUCUACUCUUCCCUCAAGCCUCUAAUCCACCGAUUUUUGUCCUUCACUAUUUCUUCUUUUUCCCAAUUGGUAUUCUUCUCCCUGGACGAAUAACACUUGCUUUUCCCCCUCACAAACCAUUUUUGGUUGUUAGCUAUGCUUGUAGACUUCUUCUCCUCUCCUUCUCUCAACUCUUCUGUUAUUCUUACUUUGGCCGAAUCUUGUCAGGACCUAACUAUCUCCUUCUCCUCUUUUCUUUUCUGUUCCUUGGCCGUUUCUUGCUGAAGGUUUGCUGAAAACCCCUUGAUCUAUUUGGUAAGUGUUACAGUUUGUUCUCCCUAGCCAGACCUUAUUAGGUUCUCUUCUCAAAGGUUUAGCUUAUGUACCUUUUAGGCUGAUCGUUUGUGUCUUUUCUUUUCUACCAUGGGGAAAUAUCUCUGUAACACUUCUUUUUGUACAUUUGAUGCUAGGGACUCCGGUUCAUAGUAGGGUGUUAGGCCGACUACCUUACCCCUACAAGUGACAUCUCCUUUAUUGGUAAGUACCUUAAGUCUUAGAUGCUUUUAUAUGAGACUGUAGAUUCUUACGAUUCGACUAACUGUCUCGUGUAAAGGUGAAGCGUUGGAAGGAAUACGUGGUUUUUGGAACAAGUAGGGUACUACGAUUGUUUGUUGGUAAGUAGAUAUGAUUUCUAGAUUAACGAUGUUUUAGUUUAAUAAAGGGUUGUGUUUAACCAUAGGCUCUCUACUUCGGAAGCAUCCCGGCUACAACUCCAUAAUAUGUAUGUGAACACUACCCUUAGAUGUGUAACAGCAAAAGCCGAAAGAUGGACUGUCGACACCACACGGGCAUGUAGCCACCCAUUUGGCAAGUCGUGUAACAAACAUGGUCGUGUGGUUGAUGAGAUGGCCAUGAGCGAUUCUAUGGGCCGAAAUAGUAUUGGGCCAUUUUUGGGUCGAACUGGGCUGUUGGGCCCCAUACAGGAAAAACGCACAAAAUUGUGGCAAAUAAUUGGCCAGGCUGUGUAAGCCACAUGGCUAAGGCCAUUUUUGGGGUAGGUGGGCCACAAUAGCAUGGGGGCCCACAUGUGCCCUCAAUAUGGGCUAUAGGCCCAUUACCACUGUUUGACUAUUAAGGUUGCACGGGUCGCUUUAGAUUACUGUAUACCUUCUGUUGGGACGGUAAGUAUAGUUUGACCCUAUACUGAUGAGAUGACCAAUAUUCCCCUGUGAGGUAAAUUAACUAAAUUACCCCUGUAUUAUGUAUGAUUGAUUUUGAGCAUGACAUUUCUGCAUACACGUAUGAUAUUAUGUUGCAUUACAUGGGGUGGGAUAUAUGAUUUUGGAGGAAGUGUACUGAAAAGCUAUAAGCCUAUUACUGGCAGCUCUGCUGCAAAUACUAUUUUAGUACCGAAAUCGGUAUGACAUGGUGGUAGGGCUGGGUGGGUCGAUUUUAUCCCCACAUCGUGUGUAGGGCUGGUACGGAGAUGGUGUGCAGUGGUUGGAUUGGGUAGGAUUCUUUGUUUGCAUACUGUACUGAAAUGGGCUAAGGCCCAGCCUGAUACUGUUACUAAAAAAUGGGCUAAGGCCCUAGUCGAAACUGACGGGCUUAGGCCCAGAUUGCGUUUACACUAAUUGGUUGUUAUUUUGGAAUUUUGCACACUGAGUUUUCAUAAACUCACCAUCUAUUAUCUGUGCAGGAAAUCCCCAUGCUUAUAUGGAUCGAGGCGAUGGAGGACUCGAAGGUGGCCACUCGAUGUAGUUAAUUUAUUUAAUAUACUAUAAUUUAGAUUUUUAUUCGAUAUUGGUUUUUCAUCAUGUAAUAAGGCCUUUUAAAGUUUAUUUUAUUUUGGGGAUUUAAUUACUUCAAUUUUCACUUGUUAGUAAUAGGACUCGUACUUUCAAGAAAGCUCAAACCAAUGUUUUUUUGAAAUCAUUACGCUUACGCCAUACGUUUUAAAAGCUUUCGCAACAAACACUGUUUCAAAAUUUGAGAAACUAGAAUAACUUAUAUUUUGUUUAAAUAACUUGAGUUUUCACAAGGAACUAGUCAUUCUAACCCUUUCAUUUAGAAUCUAAACAAGUUUUUAUGAAAAAUGGAUUUUUGUCAAUUUUAUGUUUUGGAAAAACACUCUAGUGUCACAUUACAGAUUCGACCGUAAUGUCUAGGCCGGGUUUGGGGUGUUACAUUUAGUGGUAUCAAAGGCAGAUUACAAAAUUCGGCUGUAGGUUUGGAUUUUCAAAACCGUGGAAAUGUUUUACUGAAGGAGUAGUACAUCGAGUCUCCGCGCAUAUCCUGAGAGUCUUCUGAUUAUUUAUACUGAAAUAAUAGUAUUGAAAUGAUAUUACUAAGACUACUUUAAGUAGUAAAAACUUUACGAAAAACUCUUAGUUAGAGUAAACUUUGAACGACGAAUUGUGAAAAGAAACUCUGAAAUAAUAUUGUUCAUAAAACAUCUGCAAUAAACACUAGAAUAAUAAUUGAUUGGCAUAAAACUUUUAAUACAGAUAAAAGCAGAAGUGGGUAAUGAGCACUAGAGGUAAUCAUGGUAAGAGCCGUAUCAGAGGCCAUGGAGGUGCUCGGGCUGGGUCUUUGUCUUCUGGACACUAGCCUAAUGAGGAAGUUAGAGGGGCACCAGCUUCACCUAUGGUUGAGACAGGGUCUCAGAAUCGAGUAGCUGGGGACAACGUAUUGUCCUGAGUAAUGUUGAGAAUUCUAGAAAGGGUCGCUGGGCCUAGUACUGGUAAUGUCGGUCGUGGGUCAGUUACGAAACGACUCGGGUCUAAUGGGGCAGAAAUAUUCAGGGGUAUUGCUGGAAUUUCCUCUAAUGUGGCUGAAUAUUAGAUCAGGCCACAGAAAGGAUCAUGGAUGACCUUGACUACACCUCUGAUCGGAAGCUAAAAGGUGCAGUAUCUCUAUUGAGAGAUGAGCUUUAACAAUGGUGGCUUACCGUCAAAGAGGGUACUCAAGUCGGUCUUUUGACUUCAGAGUUUUUCAAGACUACUUUUCAAGCUAAAUAUGUGGGUGCCAGCUAUGUGGAUGCCAGUAGAAGGAAAUUUCUGAACUUAACUUAGGGAGAUAGGACAGUGGCUGAAUAUGAGGUUGAAUUUUUACGACUGAACUGCUAUGCUCGUGGGAUGGUGGCUACAGAAUACGAGCGGUAUUUUUUAUUUGAGGAUGGCCUCAGAGAUGGUUUAAGGGUUCUGAUAGCUCCUUAGAGGGAGAGGGAUUUUGCAGCCCCAGUUGACAAGGGAAAAAUCAUCGAGAAUGUGACGUGCGCUGAGUGCCAGAAUAGGGAGAAAGGAAGAGGUAAGAGGGAUGUUGUGCCCUCAAAUUCAUUUUAGAGGUUUAAGAAAAAACCCAGAGCGGAUGGGCCUAUCAGAGUUAAAGCCUCUACUGCUGCUACUGCUGGAUCGCAAUUCUGUGCUGAUUGUGGAAAACGCCAUCAGGACGAGUGUUGGAGGAAAUUGGGUGCAUGUCUGAGGUGUGGAUCAUUGGAGCAUCGGGUUAAGGAUUAUCUGCAGAGGCUCGAUCAGAUGCAAGUUAUUGGUAUGAGUACGGGUCAACCACUAAGAGGCCGUGGUCAGGUCAGGGGUAGAAAUGGUAUGGGUAGGGGUUGUGAAGAACUGGGCAGAUGUGCUGGUCAUACUGAGGCGAGACAACUGGCACCGGUUUACGCUACACAUCGUCGAGAGGACGGAGAUGCUCCAGAUGUCAAAACGGGUACGUUCUCUAUCUAUAAUGUACCUUAUACUGCAUUGAUUGAUGUUGGGUCUACGAAUUCAUACAUAGCAUGCUCUGUGUCUGAGAAAUUAGGGAUUCCAGUUGAGAAUACUCUAACUGGAAUUACUGUUCUAAGUCCACUAGGACAGUCUGUUCAAGUAAAUAAGUUGUUUAGAGAUGUUCCUUUAGAAAUACAAGGAGUUGACUUUUUGGCCGAUCUUAUGGAGCUGCCUUUCGGAGAAUUCAACUUAAUAUUAGGUAUAGAUUGGCUAGUUAAACAUUGGGUAAGUUUGGAUUGUGCCACAAAAUGGCUUGUACUGAGAACUGAGGCGGGUGAAAAGGUAGUGGUAAUUGGAGAACGACGGAACUAUUUGAGUAAUGUAAUUUCUAUGCUAAGGGCCGAGAAGUUAGUUCACAAGGGUUGUCAGGCGUUCCUGGCGUAUGUCAAUGUUUCAGAUAGUAGAGACUUUUCGUUGAAGGAUAUCAAAACAGGUAAGGAUUUUCUGGACGUCUUUCUUGAGGAAUUGUCGGGGUUACCUCCAGAACGUGAAGUGGAGUUUGGGAUUAAGCUCCUCCCUGGUACUACUCCGGUGUCCAUCGCUCCUUAUAGAAUGGCACUAAAAGAGCUUGUAGAGCUUAAAGCCCAAAUUCAAGAGCUACUGGAUCGUGGGUUCAUCCGCCCUAGUGUGUCUUCGUGGGGAGCACCAGUCUUAUUUGUUAAAAAGAAGGAUGGAACCAUGCGUAUGUACAUCGAUUACCGACAACUGAAUAAAUUGACGAUUAAUAAUAAGUACCCUCUACUGAGGAUUGAUGAUCUGUUCGAUUAACCAAAAACUUGAUACAUGAUACUCGUGACAGGUUUUAAAUAUUUAUAAUGAAUCGCUCUUGAAACUAACUAUUAUCACGAUGAAGGCAAGUGUACCUAUCAAACAGUAGUAUAGCUUUAGCAAGACCGGAUUAUCGAACCCAAAAGAGCUAAAAGUACUAGUAUUUCAAAAACGUAAAAAUCAUUAAAAACGGGGCUAGAACAGACUUACAACCGAGCUUGGAAGCUUGAAAAACCCUAGAUAUGUCUUCUCCAUGCAAAUUUCAGCCAUGGGGUAGAAGAUGGACAAAAAUUGGCAAUUAAUUUUGUUUUUAAUUCAUUUUAAUUACUAGAUUACCAAAAUGCCCCUAACUUAAAAAUAUUCUAUUUCACCCAUUUCAUGUCCAUUUUGGUCCAAAAAAUUAUUCAAUGAUCUAAUUACCAUUUAAGGGUCGCCAAUUUAAAAUUUCAUAACAAUUAGACACCUCUAACUUGUAGAACUCAACUUUUGCACUUUUUACAAUUUAGUCCUUUUGACCAAAUUGAGUGCCCAAACGUCAAAAUUUUCAAACAAAAUUUUCACUAAAUCAUCCCGUGAAAUUGUAGACCAUAAAAAUAUAAUAGAAACAAAUUUUAUUGUGUCGUAUUUGUGGUCCCGAAACCACUGUUCUGGCUAGGCCUUAAUUCGGGAUGUUACACCAUCCAGGCUGUAGUAAACCUGAAGGUACUUGAUGUUCAGCCUUGACUUGCUAACAUAUCAAGCAUUUCGAUACAAAUUCAGAGAUGUCUCUCUUCAUGCCGUUCCACCAGUACAUUUUUUUCAAAUCAUUAUACAUUUUGGUACUUCCCAGAUGAACAGACAAACGGCUAUCAUGUGCCUCUUGAAAGAUUUUCUGAAUAAUUUCUUCGUUCCUUGGUACAAAAACUUUGUCUCUGAACAUCAAACAUCCAUCAGAACCGAUCUAAAAAUCUGAUUCGAUGCCCGUCUCACAUUGAGCUUUUUUAGCUUGCAGGACACUAUCAUUAGUCUGAGCAUCAUAGAUUUCCUAAAGAAAUUUCGACCUAGCCCUUAACUCUUCCAAGACUGAACCGUCAUUAAACAAUGCCAAUCGAGCGUCCAUGGCCCUCAGCGCAAAUAAAGAUUUUCUGCUUAACACGUCGGAGACCACAUUUGCCUUUCUCGAGUGAUAAUCGAUGAUCAGCUCAUAGGCUUUAGUUAGUUCUUACCAUCUCCACUGUCUCAGAUUCAAUUCUUUUUGAGUCAUCAAAUACUUCAAACUCUUGUGGUCUGUGAAUAUACGACAAGUCUCACCAUAUAAGUAAUGCCUCUAGAUUUUCAAGGCAAAAACAAUGGAGGCAAGGUCUAAGUCAUGCGUCGGAUAAUUCUUCUCAUGUGACUUCAACUGUCGCUAAGCAUAGGCUAUCACCUUGCCAUCUUGCAUAAGUACACAACCCAGUCCAUUUAAGGAUGCAUCACUAUAGACCACAAACUCUUUUCUCGGCUUAUGCAAUACUAAAACUGGAGCUUCAGUCAGCAAUGUCUUCAACUUUUCUAAACUCUGCUGACACUUCUCUGUCCAUUCAAACUUAACGUCUUUCUGUAGCAACCUCAUCAUUGGAGUCGCUAUCAUGGACAGUCCUUUUACAAAUCUUCAUUAGUAAUCGGCUAAGCCCAAAAAGCUUCUAACCUAGGUUACAUUUUUAGGUGGUUUCCAUUCAACGAUGGCAAAGAUCUUACUUGGAUCAACUCGGAUACCUUCACACGAAACAAUAUGACCCCAAAACCCUACUUCUUAGAGCCAAAACUCACUCUUGCUAAACUUAGCAUACAAUUGCUUUUCUCGUAAGGUCUGCAACACAAUCCUCAAAUGCUUUGUAUGUUCUGUCUCAUCCUUGGAAUAGAUCAAAAUGUCGUCAAUGAACACAACGACGAACUUGUCCAAGUAAGGAUGAAAUAUCCUAUUCAUUAGGUCCAUAAAUACAGCCAGUGCAUUCGUUAAACUAAACAGCAUGGCAAGGAAUUCAUAGUGACCAUACCUCGUUCUGAAAGUUGUCUUAGGCACAUCCGAUUCCUUAACUCGCAACUGAUAGUAGCCGGAUCUCAGGUCUAUCUUAGAGAAUACAGUGGCUCUCCUCAACUAGUCGAACAAAUCAUCGAUUCUUGGCAAAGGAUACUUAUUCUUGAUAGUUACCUUAUUCAGUUGCCGAUAAUCUAUACAGAGCCUCAUUGAACCAUUUUUCUUCUUUACAAAUAAAAUGGGAGCACCCCUGUAACAUCACUCACGCAUAUCCGUUAUCAGGAUAGGGUUCGAGGUAUUACCAAAAAUUUACAUUUAAAACAUACUGAAUCGACUUACCAGGUUUAGCUCAAAUUUGAAACUUUCAGGCAUUCACAUCUUGUCCCUUAAAUGGGCCUUCAAGGCCCUAAAUAUACAUAGAGAUAGUUCAGGAUAGGACCGGGAACAUUUAAUAACUUUAAAAAAUUUCCUUACUUAGAAGUGUCACACGCCCGUGUAUGAUGGGCCGUGUGGUCACCCACACCAGUAUGGCCUAGGGCACGUCCAUGUCUCUAACUCGUGGGAAACACUGGCUUUUAGGCACGGGCAAGAUACACAUCCGUGGGCUCACCCCGUGUCCAAAACAUGAGCAUUCUGUUAAAUUAACACGGCCAAGACACACGCCCGUGUGUCCUACCCGUGUGCUAGUUUGACUUAAAGUUUUAGGUGCAGGGGACACACGGCCAUACCACAUGCCCAUGGGGAUGGACUGUGUAACACCCCGUACCCGAGACCGUUGCCGGAGUCGGACACGAGGGGUUCACAGACUAAAUUCACUUAUUUUUAUAGUCCAUUUUAAAAAUUUCCAGACAGCUGACUAACUGCGUCACUGUAACCUUAAAAAUCAUAUCUUGAGUUCCAAAACUCAAAAAUCAGUUUUGUAAUUUUUCCCUGAAACUAGACUGAUAUAUCCAUCCACAAAUUUUUUCUAGAAUUUUUGGUCGAGCCAAUUAGUACAUUUUAUUAGUUAAAGUCUCCCCUGUUACAGGGUUCGACUAUUCUGACCUUCAUGCAUUACAACUUGGAUAUCUCCCUGUACAGGGCUUCAAUACUGAUACUGUUUGUUUCUAUAGAAACUAGACUUGAAAAGGAAUCUAUAUAUAUAUGGUAUGACUUCUAAUUAUCUCUGGUUAAUUUAUAAUGAAUUUCCAAAUUCAGAUCAGGGGAUCCAGAAAUCGUUCUGGCCCUGUUCCACGAAAACUUAAAUAUCUCUUAAAAUCUGACUCAUAUGACCGUUUCGUUUCUUCCAUAUGAAAGUAGAUUCAUAAAGGUUCGAUUAAAUAAUUUAUUCACUAUUUAAAUCCAUUCCUAAUAUUUUUAGUGAUUUUUCAAAUUCACACCACUGCUGCUGUCAGCAUCUGCCUCUAGGGUAGACUUUACCUAUUACAUAGUUUCCAUGAUUCAACUAAUCCUUUAGCAUAUAUAGCACAAAGUAUGAUCGUGAUUAACCAUUCCAAUGGCCAAUCAUUGCCAAGCAUAUCCACACCUCUCAAUAACCAUAUACAUACAAAAUGAUUAUAACAUUAGGCUCAAAAAUAUAUAUAAGCCAUUUUCGCAUGGCUAUCCAAAUUUAUACAAAACCGAAGGGUACAUGACCCACAACAAAAAGGGUAGUCCUAUACAUGCCAUUUCAAAGUUCAACCAAAAGUUUACCAAAAGGGGCUUUGAUAGUGUGGACGACUUCGACUUCGAUAAUCCCGAGUCCGAUAGCUGACGAACCAAAAUCUUUUAAACAGAGAUUCAAAGAAACGGAGUAAGCAUUUAAUGCUUAGUAAGUUUUUGAGCAAUGAAAUUAGGCUCAACUGAAGUAUAGCACUCAUAUAACUAAACAGAUAAUUUCAUAUACAUAUAUAUUCUCCAAAAAUCAGUCCUACUUCACAUUUCCAACCCUUAUAUUCAUACAUAAGGGAUCAACUUAACCAAAAACCGAAAGCUCCUUAAUCGACUGAGUGAAUACUAUUUAAGAGGAAUCAAUUAAUCCAAUGCAUGUACAACACAUACCUCGUUGUUGAGCUUUUACGAGCGUAUUAAUUGAAAUUAUUACAGCAGAUCGCUCAUUCCCAAACUCAAGUAAUCUUCGGGAUUUAGCCGGAUAUAACUACUUGCACAAGGCCUUCGGGUCUUAGCCCGGAUAUGAUCACUAGCAUAAAUGCCUUCGGGACUUAGCCCGGAUAUAGUCGCUAGCACAAAUGCCUUCGGGUCUUAGCCCGGAUAUAGCAACUCACACGAAUGCCUUCGGAUCUUAGUCCGGUUAUAGUCACCUAGCACAAAAGCCUUCGGGACUUAGCCCGGAUAUCAUUCAAAUAACCAUGCACAUAUAUCAAUAAAUCAUGACACAUCCAUAUUUCAUCUUCAUUACCAAAGCUCAAACACAAAACACUUAUCACACUUACAAAUUUCGGCUCAAUAGCCACAUACAAAGGGCAUGAUUUUGAGUUACUUGAGACAUAAUCUAAUCGAAUCAUAAUCUAAGCUCCAUUACUCGAAAACUUACCUCGGAUGUGGUCGAACGAUUUCGACGGCUAUUCGAUCACUUUUUCCUUUCCCUUAUCCAAUUGUGGUCCUCUAAGCUCUUGAGCUAAUUCAAACAAAUUUAACUUAUUAAAGUCUCAUUAUGCUAGCUUACGGCCGAAUAUGACAAGGAAUUUGAUAGGUCAUAUGGCCACCUUUUAGCUCAAAUACACAAUGGUCAUAUGCAUUUUUAAUCACAUUAAGCAAUUUAAUACAAUUCAUUCGAACAUCAAAAGAGGAGCUCAAGGUACUUAGCCCAUAUAUACAUUAGACAUUAGAGUCACAUAUGUACGAAAUCACGAAUCGAAUUCAACAUAUUAGCUAAGAUUUCCCCUUAGCCAAAUUUUCUAAGUCAAGAUAAAGCCAUCAAUAUGCUUACCUAUGGCCGAACAUACACAUCAACUUAUGUACUCAUUCAUGUGGCCGAACAUACACAUCAAUUCAACACAUGCAUUACUCAUUAAUAUACAAAAUUAUAUUCGGCCUUAGCACACCUCUUGCUUGCCGAAUUUUUCUCCAUCUAGCCACAUUUUAUGUACUAUGCUGAACCAAAAAGAUCAAACACCUAGCUUAAUCAUUUCCAAAACACUUAACCAGCCCUUGACCAAGACUUUAAACAAAGUCUAUGUUCGGCUAUCACACAUAUGGGCAUUAUUAGUUCAAAGUUUUAACAAGAUUAAUUUCUUUGAUCUUAACCUAAAUAACAACCCCCAUUGUUCAUCUAGAUUUAGCAUGAAACAAACACCAACCAAGAAAACAACACCCAUGGCCGAGUAUCAUCUUCAUCACAUAGCAAGAUUUAAACCAUGGGCUAGGUAGAACUCAAACUAACAUAAAAAAUAUGCAUGAAUCUCAUGGAACAACAUCAAACUUACCUUAACCUAGCUACAAGCAUUGCCGAAUCUCUUCAACAUUUCCUCCUUUCUUUUCUUUUGAAUUUCGGUCAAGAAGAAUGAAAAAGGAUGGACAUUUUUUUUU
This 117366-nucleotide long non-coding RNA is filed under the name Gossypium barbadense (sea-island cotton). RNAcentral describes it as "long non-coding RNA (GBAR_LNC000627)". Lineage: Eukaryota; Viridiplantae; Streptophyta; Magnoliopsida; Malvales; Malvaceae. The record is from RNAcentral.